Molecule: long non-coding RNA, 174824 nt
Filed under: Vitis vinifera (wine grape)
Lineage: Eukaryota; Viridiplantae; Streptophyta; Magnoliopsida; Vitales; Vitaceae
Description: long non-coding RNA (VVIN_LNC007084)
Source: RNAcentral
UGGUGGAAAGAACUAGACUUUGCUACAAAGUUACCUUUUGCACGAGACAGAUUGGUUGAAUGCUACUUUUGGAUGCUUGGGGUGUAUUUUGAGCCUCAAUACUUACGGGCUAGACGAAUUCUAACCAAAGUAAUUGCCAUGAUAUCCAUUCUAGAUGAUAUCCAUGAUGCAUAUGGCACACCUGAAGAACUCAAGCUCUUCAUAGAAGCCAUUGAGAGGUUUGCUCCUUGCACAUUACCAACCUUGAUUGUGUAUAAUAGAUGUAUUUAUAUAUACUUAAAUCAAGGAUCAUUAUUUUAUUUUCAGGUGGGAUAUUAACAGCAUAGAUCAGCUUCCAGAAUACAUGAAACUCUGCUAUGCGGCACUCUUAGAUGUGUACAAAGAAAUCGAGGAAGAGAUGGAGAAAGAAGGAAACCAAUAUCGGGUUCACUAUGCCAAAGAAGUAGUAGGACAUCUUUAACUCUGGAUCCCCACCUUUUUCAUUGAUGAUAUUUUAUAUGGUCUCAUAUAUACAUAGAUAUAACUUGGAUGAAUGUUCUUUAGAUGAAGAAUCAAGUUCGAGCUUACUUUGCUGAGGCCAAAUGGUUACAUGAAGAACACGUACCAACAUUUGAAGAGUACAUGCGUGUUGCACUAGUAAGCUCUGGAUACUGCAUACUUGCAACCACGUCCUUUGUGGGAAUGGGAGAAAUAGCAACAAAGGAGGCCUUUGAUUGGGUGACCAGCAAUCCUAAGAUUAUGUCAUCUUCAAAUUUCAUUGCGAGGCUCAUGGAUGACAUCAAAUCACAUAAGGUAUGAAGAAUAUAUGAUUCAAAUGGGGAGAAUAUAACACACUGGUUUUUUCUCAACUUUUGUAUUAUACAUGCAGUUUGAGCAAAAGAGAGGGCAUGUGGCCUCAGCUGUUGAAUGUUACAUGAAGCAAUAUGGUGUCUCUGAGGAACAAGUAUACAAAGAAUUUCAAAAGCAAAUUGAGAAUGCAUGGCUGGAUAUUAACCAGGAAUGCCUCAAACCUACUGCUGUUUCAAUGCCUCUCCUUGCUCGUAUUCUCAAUCUUACACGAGCCGCGGAUGUCGUUUACAAAGAGCAAGAUUCGUACACACAUGUUGGGAAAGUGAUGAGGGAUAACAUUGCGUCUGUCUUGAUCAACGCUGUAAUAUAACCAAAUGGAGUAGUUGAUUGCCUUGUGGAAGCCGUAAUAUCUAAUAAAUCACUAUAAAAGGAAAAAAGAAAAGAAAAAAGGUCCAAUUCAUACCUUAGCCGCCCCUAAUGGUUUGGGCUUUUGCGUGAAUAAAAACUAUUGUAAUAAUAUGGGAGAGACAUAUAAUGUUUCCUACUAGUUUCUCUCUCGGUUUGGUAGUGCUUUACAUCAUACUAUCACUUGGCUAAAUGUAUUAAUGUUGCUGCGUUGUAAAAACUCCAUCCUAAGAUGCAAACAUAACCAGGUUUGAUAUUGAUUUUCCUUUUCUAUUUCUUGCAUCCAUUUUAAUAUAUGUUUAAAACACUUUGAUCAAGUUUGACACUUUUCUAUUAUUCAAAGAUCACGUGAUGGAGAAAAUUCUCCAUAGAAAAUCACUUCUUGUAGAAAUGGUCUAGAACAUACAAAAGAGAUAAAAAAAUCUUAAGAAUUCAUCCUAACGGGUAAAAUAUUAUUAUUAUUAUUAUUAUUAGACAUGCUAAAAGUUUUAUUAUAUACCUGUUAAAAAUAAAAGUUAUGAUAUUAUAUGAGGUUGGAAUUUGAAGUUCAUUUGCAACUUUUUUUCUUCCUCGUUAUUUUUUUAAUAUACGUAAAGUAUUUUUUUUUAAAAAAAAGACUUACUAAAAGAAUUGUCAUGAGAAGGUUUUAUUUUUAUUUUUUAAUAAUAAGUUAAAAUAAAUUUGAAAAAAAAAAUAAAUUAAUAUUUUUUAACAUUUUAUUUUAAUAUUUAAUUUUGUGCAUGGAUAUGUCAUAAGAUUAGGUUACGUACAUAUAGUACAUGUAAUUAUAAACACUAAGGGAAAGUAGCUCAGGUGCAAAGUUGUCACCUCCCUUCCUACAUGCACUUUCAAGUUUUUUUCAGCAAGCUGAUGUAGCCACUUACGAGAUAAGAUUACCAUAAAUUGCAAAAAAUUAGUGAUGAAUAAAAAAAAAAUAACAAAAUGUCAUGAUUAAUCAAGAUAGAUUAUCAAAAUUUCAACAAAAAAUCAUUGAGUGAAAUUCUUUCAUAAUUUCCUAUACCAGUAAUAUUUCGAAUAUAUUAAUCACGAUUUCCAAGUUUACAAGUUUACCAUAUCUACAAAUUAACAUGUUGAAGAAGUUCGAGAAUAAUUUUUAGAGGAUUAUAAAUGUCUUUUAUUAUUAAAUUUACUUUACAAAUAGCCACAUGUUUAAUUAAGAGUAUAUUCUAAUGGUGCUGAAAACAAAUUAAGACAGGCUUCAAAUCAAAUGUACUUUGCAAUAAAGACUUUAGUGAAUGCAACUUCAAAUGACCAAUAAUGCACGGUAGCAGUACAUUAAUUUUGACUUCAAGGCAUUAAUUCGUAUUUUAUCCAUUACACAACAGAAUAUAUAUAAAUAUCCUUAUAAAAAAUAUAUAUGAUAUUUAUAGGUAACAGCUUUCUUCUUAAGCAAAGCAGCCAAGUAAGACUACAAAAUCUAUACCAAACAGAAUAUCUACUAGGACAAAUUUGGAUAAUUAUUUCCAACACUUAAAUUGAUUGGGCUUAGGUUAAAGUAUUCUUCAACUCCUAGUCAGUUUUAGUUGGGCUCUUACCAAGGUUGUGACAUCUCGAAUCUAACCAAAAGUUUAUAUAAUAUUUAUAUAAUAAUUAUAAUUUAUAUUAUUAUGGACUCAUGCACAUUUUUCACAUGUGCCUACUCAAUGAGGAUACUCAUUUAUUAUGAAAAAUGAUUAUUUGAAAACCCUUUUUAGGUUUUUUAGAGUGAACAUUUAUUUAAAAAAAAAAAAAAAACACAAUAAGAAAAAAAGAAGAGAAAAACCUUAUAUAACUCCUUAUUUGAAAAAAAGAAAAAGAAAAAAGACAAGUUCAUAAACCAAGAUUGAGUUAAAAGUCAAAUUACCUACUGAGAAAAUACGACGAUAAGUCAUACAAAACAACCCUCUAAGCUUAUAUACCUAUAAUCUUUACUAAGCAAAUGAACUGAAUUAUGACGAUUAAAUAAUUGAUUAUGGAUACUCAAGAAAAGAAAAACACAAUUAUAAAACAAGUCAUGGUGUUUGUUAUGUUACAAAAAUGUAAAAAAACAAAUGAUAAGAGAAUUUGCAUAAGUUGAUUUACGAAACUAAUUAAAAACAUGGGUUUAAUUAUUUCUAAAUUCAAAGGAUUAAAAAAGUUAUUUCAAUUUGAUGAUUUCAAUCGAUUUUAAGUACAAAAGAAAGUUUUGAUUUCAUUUUUUUUUUAAAGAAAAAAAUGCUUCAAAUUAUUCUAUUUAUAAAGAAAUGAUUUUUAUUUACUUUUUCUUAAAAAAAAAAAAUAUAAUUUACACAAAUUUUAUUUACCUUAACAUUCCUUUUUGAUUUUUAUGCAAAAGAGAAUACUUUUAUAAUUUUUGCUACAACAUGAUUUUUACAAUUUUAUUUUAAAAGAAAGUAUCCAAAUCUAAUCUUAUGUGCAAGAGAAUCUUUUUACAAAUUAUUUAGGAAAAGGAUUUUUAAAAAUUUAUUUACAAUUUUAUUUAAAAAAAUAUUUACAAAUUACUUUAAAAAAGAUUUGUACAAAUUUAUUAACAAAAAAUAAAUAUUCAGAUCCAAUUUUAUUUACAGAAAAAAAAAGAUUUUUUUUUAUAGUUUUUAUUGAAAAUAAGACUUUUACAAUUUUAUUUAAUUAGUAUGAAAAUCCAAUGUCAUUUUAUUAAUACUAGAAAAAAUUUAUUAUUAUUUUUAUUAAGACAUGAUUUUUAAAAUGUCAUUUACAAAAAAAAAAAAAAAAAAAAAAAGUUUACAAUUUUAUUUUAAAAAAUAUUUUGCAAUUUUUUUAAAAAAAAUGGUUUCAAUGUUUUAUUUAAAACAAAUUGCUUUUUAGAUUUUAUUUUAAAAAAUGAUUUUCACAAGUUAAAAAAAAAUUAUAGUUUUAUUUUUUUACAAAAAAUAAUGAAUUUCCAAAUGUAUUUAAAAUUUAUUUAAAAAUGGAUUUUAUAGUUUUAUUUAGAAAAACACUUUAUUGUUUUAUUUCAAUCUUAUUGUUUAUUUUUUUCUUUAAAAAAAAAAGUUCAAAUUUCUCUCUCUUUCUCCCUCUCUCUGUCCAUACGCUCAUUAAUUUUGAUGUUAAGGUAUCAGCCCAAUUGACAUGAUUUAUACUGACUUAGUCUUUUGGUCUAAUAGGUAACUUAAUGUAAUAUAGGAGGUCAUGAAGGUGAACUGUGAACCUUACUGAUAUUACGCAAACCCUACCAUUUAUUUAUAAUAUUGUUGUCAUAAUAUUGAAAUAUGGGAAAUUUUAAUAGACCAGACAGACACCAAUAGACCAAAGCCACCAAGCAAGAAUUGAAGAAACCAGAAAGCGUUUGUUCCAAACAUAGUAUACUGUAGAACAUGAAACAGAAGCUAGAGUAUACUAUCUUUAUUUGUGUCACAUAUAUCUCCACUCUCAUAUUGGCACAAGGUCUAUGAGCAGCAUUGAAAUAUUAUUUUUUGUCACUUCUCCAGGAUGUGUGAAUAUAUCAUUGUGGCUCUUGUACAUCACAUCUCCUGAUCGAGCAAAAUUGAGAAGACGACUAAGGAGAAGCAUUGGAACUGCAGUAGGUCUGAGGCACUCUUCAUUUAUAUCCUUCCAUGCAUUCUCGAUUUGUUUGUGAAACUCAUCAUAUGCUUGCUGCUCCGACACACCAUGUUGCUUCAUGUAACAUUCGAUGCUUGAUGCAAUAUGCUCUCCCUCUUGCUCAAAUUGCAGAAAUAGAUAGUAAUAGAAGGUGUUAAAAAGAAAUUGAUAUACAUUAGAUUUUCUUUAUCUUUAAGGGAUUGAUAUCCAAGUAUCAGUAGAAAGUGUUGUUUCAUUGUACCUUGUGGGAAGCCAUGUCAUCCAUGAGCCUAAUGAUUAUGUAGGUAGCUCUAACAAUCUUAGGGUUUUGUAGCAGCCAAUCAAAGACUUCCUUGGUUGCAGUCUCUCUCAUGCCAAUAAAAGACAUGAUUGUUAAUCUUCAAAUUGAUAAAUGGUAGUUUUUUCAUUCAUUCUUUCAUUCAUUCAUGUACAGAAUAUAUAUAGAGGGUAAUCACCAUUCUAAGAAUGUGAAAGAAUGAUACAAGGAAAUAAUGAUAUAAGGAAAUAACAACUAAUAUCCUAAUAUCUCAACAUUCUUAAUAUCUCUACUUUCCUAAUAUCUAAACAUUCCUAAUAUCUCAACACUGAAUGAUAUAAGAAAAGAAUGAUAUAAGGAAAACAUUCAUAAUAUCUCAACACUCCCCCUCAAGUUGGUGCAUAGAUGUCACACAUGCCCAACUUGUCUAAAAAAUUUGAGAACACUUGAUUUGAGACAGCUUUGGUGAGGACAUCGGCCAAUUGAUCUUUUGAUCAAAUCUUACGCAAUUCCACAAUCUUAUCAUCCAACUUUUCCUUAAUGAAAAAUCUAUCCACAUCGACAUGCUUUAUACGAUCAUGUUGUACUGGAUUAUGAGCAAUGUCACAUGCGACUUUAUUGUCACAAAACAAUCGGAUUGGUUGCCUAGAUAGGUAACCUAAAUCUUGUAAGAGGAGUCUUAGCCAUAAUGCCUCACAAAGUCCUAGAGCCAUACCUUUAAAUUCCGUUUCUACACUUAAACAAGCGACGACAUUCUGUUUCUUACUUUUCCAUGUCACAAGAUUACCACCUACAAAGGUAAAGUAACCAGAUAUAGAUCGCCUAUCAUCCACUGCACCGGCCCAAUCAGCAUUAAUAUAUACUUCUAUACUCUGAUGAUCAACAUUUUUAGCGAACAAAAUUCCCCUCCUAGGAGCAUUCUUCAAAUACCUCAAAAUACGCAUGACUGCAUUCAUAUGUUGCUCUCCAGGAUUAUGCAUGUAUUGACUCACUACACUCAAUGCAUAAGCAAGAUCUAGUAUUGUAUGAGCUAAGUACAUUAAUCUCCCCACAAGUCUCUGGUAUCUUCCCUUAUCGGUUGAUACUUGAUUAGGCUCAACACAUAAUUUCAGACCUUCUUCUAUUGGUGUAUUAAUAAGUUGACAUCCCGACAUUCUAGUCUCCUGUAAAAGAUCUAAAACAUACUUUCUUUGAGACAGAAAAAUUCCUUCACUUAAUCGAGAAACUUCAAUCCCAAGAAAGUAUUUCAGAGAACCUAAAUCUUUCAUUUCGAAUUCUAUAGAUAGAUAAUUUUGCAGAGCUUUUCUUUCUUUAGGAUCAUUUCCUUUAACUACCAUGUCAUCCACAUAUACAAUGAGUGUCAUAAUCUUACCAUGUUGCUUUUUCAGGAACAAAGUGUGAUUUGAAUUACUUUGACGAUAGCUAAAAGCUCUCAUUAACUUUGUGAACCUUCCAAACCAUGCUCUCGGGGAUUGCUUCAACCCAUACAAUAACUUCUUCAAUUUGCACACCUUCUGACAUUGCUUUUCUGACACCAUGCAUCCUGGUGGAAGAUCCAUAUAUACUUCUUCAGAUCACUCGCCAUACAGAAAGGCAUUUUUGAUAUCGAACUGUUGUAAUGGCCAAUCUAGGUUUGCAGCUAAAGACAGUAAUACUCGAACUGUGUUGAUCUUAGCUACAGGUGCAAAUGCCUCUGUGUAGUCAAUUCCAUAAAUUUGAGUGUACCCUUUUGCUACUAAUCUUGCUUUAUCGUUCAAUACUACCAUCUGCCUUGUACUUCACAGUAUAGAUCCAACGACACCUAACUGGUUUCUUUCCUGGUGGACAUUCUACAAGGUCCCUUGUUUCAUUCUUCUGCAAUGAUUUCAUCUCUUCAUUCAUGACUGCUUUCCACCUUGGAUUAGCUAAGGCUUCCUGCACACUGUUAGGAAUAGCUACAGUAGAUAAUUGAUUUACAAAUGACUUAUUUGAUUCAGACAAAUGAUGGUUAGACACAUAGUUGCUCAUGGGAUAUUUGACUUUGGUAGACAAUUUAGGUUCAUAUGUGGGUUUAGGAAUACCUCUAUUAUGACGGUAUGGUAACCGUUUCAUGAAUAGAUCAGGUUCCAAAUUAAGAACACCCUCAACAGACGAUGAUUGGUUUGGUAUUUCAGUGAAGACAUCUUCGGACCCAAAUUGUUGACCACUCAUAUCCAACUCACCCGCUUCCUGGUUCACUAGUUCAGAUUGUCCAGAUUCAUCCUCCUCAGAGAUAUGAUAAUCAUAAUUGAGAGUUUGAAUUUCCUUAUGGUACUCCCCCUGAAGUUCAGACUCAGAUGAAAAAUGCAUCAAAUCUUCAUGAAACACCGCAUCCAUUGUAAUAUACAUUCAUUGAGUUGGAGGAUGAUAACAUCAAUAUCCCUUUUUGUGUAAUGCAUAUCCAACAAACACACAUUGCAAUGCAUGGGAAGUUAACUUGGUGCAUUGGUGUUUGUGUAGAUGCACAAAUGCCACGCAACCAAAAACACGAGGAGGUAGAUUUGGGGUAGUUGGGACAACUACGACAUUAGUAAGAGCUUGGAGAGGUGUUUGGAAGUUAAUUGAGCUGGAAGGAAGUCGAUUGAUCAACUAUGCAGCAGAUGUGAUUGCUUCUCCCCAAUAAGAUAUCGAUGUUUUUGCUGCUAUCAAGUAAGCACAGACAACCUCUAACAAGUGCCGAUUUUUUCGUUCAGCACAACCUAAGCCUUACUCUUUCAAGGGAAUGUUCCUAAGUCCUAUUGGGGAGAAGUUGUUCUUACUACCACAUACAUGAUAAAUAGAAUUCCGUCACGAGUUUUAGACAACAAAAGCCUCGUAGAGAUACUUAAGAGUUUCUAUCCACACUUCAGAACCUCAAAUGGGCUCACUCCUAGGGUAUUUGGGUGCACUGCAUUUGUUCAUGUCCACAGCCAACAUAGAGACAAGCUAGACCCCCGAGUCAUAAAAAUUGUCUUUCUUGGUUACUCAUCCACUCAAAAAGGAUACAAGUGUUACAAUCCCACAACAAAAAUUUUUUACAUCUCUGCAGAUGUCACCUUCACAGAAAAUAAACCUUUUUUCCCAAAGUCCUAUUUUUAGGGGGAGAUUUCAAUGAUAGAAGAUAGUCCUGAGUCCUUUGAACCUCUUGACCUUCCUCAUGUCUCAACCCAUGGUGAUGAAAUACCUAAGUCAUCCGAGUCAAUCACACUUGAGUCACCCAAUUUUACCACUAAACCCGUGUCAUCUAAUGUUCCAGCCAGUGUCACUCACAAUUUUCCAUAGUUUCCUAAGGUGUAUUCAAGGGAAAAGGCCAUUCCAGAACAAAAGUAUGUCCAAAAAUCCAACUUAGACCCUGGGAAUGAAAUCACGCUAAGAUCAGACCCACCUUUACAUACACAACCUGGUGAAACUUCUACUAACUCAACCUAGACCUAGACCUUCCCAUUGCUAUCAGAAAAGGCACCAGAGAAUGCACUAAUUGACCACUCUAUCCACUAUCACACUAUGUGUCUCUUAAGCACCUAUCACUAGCCCACAAAAAUUUAAUUGUGAGUCUAAACACCACUAUCAUCCCUAACACUGUUUCUAAGGCAUUGACAAAAAGGGAAUGAAAUGAUGCUAUGAGAGAGGAGAUGAGUGCCUUAGAAAAGAAUAAAACAUGGGAGAUUGUUGAAAGACCGAAAGGGAAAAACAUUGUUGAUUGCAAGUGGAUUUUCACACUGAAAUAUAAGACUGAUGGAUCUCUUGAGAGACAUAAAGCAAGAUUAGUAGCCAAAGGGUACACUCAAACUUAUGGAGUAGAUUAUCAGGAGACUUUUGCUCCAGUUGCAAAAAUAAAUGCUAUAAGAAUCCUACUGUCAUUGGCUGCCCACUACAAUUUGGAACUCCUAUAGUAUGAUGUUAAGAAUGCAUUUCUUCAUGAUGAUUUAGAUGAAGAGAUUUACAUGAACAUCCCCCCGAGAUUUGAGGGAAACACGGGUAAUAAGGUGUGCAAGCUAAAAAAGGCCCUUUAUGGGCUAAAACAAUCUCCUAGGGCUUGGUUUGGGAGAUUUGCAAAAGUCAUGAAAGAGUCUGGGUACAAACAAAGCCAAGGUGACCACACUCUCUUCAUUAAGCACUCGGUUGCAGGGGGAGUAACUGCUCUUCUAGUCUAUGUUGAUGACAUCAUAGUGACUGGAAAUGAUGAGAGAGAAAAACAUGAAGUGAAGCAGAGAUUAGCAAUAAAGUUUGAAAUAAAGGAACUAGGGAAACUAAAGUACUUCCUUGGUAUUGAGGUGGCAUAUUCCACACAAGGGAUCUUCAUCUCUCAACAAAAAGUAUGUGAAUGAUUUAUUGGCAGAAACAGGGAAGAUUGGGUGUAAACCAGUGUCUACCCCAAUGGAUCCAAACCACAAGUUGGGAGAAGCUAAAGAAGAACUAGUGGUGGAUAAAGAAUGUACCAGAGGCUGGUUGGUAGGCUCAUAUACCUUGUUCACACUUGGCCAGACAUCGCCUACUCGGUGAGCAUGAUCAGUCAAUUCAUGCAUGCUACAAGAGAACCUCAUCUUCAAGCUGCUUAUAGGGUGCUGCAUUACUUGAAAGGCAACCUCGGGAAAGGAAUUUUGUUCAAGAAGAACAAUACUCUUGCUCUAGAGUAUACACUGACGCUGACUAUGCAAGUUCCUUAGUGGAUCGAAGAUCAACUACAGGGUAUUGUACUUUUCUUGGAGGUAAUUAGGUAACAUGGAGAAGUAAAAAGUAGAAUGUGGUAGCAAAAUCGUCUGUAGAAUCAAAGUUUAGGGUCAUUGCUCAAGGGUUGUGUGAACUACUUUGGCUGAAGAUUAUUCUAGAUGAUUUGAGAAUCAAGUGGGAUGGUCCUAUGAAACUCUAUUGUGAUAACAAGUCAACUAUCAAUAUUGCUCAUAACCCUAUACUACACGAUAGGACAAAACAAAAUAAGAUCGAUAGGCAUUUCAUCAAAGAAAAAUUGGAGAAAGGAGUAGUGUGUAUGUCCUAUGUUGCAUCAGAACAUCAAUUAGUUGAUAUCCUAACAAAAGGGCUGAACAGUUCAAUGUUUCACAGUCUUGUAUUCAAGCUGGGAAUGGAAGACAUCUAUUCCUCAGCUUGAGGGGGAGUGUUGAGCUAUAAAUAGAUAGGAGAAUUAUUUUCCUAUUAUGUUAGUUUCCUAUUUAUGUAAAUAGAUAGUUUUAUUAGUUUCCUAAUUCUGUAAAUAGAUAGUUUUAUUAGUUUUCUAUUUCUAUAAAUAGAUAGUUUUAUGAUUUAGGAAUAAAUUAGUUUUCUAUUAUGUCUCUUGUUUUCUAUUUCUUCUCUUGUAAUCUUCUAUAUAAACUGUGUGUAUGGUCAAUCUAAGAGACAAAAAUUAUUAUUUUCCAUCCCAUAUUUCGUAUCAAGAUGCAUGCCAUAAAAAUGGUAAGAUGAACAACAACAAGCCAAGCAACAAAAAAAAAAAAAAAAUGGAGUUUUUCCACCUUGUCCUCAUUGCAAGAAGACAAAUCAUUCUCCACAAAAAUGUUGGUGGAGACCAGAUGUGAAAUGCAACAAGUGUGGUAAACAAGGACAUGUGAAGAGGAUUUGCAAAAAUCAACAACAAAAAGAAACUAGUGCAACAAUUGACUAUUGUCAAGAGGAGCAAUUAUUUGCAGCAACGUGUUUUGCUAAUAAAAGCACCUCUGAAAGCUAGCUUGUGGAUAGUAGUUGUACAAACCACAUGACAAAUAAUCAAGAUCUCUUUAGAGAACUUGAUAGAACAACUAUUUCCAAAGUCAGAAUUGGAAAUGGUGAGUAUAUUCCAGUUAAGGGCAAAUGAACGGUUGCUAUCAAAAGCCAAAUAGGUUUGAAACUCAUUUAUGAUGUUUUGUUUAUGCUUGACGUUGACCAAAACUUACUCAGUGUUGGACAGCUCGUUGAGAAAUGAUUUAAAGUUUAUUUUGAAGAUAGGAAUUGCAUUAUCAAGGAUGUUGAAGGCAAAGAGGUGUUUAACAUAAAAAUGAAGGGCACGAGUUUUGCCUUGAAUUUACUAUAAGAUGAGCAUGCUGCUAUUUUACAACAAUAUAGCACAACAAUGCUUUGGCACAGAAGGCUUGGGCACUUUCAUCAUGAUGUUGUGCUCUACAUGAAGAAAAAUAAAAUAGCUGAAAGACUUCCCGACUUAGAAAAAGAUCUUCCUAUAACUGCUACUUGUCAAUAUGGGAAGCAAACUAAACUUUCCUUUCCAAAGAAAACAUCCUAGAGAGCAACCCAAAAAUUGCAACUAGUGCAUACUGAUAUUGGUGGACCUCAAAAGACGUCAUCCUUGAAAGGGAAUGUAGGCAUUGUUCACCAGCUCACUGCACCAUAUAAUCCACAACAAAAUGGAGUCGUAAAGAGAAAAAAUAGAACGAUUUUGGAGAUAACAAAAUGCCUUCUGCAUGAAAAAGAUCUACCUAAAGUUUUUUGGGCUGAAGCUACAAGUACAGUAGUAUAUUUGCUUAACAAAUUGCCAACAAAAACGUUAAAGAAGCAGACCCCUUUUGAAGUUUGGUUUGAGUUUCUACGUGGAAGACUUGGAGUUUGCAUCUACUAAGUCAAGAAGGAGUGUUGAAUUUUGACCUAGUAUCUACUAGAAUUUGAAUUUUGAAGUUAAAUAUUGCAGUUGGAGUCUUGCACAAAAUCUAUAACAUCCAAAUAUUUUCUUGUUUUUAUUUGGUCAAGAUUUGGUUUCUAUUUUAUAGGAAGUAGUUGUUCAUCAUCUAGUAGCUUGAUUUUAUGCUAUUCUAAUGUCAUUUCAGUUACAAGCUCAUGUAUAAAUUCAACACUCUUCAUCAAUAAAAUGUGUGUUCCAGCAACCCAAAAUAUAUAUUCUGCAUAAGUGUUUAAAUCUUAGACCAACACAUCCUCGUCACUAGUAGUUGUGCCUCUCAGGUUACCUUUUUUAUCUCUCAGCUCAGCUCCACCUUUGCUCUUCAUGAUCUUGGUUCCCUUUACUAUUUCUUUGGCAUUGGGGUUUCUCAUAGUACUGAUUCUCUUCAUCUCUGCCAACAAAAAUAUGUGAAUGACCUGCUCACUCGUACUGCCAUAACUGAUGCUAAACUUGUUCUUACAUUGGGUUCCUUGGCCAAACCUCUCUCUCUCACUGACGGUGAUCUACUUCAUAUCAUAACAUUGUUGGCGCAUUACAGUAUGUUACUGUUACAUGUCCAAACCUUUCUUUUGCAGUUAACAAGGUAUGCCAGUUUAUGGCUUCCCAACGACUACCCACUAGCUAGCUUUCAAGAAUAUAAAAAGUAGUUAAAAAUAAAAUAAAAAUAUAGACUUAAAAUAAAAAAUAAAUUAAAAAUGAAUAAUUAAAAAUUUUAAAAAUGAUAAAUAUUUUUUUUUUUUUUAAAGUUUUCAAAAAAAUCUCAGAUAUUUUCAGAUAUAUCGGCAAUGUAUCCGAUAUAUCUCUAAUAUUUUGAUAGACUUCCUCUAUUGCUUUGUGCGUCACUUCACACUCGAUUUUUUCGCCGAUUUAUCGAUUUCAAAUUAACCGAAAUAUCAACAUAUUUCGGGGAUUUUUCUGAUAUUCCUCCGUUCAAUAAUGUUGCUUAAUAUCCUUUUAGGGUAGUCCGAUAUCCGAUAUAUUGGCGAAAUAUCACCGAUAAAAACCGAUUUUUCAAUCCAUGCUUAAUAGUGGGUUUCCCUUUUGUUUGGCCUCUUGUAGACCCCCAUUUUGGGGCUCGGUUUUUUUUAUCUCUAUUUUCUUUGUAGGUGUCACCACCCCAGGGAGCCAUGCGUCGCCUCUUUGGUGGUUGAUAGGGAAUCAACAUUGCUUUUCGGGGACCUAUGGUAGGUUGACACGUGGAAGAAUAUUCUGGAGAGCUAAUUUCCGUUAUGGGGGAGCAUAUGAGAGAGGAUAUUCUGCAGGCAUUUUGAUUCUCACAUGUGCAUGAUCACUUUGAGUAUUCAUUGAUUUCCGCAUCAAUUGUCACAUCAGCUUCAUUUUAUUUGUAGAGACCCGACUUUAGGGACUUAGAGGGGUGCUACGGUCUUUACCGUACCUUCCCGAUAAGUAAUCUGACCCCCGAGCUCAAUCCAGUUUUUCACGGACCACCUUUUCCAAAUAAGGAGUCACACUUAGGGUUUUCUUUCUUAUUUUAUUUACCCUUUAAAAAUAAAACAAAAUUAAGUGGCGACUCCAAGUCAUUUUUCUUAAUCAGUAAAAUCAUUUUCAAAAUAAAAAUUGAGCUCGCCAUCGAGUGAAAAACGCAUUAGCUGAAAUGCGGGGUCCACACCUCUGUUUUUUUUAUAAAAAAAAAAAAAAAUCCUUUCCCAUUCUAUGGCCUUGAGUGAGCAUUACGUAUUUCAACUAUUUUGACAUGUUCAAAAUAAAAUACUAAGAAUUUAAAGGGAAUUUGUUCGACAAGUACUUUUUUUUUAACAUAUUUAUUUAUACAUUAUUUAGUUUAGGUUGCAUUAUUCUAUGUAAAUAAUUUAUUGGGUAUGGGAAUUAUUUUUAUAAAUGGCUGAGUAGAUUCAAUUUUAGAUAUUUAUUUAUUGAUCAUGAAAAAUAUUUAUUAAAACAUGGUUUAACAACCAUGCGAUGGAAUCAACCUAUUAAAAAAAAUAAACUAAUACUAUAUUAUUUUAACUUAAAUUAUUUCUUGAUGGUAGCAAUGUUGAAAAAACAAAUAUCAAUAAAGACUAAUCUUAACGAGAAAAUAGUAAUUAACAUAAUUUUAUAUUAACUUGUAAAAUUGGGUCAACAUAUAAAUAUAUUAAUUGUAACAAGAAGACCUACAUUGAUAAUGAAACGUCAAUAUUAGUCUAUAUUGCCAACUUUGAAAUAUUAAUAUAUGUAUAUAGCAUAUGUUUUCAUGAUUAGGAAUUAGAGAAAAUUUUGUAGAAGAUUUUUCCAAAUUUGAAAAUAACUAUGGAAGAAAUUCAACUUAAACACGUUUCUUUGUGGAAGAGUUGCAUGUCUACUCAAGUCUCAGCAUGUUCCCUAGCCCAAAUUUCUAAACCCAAAAAUCACCCUGUGGCAAGCUUGAAGGUAAUUCAAUGAAAAUAUGCUUAAAGCUCAACGGCUAAUUUACUUAUUUGGAAGUCAUUUUUCUCUAUGUGUUGGAUGAUAAAAUUUGUUGGUCUAGGUUACACGUUCCUGCAAAGAAGAGCAGACGGAGGAUCUGAAAAAUGAAUUGAAACUGGAAUUAAUACGUAGUGUUAUUAUAUAUCGAUGGAAAUUAGUUUAAAGUUGGAUAUAUUAAUACUUAGGAUGUUUGGUAAAACUUAAUACUUAUUAUUUAAUUAUUUGAGUUGACUUUAAAUUAAAUUAUACUUAAAUUACUUACUUAAAACUUAUUACUUUAAGUAUUAAGAUAUAAAAUUAACUUAAAGUUUAUUUAAAAUCAUUAAGUUGACAUAUUUAUUCUUAUAAAUUAUAAUUAGAAUAGAAAAAGUUGAGUUUAUAGAGUUGUAAAAGAGAUCAUGAAGGUAAUUAAGACAAAUAAAGAUAAAAAGAUAAAAUGAAAAUAUAAAAUUAAAAAUAAAUUAAUUAUUUUUACUUAUUAUUUAAAGUUAUUUUUUUUACUUUAAAUCAUAUUAUCAAGUUAUUUUAUUAAAUAUGCUUAAUUUACUUAAUGACUUAAAUUAAGUUAUUAAAUUAUUUUAAGUUAUUAAGUUGAUUUAUCAAAUUUCUACUUAUUGAAUACAAAUAUAGAAGGAAAUUAGGAAAGCAAAGUAGAUGGGUUAUUAGGUGAAAGCUUAUCAAAUCCGCCUAUCAACAUAUCACACUUUUACCAAAAACCCACCUCAUGCCAAGCCUAUAAGUUGUCAAGUCCUUAUGAUCCAACAACUUUCUUAUGGUUCCCACACGGAUUUCUAUUGUUAUCAAAACAAAAAGUUUAUAAUAAAAUAUAUAUAUAUAUAUAUAUAUAUAUAUAUAUAUAUAUAUAUAUUAUAAUUCAUAAAUAAUCUGACAAUUAAAUAAAAAGAUAAACUCAUUUGUGGAAUAUAAUUAAUAAAAAAAAAAGAGAAGUGUUAAGAGUUUUAAAUUAUUAUUAUUUUAUAUUUUUUAUAUUUUAAAUAAAUAUAAUUAAAAUAAUGGAUAAAAAAUGUGCACUUUGUACCUUCAACCUAUAAGAGUUGUAAUAUUUUCAAGUUGGUAUUCUUUAACAUAAGUCAAAUUCUAACUUAUUCAACUUUGACAAUUUUAACCUAAUCCUCAUAUUGGUACAAAUUAGACUAUUCUACCUUAUUUAAGUUUUAGUCCUAAAAAAAUCAUGAGAAUUAUGGACCGAAUGAUGUAUAUUAAAUUUCUAAGAUUCAUAUUUUAAAAUUAAUAAAAUUGAAGUAUUUUCCUUCUGGAGAUUAUUUAUUAUGAUUUAUCUUUACUUUAAUUAAUUAAUUAAUAUAUAUAUAUAUAUAUAUAUAUAUAUUUCAUUGGUAGAAUUGUCCUUAAUGGCCUUUGUACAUAGAGUACAUUCCUGGUCAUAAGAAUACGUGUCAAAUAUAAAUAUGCUUUUCAAAUUUAAUCAUUCUUAUUAUAAGUUUAUUAUUAUUAUUAUUAUUUUAUUAUAUACCUUGUAAAAAUAAAAGUUAUGAUCUUACGUAAGGUCGCAAUUUGAAGUUCAAGUUCAUUAAACUGUGCAGAGUUUAGCUUUCUAUAUAUAUAUAUAAAGAAUCAAUUCCAUCAAUUCAUUAUUUUUUAAGAAUUGAAAAUUACAUAAAUAUUGAUGGUUAUAUUUUACAAAAACAUUGAAACAAAACAAUAAUAUAUUAUUAAAGUUGUUUUACUAAAUAAAAUAAUAUAAUCAUCGUUAUAUAUAUUCUUGUACUUUGUUUAUUAACAAUUUUAUUAUAUUUUCAUUUUAACUUAAGAUAAAGACAAAGGGUUGAAUUGAAAAUUUUAAUUUGCAUAAUUUAAUUAAUUUGAAAAGAAUUUUAAAUUGAGAAUUUGAAAAACAAAUUCCAAAUAAUAAAAAUAAUUUGGAAAUGAAUUUUAAAUUAAGGAUUUAAAAUUUAAAAUUUGCAAAAGGAAAUUUUUUAUAAAUCUUUUCUAAUUUUAAAUAUGAAAUAUUUCCAAAUCUUUUUAAAACUCUUAAGUUUCUAAAUUGUUUUUCAUAAAAUAUAAUCUUUAAAUUAAUUGCAACUAUAUAAAGUUUUCUCCUAUAUAUAUCCUACCUAAAUGUAUAUUUGAUGACGGUCUGACUUGUUUUUCUAUUCUUAAUCUCUAAAGAAAGAAUUCAUUACAAGUACCUACAUCCCCUCAGAAGCUUAGAGGAGUUAGAGCAUUUGGAGGUACUACAUUGUGGAUGUGGAUUAAGGUGUAGGUUCUAGCUAGUGAAUCAUUAAGGUAAAACGGUUAUUAAAUAUGUGUACUUUAAUUUCAAAUAGUGGAUUAUAAAUUAGAGGUUUUAAAUCUUGUGAUUUUUUAUGCCCACAAUUAGCAUUGAUAUUUUCAAAUUAAAAUUUCUUGUGUCCCUUAUUUGAUUAUUUUUAUUAUUUUGAUUAUCCCUAUUAUCUCUUAGUUUAAAUUGAGUUAAUAUUAUUUAACUCUUAUAUUAUUUUCUUUAAAAAUCACCCCACUCUCAAUGUCAUCCUCUUGGACAAAAGCGUGUAUAUAUAUAUAUAUAAUUCACAAAUCUUGAAAAUAUAUUUAAUAUUAAAAUAUCAUUCCAUGUAAUUUGGAAGUAUUCAAAGAUGUAAAAGAUAUGAUAAUAUAUGUAUAAUUAUUUUUUAUUUAAAAAUAUUAAUAAUUACAUUUGCAACUUUAUUUUGUCCUCAUUAUUUAAUUAAUAUACAAAAAGAUAUGGGAAUAGAAUUAUCAAAAGAAUUGUCAUAAUAAAGCUUUAUAUUCUUCAUAAUAAGUUAAAUUAAGGUGAUAUUUAUUUAUUUUACUUAAAUCUAAAUAAAAAUUAAUUUAACUUAAUUGUAAAUAUAACUUAAUAGAAUUAAUUAUUAUAUUUUUUUGUUUUUUAUAAUUUUAUUUUUGUUAAGCGUUAAAUAUUAAUUGGGUGAGAGUCCUACUAAGGUUGUGCUUUGACUUAUUCAAAAAAUUAUUUUUAGUAAUGAGCAAAAAGUUAAAUAUUUUACUUUUAUCUAUUCAUUAAAAAAAUCUUAAAAAUUAAUUUUUUUUUUGUUUUAUUUAAAAUAGUGAAUGGAGUUUGAGUCGAAUUUUAAUUAUUUGGUAAAAUAAUAAAAUUAGUUUUUUAUUUAAAAGAAAAAAUAAAGGUAAGUCAAAGAUAUAAAGAUAAUUAUUUUAUUUUAAAUAAGAAAGAUUCAAAUAAAUAAAAAAAGAAAAAGUUAAUGAGCUACAAAUUUUAGGAUUAAUUGAUUAAAAUGGGUGAAAAUAUCUCAAAUUUGUAAAACUAAUCUCUUCCAUUUUUUAACUUAAAGAGUAACACUUGUUUGACAUAAAUACCCUUCAACAUUUUCAUUAUUUACAUAUGUAUUUUAAAAGAAAAUGUAAUUUUUGUAAGAAAAAAGUGAGAGUAUUCUUAUGUAUUUUUUGGAUGAAAAAAAAUGGUUUGCAAUUUGAUAUUUCUUUUGUCCUUUUUAAUCGGUUAUCCCCAAAUUUUUUUUACGGAAAAUACAAAUUCUAAAAAUAUUUGGUUUUAUUGCUAUUUUUAAAUUUAAAUAUAUUUUUACCUUAAUUAUAUUUUUAUUUCAAAAUAAUUGAUGAUGAUUUAGUUGAAUUCUAACAUUUAAUGGAGUUUUAGUUGAAUUCUAACACUAUAAUAUAAAGUGACCCGAUAAAAUUAUAAAAUCAAUUUUAUUUAAAAAUAAAUAAAGUUGAGUUAAAAAUAGUAUUAAAUAAAUUAAAUUUUAAAAAUAAAAUUUAAUAGUUUUACCUUAAAUAAAAAAUAUUAAAAGAAAAAAUAAUUAGAUAGAUAGGCUUUAAAUUUUAUUAAGAGAAACAUAAAUUUUUUUUUUUAAAAUUGUUUUUAUUUAUUUUCAAUUUUAAAAUUUUAUUUCUAUUUUUUAUUUAAAUGUAUUUUCAAAUUUUAUCUAAAAAUAGUUAAUAGAGUUUUGGUUGAAUUUUAAGACUAUAAGAUAAGCGAAUAGUUGAAAUUAUAAAAUGAAAUUUUUUAUUAAAAUGAAAAGAAAGUUAAGUUAAAGAUACUAUAAAUUAUGAUUAGAAGAAUGAAAAUCAAUAUAAAAAAAAAAAUGGUUUUAUCUUAAAUUAGAAAUAUUUAAAAAAAAAAAGAAUAAUGUAUUGAAAAAUAUAACUUUGUGGUAGAAGAGCAAUGACUAUGCUCUUUUGAAUACCCUAGUUUAUGUUCAUUUUUUAAAAUUUAAAAAGAAUAAACAUCUUUUAGAUAUUAACAAAAAUAAAUUUAAAUAGAUUCUUUAACAUAAAACCUAAAAAACAUUUGUUGUUGGCCAAAAAAUCCAACUAUGAGCCCUUUUAUGACAAGUGAAACUUCCAAAUCUUCUGAAGAGUUUUUUAUCUUAGUAUUAAAAUCUAAAAGCAGAAUAUUUAUACUAUGAGUUGUCUUUUUAACAACUAAUUUAUUUUAUUAAAUGUAAUAAUAUACAUUAAUAUGUUGUAAAUGAAAAGUAAUGAAUGACCACAUUGAUGGCCAUUAUGAACUCCAUUUACUCAUCUUUAAGAUGAGUAAUGGGAGUUCAUAUUAUGAAGCCUAUAAAAGGCUUCUUACCCCCCCAUGUAAAAGGAUCCCGAGAAAAGAAAGAAAGUUCUUCCUCUCAUUCUCUCUCUCUCUCUUUCUUUCACUUUCUCGAUUCUCUUAUUUGAUUCCUUCUUCCAUAUUAUAUAUCAAAGUAAGAUAUAUUUUAUCUCUACUACUUUGAUUUGCAUUAUAUUUGUCCUUGUUUUACAACACGUUAUCAGCACGAAUUGCUCUGAAGGUAAUUCUCGUAUCUUAAACUUGAAGUUAUUUAUAUAAAAUAAAAUUUUACAUAUUUAUAUUAUUGUUGAUUUGUUUUGUUACAUAUUGUUAAAAGUUAUAAACAAAUUAUUUGAUUUUGUUUAUAAUCAAAGUUAUACCAAUGCUAUCAAGUUAUUAUAACUGAUUUUAAUAAUAUUGUUUUGUCAUAUAUAUGAAGUUAUUUGACAAUGUCGAAUAUUACAAAACUCGAAUUUGUGGCACUUGACAUUUCGGGAAAGAACUAUCUAUCUUGGAUCCUUGAUGCUGAAUUACAUCUUGAUGCAAUGAACCUUGGAGCUACGAUCAAACAAGGAAAUCAAGCAUCCCUGCAGGAUCGCGCAAAAGCAUUGAUUUUCCUUCAUCAUCACCUCCAUGAAGGUUUAAAAAAUGAGUAUCUUACGGUAAAGGACCCUUUUACUCUAUGGAGUAAUUUGAAAGAAAGAUAUGACCACUAGAAAACUGUGAUUCUCCCAAAAGCUCGAUAUGAUUGGAUGCACCUAAGGUUGCAAGAUUUUAAAACUGUUAGUGAAUACAACUCUGCACUUUUCAAAAUCAGCUCUCAAUUAAAGCUGUGUGGAGAAAAAAUCACAGAGGAAGACAUGUUAGAGAAAACUUUUACUACGUUUCAUGCCUCGAAUGUGCUCCUGCAGCAGUAAUAUCGAGAGCGUAGAUUUACAAAAUAUUCUGAAUUAAUAUCAUGUCUUCUUGUUGCUGAACAAAAUAAUGAGCUUUUGAUGAGAAAUCACCAGUCUCGUCCAACUGGAUCUGAACCAUUCCCUGAAGUGAAUGCAAUAUCGUCCCAAACUCGUGGACGUGGACGAGGACGAGGACGUGGUCGUGGUCAUGGAAGAAAUCCUCGAUACCAUGGUUCUUAUAGUAAUAAUUCUCAUAAAAUGAAAGCCUCAUUGCACCACCAGAAGUGGAACAAUACUGAGACAAUACAAGAAAAUGGGAAGCGUUUACAAGAUAAACCUCCUAAGAACCAUGAGAAUAAUUGUUAUAUAUGUGGUAUGAAGGGGCAUUGGUCGCGUACCUGUCGUACGCCCAAACAUUUGGUCGACCUUUACCAAGCAUCAAUAAAAGCUAAAGGAAAAGAGAUAGAGAUGAACUUUACCGAUGGUGAUGGAUUGGACCUAACCUACUAUGACAUUGAUUUCUUUGGAGGUCCCAAUGAAAAACCAGACCAUUUGAUAAAUGAUGAAAAAAUUAACAUUGAUUGAUGUUACUCUAUAUAUACAAUAAUAUAUUAUUAUGUCUUAUAUUUACAUCUGAUUUACUUUGUUAUUUACAUUAUGCCUUUUUUUUUGUUAUAUCUGAAAUCCAUGUGUUAUUUGGUCUCAAGAUGAAUGAGGAUGAUGUAUGUCUCGCAGACUGUGCGACCACGCACACAAUUCUUCAAGAUAAAAGAUAUUUCCUUGAAUUGACAUUAAUAAAAGCUAAUGUAAGUACCAUAUCUGGUACUACAAACUUAGUUGAAGGCUCUGGAAGAGCAAACAUAACAUUGCCAAAUGGAACUAGAUUCCAUAUAAAUGACGCGUUAUAUUCUAGCAAAUCCAGAAGAAAUUUGCUCAGUUUUAAAGAUAUCCGCAGAAAUGGAUAUCAUAUUGAAACUAUGAAUGAAGAUAAUGUAGAAUAUCUUUACAUUACUUCCAUUAUAUCUGGCCAGAAGCUUAUAAUGGAAAAAUUGCCGGCUUUUUCCUCUGGGUUGUAUCAUACAACUAUAAAGCCUAUUGAAUCAUAUGUUGUCGUGAACCAGAAGUUCAACGACCCAAAAGUUUUUGUCCUUUGNNNNNNNNNNNNNNNNNNNNNNNUGGUCACAUGUUUGUCUCCUUUCUACACGUAACGUAGCCUUUGCUAGACUCCUUGCACAAAUAAUCAGAUUACGAGCACAAUUUCCAGAUUAUCCAAUUAAGACAAUACGUCUUGAUAAUGCUGGCGAAUUUACUUCUCAAACAUUCAUUAACUAUUGCAUGUCAGUAGGGAUAAAUAUUGAGCAUCCUGUUGCUCAUACUCAUACCCAGAAUGGUUUAGCAGAAUCCUUCAUCAAACGUCUCCAAUUAAUAGCUCGACCAUUACUAAUGAAAACCAAAUUACCUACUUCCGCCUAGGGACAUGCUAUUAUGCAUGCUGCAGCUUUAGUCCGUAUUCGACCUUCAACUUACCAUGAAUACUCCCCUUCACAACUUGUGCUUGGAAAACAACCAAAUAUCUCUCACUUACGAAUCUUUGGUUGUGCAGUAUAUGUACCAAUUGCACCUACACAACGCACUAAAAUGGGUCCCCAACGAAGACUUGGGGUUUAUGUAGGUUUUGAUUCUCCAUCUAUCAUAAGAUAUCUUGAACCUUUGACUGGAGAUGUUUUUACAGCCCGCUUUGCAGAUUGUCAUUUUAAUGAGAGUGUUUUCCCAUCAUUAGGGAGAGAAAAGUCGAUUCUUGAAGAACGACGAGAAAUUAGUUGGAAGACAUCUACUAUGACCCAUCUUGAUUCUCGUACAAAUCAAUGUGAACUAGAAGUUCAAAGGAUCAUUCAUUUGCAAAAUCUUGCAAAUCAAUUACCAGAUGCAUUCAUUGAUACAAAGAAAGUGACAAAGUCACAUAUCCCGGCUGCAAAUACUCCAGCACAGAUUGAUGUCCCUGUAGGACAGUUAACAAAUGAAUCUAAGAUACGCCUGAAGCGUGGUAGACCUGUCGGCUCAAAGGAUGUAACUCCCCGGAAGAGGAGAACCCAAGAAAAACUUGGCACUCUAGAAGAUGCCAUCAAAAUGACUGAUCAGUUUAAAAUUGAUAAAUCUAUAGCCCUAGAAGAGGCACAAAUAAUGCAGAAAGCCCCUGAAGAGGUAAAUAUUGAACAAGAAGCCCCCGAAGAGGCACAUAUUGAACAAGAAACCCCUGAAGAUCCACAUAUUGAACGAGAAGCCCCUGAAGAGGCACAGGUACCUGAAAAUUGUGAGAUCUCAGUAAGUUAUGUACAAACGGGAGAAAAAUGGGAUUGAAAUAAUAUUGUUAUUAACAAUAUUUUUGCUUUCCAAGUGACCUUUGAUAUCAUAAGAAAUGAUGAAGAUCCCGAACCACGAAAUGUGGAAGAAUGUCGACAUAGAAAUGAUUGGCCAAAAUGGAAAGAAGCUAUACAGGCAGAAUUAAACUCAUUAACAAAACGAGAAGUUUUUGGACCUGUAGUCCAAACACCUGAAGAUGUAAAGCCUGUUGGGUACAAAUGGGUAUUUGUACGAAAGCGCAAUGAGAAUAAUGAGAUCAUAAGAUAUAAAGCGCGAUUAGUGGCACAAGGUUUCUCGCAGAGACCUGGUAUUGACUACGAGGAAACAUAUUCUCCCGUCAUGGACGUAAUCACAUUUCGUUUCUUAAUUAGUUUGGCAGUCUCAAAAGGACUGGAUAUGCGUCUCAUGGAUGUUAUUACAUCAUAUUUAUACGGAUCCAUGGAUAAUGAUAUAUACAUGAAAAUCCCCAAAGGAUUUAAAUUGCCUGAUGCAAAUAAUACAAAGCCUCGUAGCAUGUACUCAAUCAAGUUACAACGAUCCUUGUAUGGAUUAAAGCAAUCUGGACGCAUGUGGUACAAUCGCCUUAGUGAAUACUUGCUAAAAGAAGGGUAUGUGAAUAACCCUAUAUGCCCAUGCAUCUUCAUUAAGAAAUCAGAAACCGGAUUUGCAAUUAUUGCAGUGUAUGUGGAUAACUUAAAUCUUGUUGGAACUCCUGAAGAGCUCACAAGAACAACAAAUUACUUGAAAAAGGAAUUUGAGAUGAAAGAUCUUGGAAAAACAAAAUUUUGUCUCGGCCUGCAGAUCGAGCAUUUUCCAAAUGGAAUUUUAGUACAUCAAUCAACAUACAUUAAGAAAGUUUUGAAGCGUUUUUAUAUGGAUAAAGCGCAUCCUUUAAGUUCUCCAAUGGUUGUCUGAUCACUUGAUGUGAAAAAAGACCCAUUUCGUCCUUGCGAAAAGGAUGAAGAGUUGCUUGGUCCUGAAGUACCAUAUCUUAGUGCUAUUGGUGCACUUAUGUAUCUUGCCAAUUGUACACGUCCAGACAUUGCUUUUUCUGUCAAUUUAUUAGCAAGAUACAGUUCCGCUCCAACUCGAAGACAUUGGAAUGGUAUCAAACAUAUAUUACGUUAUCUUCGCGGAACUACUGAUAUGGGUUUAUUUUACUCAAGGGAAUCAAAGCAACAAUUGCUUGGAUAUGCAGAUGCAGGAUAUCUUUCAGAUCCACAUAAAGGCAGGUCACAAACAGGGUAUGUGUUUAAUUGUAAUGGUACUGCUAUUUCAUGGAGAUCUGUCAAACAAACAAUGGUAGCCACAUCAUCAAAUCAUUCAGAAAUACUGGCAAUUCAUGAAGCAAGUCGUGAAUGUAUAUGGCUAAGAUCUAUGAUCCAACAUAUUCGGGAAUCAUGUGGACUCUCCUCUAUCAAAGGUGACCCGACAACAUUAUUUGAAGAUAAUGUUGCAUGCAUUGCACAAAUAACAGGGGGUUAUAUUAAAGGAGAUAGAACAAAACACAUUUCACCAAAAUUCUUUUAUACACAUGAACUCCAGAAGAGUGGUGAAAUUGAUGUGCAACAAAUACGCUCAAGUGAUAAUCUAGCAGAUUUAUUCACAAAAUCAUUGCCAACUUCAACAUUCAAGAAGUUAAUACACAGGAUUGGAAUGCGUCAACUCAAGGAUAUCGACAUGAGGGGGAGUAUGCUUGUAAAAGGGUGUUAGUGUACUAUACUCUUUUUUUCCUUCGUCCAGGUUUUGUCCUACUGAGUUUUACUGGCAAGGUUUUUAACGAGGCAGUCCUAAUAUGCCAAGAAAAGAAUAUUGUACUCUUUUUCCUUCGCUAGGUUUUUCCUAUAGGGUUUUUUACUAGCAAGGUUUUAAUGAGGCAUAUUCUUUUAAUAUGGUGGUCAUCCAAGGGGGAGUGUUGUAAAUGAAAAGUAAUGAAUGACCACAUUGAUGGCCAUUAUGAACUCCAUUUACUCAUCUUUAAGAUGAGUAAUGGGAGUUCAUAUUAUGAAGCCUAUAAAAGGCUUCUUACCCCCCAUGUAAAAGGAUCCCGAGAAAAGAAAGAAAACUCUUCCUCUCAUUCUCUCUCUCUCUCUUUCUUUCACUUUCUCAAUUCUCUUAUUUGAUUCCUUCUUCCAUAUUAUAUAUCAAAGUAAGAUAUAUUUUAUCUCUACUACUUUGAUUUGCAUUAUAUUUGUCCUUGUUUUACAACAAUAAAUUAUAGUUGAGUUUUUUUUUAAAAAAAAAUUGGCAUAUGCUUGUAUUACUUUGUUAGCUUGGAGGACGAAAAGCCUAUACAAAUAAUGAGUUGAAUGAAAUAAGAAGCGAGUAAAUUACAUGUAUCAAUGAAAUUGUAAUUUUUAGAUUACAGAAAUGAGUACAUGCAUUAAUAUAUAUGAAAAUAUAUAGUGAUUAUGAGAUUUGAGAAUCUAUUUAUUUUGAAUGAUGGGAAUUAAACUUCGUAAAAUUUCAAUGUAGAUCGGAAGUAAAUUUUUUUGUUACUUGAAAUAUUCACAACUUCUUUCCUGUAGUGAUGUUAUUUUGUAAUAGAACUUCCCUGGACAAUCGUUUUCAUGACUGGGAAUUGAAUUAGAGAAAAUUUUGUAGAAGAUUUUUUCAAAUUUGGAAAAAUCGCAUGUAGAAGAGUUGAAUUGGCAAGGAAAUCUACACACUCGUUGAACAGUCUAGGCCCACUUUUCCAAUCAGCCUAGCACGUUUUUUUGAAUUGAAUAACCACGGAUUGAUAUUGAUUGGAUCCAUUAUCAGUCAUUCAAUCCUAAAGCAUUCAUUUGUCAAACUCCAAGGAAUAUAGGUUUGGCCGAGUGAACAUUUCAAUACUAAACUUGUCCAAAUACAUUAAUUUGAUAUUUUUAGUAAAUAUGAUGCGCAAAAUGAAACCUACUUGGUCGAUAAUGACCUAGUGGUUAGGGCAAUCCCUCAAAAUUCAUAAAAAAAGAAGAUGCAAAUAGAAUCAAAUAGUAGUUCUUAUGUUAUUUUUUCAAAAAAUAGUUAUCGAGUCUGGAAAUGGGUAUUUUUCAUUUACGAAGCUUAAUCCUAUGGGAUUUAAUUUUCAUCGACUAGGAGAAUAAUUUGAUCCUAGCCACACCUAAUGUUAACGACUUGUUUAGGUAUUUUGAGUGAAGAGGACAACGGUUCCACACCGUGGGCCCCAAAACUGAACCAAAUCCCUCAUACUAUUCAACUACAUACUACCACUGCAUGCCAAGCCGUCUCUCUCAUACUUACCAAUUCUUUCUCUAGUCCAGAUUCUUAAACCCCAACAUUUGGGGUGACCAAUUUAUUACCUACACUCCCGAAGAAAGUUAAUUCAAUGAAAUUAUGUUUAUAUACUUAUUUGGAAGUUAUUUUUCUUAGGAUGAUAAAAUUUGCUGGUCUAGGUUACAAGUGCCUACAAAGAGGAGCAGAUUGAGGAUCUGAAAAAUGAAUUGAAAAUGGAAUUAUACAUGGUGUUGACUAUAAGAAUUUCAGUGGAUUCAAAAAGCCCCAAUUUAUACCUUAGCCGCCCCUAAUAGUUUCGGCUCUUGCUUCAUAAAUUUAGCCAAGGGACUCAUGAAAAAACUUUUUCUUUCACGUCAUCAAUCCCUUUCAUACACUACUUUCAACGUUUUUAUUUUACAUUAUCUUCAACAAUAGAACAUUUAGAAUAUCCUCUUGCGGAACAAGUUGCUCAUGCACUAAAGCAGCCCAUUAGAAAAGGUUUAGAGAGGCUAGAGGCAAGGUGGUAUAUGUCUAUCUACCAGGAUGAAACUUCGCAUGACACAACUUUACUAAAGCUGGCCAAGUUAGAUUUCAAUCUAGUGCAGUCCCUACACAAGGAGGAGCUAAGCAAUAUUGCUAGGUUUGCUUUCAAAUCACUAGCAGAUAUACCUAGUCACCUUCUCAUUUUACCAUGAGCUAAUUGUUUUAAUGAAUUUUAGGUGGUGGAAAGAAUUAGACUUUGCUACAAAGCUACCUUUUGCGAGAGAUAGAUUGGUGGAAGGCUACUUUUGGAUACUUGGGGUGUACUUUGAGCCUCAAUAUGUCCGGGCUAGACGAAUUCUAACCAAAACAAUUUCCAUGACAUCCAUUAUAGAUGAUAUAUAUGACGCAUAUGGCACAUUUGAAGAACUCGAGCUCUUCACCGAGGCCAUUGAGAGGUUUGAUUGAUGCAAAUUACCAACCUUCAUCAUUUAUACUGUAUGUGAUACUUAAAUCAAGCCUGGUUUUAUUUUCAGGUGGGAUAUUAAUAGCAUAGAUCACCUUCCAGAAUACAUGAAACACUGCUAUGUGGCACUCUUAGAUGUGUACAAAGAAAUUGAGGAAGAGAUGGAGAAAAAAGGAAACCAAUAUCGGGUUCAAUAUGCGAUAGAAGCGGUAGGACAUUCUGCAUCGACUUUGUUUUGUAUAGUAACAUAUCGUAAGGAUAUAGAUGUAACCUGAUUGAAUGUUUGACAGAUGAAAAACCUAGUUAGAGCUUAAUUUCAUGAGGCUAAAUGGUUCCAUGAAGGACGCAUACCAACAAUGGAAGAGUAUAUGAUAAUAAUAGGUUUAUCUUAGGGAAUCAAUAAUUAUUUUUGUAUGUUAUAAAGAUUACAUUUAUACUUGAAUUAUUUUUAAUUUAUUAUAUCAUAUAAAUUUUUUAUCUUAUAAUAUUGUAAAUUUUAAUUAUAUUAGGAAAUCAAUGAAUGCUUUUAUAACUAUUUAAAUGAUGUUAGUUAUGAGAUAAUUUUAUUUUAUUAUUGUUUUUUUACCUUAUUUACUUGUACCUAUUUUUUAAUAAUUUACAUAAUAUUUUUAUAAUUUUUAAAAUUUUCUAAUUAUCAUAUUUUUUUGUAUAUGACACUUAAAUCAAGCCUGGUUUUAUUUUCUGGUGGGAUGUUAACAGCAUAGAUCACCUUCCAGAAUACAUGAAACACUGCUAUGUGGCACUCUUAGAUGUGUACAAAGAAAUUGAGGAAGAGAUGGAGAAAGAAGGAAACCAAUAUCGGGUUCAAAAUGCGAUAGAAGCAGUAGGACAUUCUGCAUUGACUUUGUUUUGUAUAGUAACAUAUCGUAAGGAGAUAGAUGUAACUUGAUUGAAUGUUUGACAGAUGAAAAACCUAGUUAGAGCUUAUUUUCAUGAGGCUAAAUGGUUCCAUGAAGGAAGCAUACCAACAAUGGAAGAGUAUAUGGGGAUAGCACUGGUAACCUCAGGUUACUACAUGCUUACAACCAUGUCUUUCAUUGGUAUGGGAGAAAUUGUAACAAAGGAGGCCUUUGAUUGGGUGAUUAGUGACCCUAAGAUUAUCACAGCAUCAGCUGUAAUUUGCAGGCUCACGGAUGACAUCAGUUCAUAUAAGGUAUUGUGAAUAUAGUAUUUCUUGUUAAGCUAUAAUUUGACCUUGACCUUAAAGCUCAAUCAAUUAAACAUAUUUAUUGUACUCAUUUGUGCGAUUCUUUUUCUUGGUAUCCAUGAUUAAUUAACAAAGGUAUUGUUUUUUUUUUUUUGGAAAAAAAAAAAGAGAAGUUCAAAUUUAUUUUUUUCCUCUCUCUCUCUCUCUCUCCCUCCACACGCUCAUUAAUUUUAAUGUUAAGAUAUCAGCCCAAUUGACUUGAUUUAUAUUAACUUAAAACUUUUGUUCUAAUAGGUACCUUCAUAUAACGGUAAAGCCUUGAUUUUUAUAGGAGGUCAUGGAGGUGAACUGUGAACCUUACUGAUGUGUACCCAAACCAUACCAUUUAUUUAUAAUAUUGUCAUCAUAAUAUUUAAAUAUGGGACAUUUUAUGCAUUCAUUAUGUAGAUAUCCCUUUGUAAUAUACAUUCGUUGAGUUGGAGGAUGGUAACAUCGAUAUCCCUUUUUGUGUAAUGCAUAUCCAACAAACACACAUUGCAAUGCAUGGGAAGUUAACUUGGUGCGUUGGUGUUUAUGUAGAUGCACAAAUGCCACGCAACCAAAAACACGAGGAGGUAGAUUUGGGACAGUUGGGACAACUACGGCAUUAGUAAGAGUUUGGAGAGGUGUUUGGAAGUUAAUUGAGCUGGAAGGUACCCGAUUGAUCAAGUAUGCGGCAUGACUCGUGCCCAAUUGGUGUCUCAGCUGAUUUGUGUUCAGCUGGUGCUCCUUGAUUGAGGAAGUGAUCAACAAAAUUUAUACCUAUAACACCAUACACUAGGGUAGCAAAUACAAAGCUACUAUAGUAUAGUGGCUCUAAGGAUCGUUCACUGGGAAUGAUGAACAAGCAAUCAAGGAUACCAAUUCCAAGUGAAUUGGUUUUGUUUCAUUUCACGGUUAGCUUAAGGAAUAAAACACAAACUUUGAUUGGUAAAGGUUUAGACUUAAACUAACUAACUUAACAGAAGUUUGGAAUAAUUUAGGAAGAAAAGCAUUCCUUGGAGAAUUAGGUUCACUGGGGUGGUUCCUCAUGCAAAAGACAUAGCUCCGGUCAGAUGGUUCAUUUCCUCGCAUUAGAGAUUCAACUUAGAGUCAAUUCUCUAACCGGUGAUGUACAGAGACUCCUUCAAUUAGAUUUCACUUUAAUUCUCUCACUGAUACAACUUGCAAUGGUUCAUGCCUCUCACGAGCACUUACCAUUCAAGGUGAUCUUUAACCUUGGAUUCCCCUUCACAAACUCGCAAGAGAUAACUAAUGGAUGUCUCCUAGGAGUCCAAAAGCUUACCAAGUGUUGGUAAUUCCAGAAAAUCCUACCUUGAAGUCACCUACCAAAGGCUCGCAAGGGGUAAACUAGUGCAUUUCCACGGUUAGAAAUCACUUGCCUUACCAAGUGUUGGCCCAGGUGACUCCAAAGUGUUUUAAGUUAACUAAAAACAUUGAAAUCACUAAAGGAUUUCACUUCCUCUUCAUUACUAGCUAAAACCACAAAGCUUUGCAUUCUUGCACUUGGAACCUUCCCCGGCAACCUUAGCUCCAAGGAAUUGGAGGUUUAGUUACUCAUUCUCUGGGGAAAACUCCUCAGAGAAUUCAUAACUUAGAAAUAAAAUGAAAAUAUAAAGUGAGAAGGUAAGGCAGUAGAAAGAAAAGACUUUUACUUGCUUACCAAAAAACGAUUACAGAAGGAACUCCUCUCUGAGAACAUGCUCUCGAGAGGUAUUUAUAUUAAAGCAAUAUAAAACUAAUUCUUACACUGAUAUUUGGUCUUUUUACUAACUUAAAAACUAAGGAAUCAUGUAAUUGGUGGUUUACAAGGAGUAUUUUGGAAUUUAGACAACAAAAAUCUAAUGGAAAAUAUCUCCCAAUGUCGGUAGCAAGCUUCGGGAGGCUUCAGGAGCCAUUUCGCAGGAGAAAAGUGGUGCCUGCGAAAUUUCGCAGACACCCAAGAGGGCUGCGAAAUUAUUUCGCAAGACCAAGCUAUCUUCACCAGGCUGCAAAGUUGGCUUCCAUCUUGAAGUUUCCAGCUCCCUUCUCGCGGCAUGGUUCGUGCAUCGUCAGAAGGAGAAACACCUUACUGUACAAAAGCGUUGCGAAAAUCUCGCAACAAAAGGCUGAUUCCGCAGCACUUUAGAGUGACUGGCUUGUAAUGGCUGCAACUUCUUCGUUUCAACUCCAAAUCGCGCACCGUUUGAAGCAUUGGAUUGUUGACUUCCUGAGCUUUGAAAUGGUAUAUAGCUUGCAUCAUUUGGACUUCAGAAAGUGCUCCAAAAGUGGCUGCUACGACUGUCAUCAAGAAUAGGCUUCAUGACUGAUCCUCUUUGCUUUUUCUCCUUGCAAUCCGGAUUCACUCUUGGCAAUUGAAUUCUAAGCUUUUCCCAUGAUUCCUCAUAGCUCUCCUCAUUCUUGACUUGCUUUGGUGAUCAAAAUACUAACAAAAACACCAAAACUUGCACAAAGUGAUCAAAAUUGCUUUAAAGGAUCCUUAACAUGCCAAUUGAGUUAAAAGGCCUAAACUACUACUCAAAAGUGUUAAAAAGGAUUAAUUAAAGGCUAUCAAAUAGCACUUUUUGAGUAGUAAUCACGGCAGAUGUGAUUGCUUCUCCCCAAUAAGAUAUCGAUGUUUUUGCUGCUAUCAAGUAAGCACGAACAACCUCUAACAAGUGCCGAUUUUUUCGUUCAGCACAACCCGAGCCUUACUCUUUCAAGGGAAUGUUCCUAAGUCCUAUUGAGGAGAAGUUGUUCUUACUGCCACAUACAUGAUAAAUAGAAUUCCGUCACGAGUUUUAGAAAACAAAAGCCUCAUAGAGAUACUUAAGAGUUUCUAUCCACACUUCAGAACCUCAAAUGGGCUCACUCCUAGGGUAUUUGGGUGCACAACAUUUGUUCAUGUCCACAACCAACAUAGAGACAGCUAGACCCCCGAGUCAUAAAAUUUGUCUUUCUUGGUUACUUCAUCCACUAAAAAGGAAACAAAUGUACAUCCCNNNNNNNNNNNNNNNNNNNNNNNNNNNNNNNNNNNNNNNNNNNNNNNNNNNNNNNNNNNNNNNNNNNNNNNNNNNNNNNNNNNNNNNNNNNNNNNNNNNNUGUUACAAUCCCAUAACAAAAAUUUUUUACAUCUUUGCAGAUGUCACCUUCACAGAAAAUAAACCUUUUUUCCCAAAGUCCUCUUUUUAGGGGGAGAUUUCAAUGAUAGAAGAUAGUCCUGAGUCCUUUGAACCUCUUGACCUUCCUCAUGUCUCAACCCAUGGUGAUGAAAUACCUGAGUCAUCCGAGUCAAUCACACCUGAGUCACCCAAUUUUGCCACUAAACCCGUGUCAUCCCAUGUUCCAAGCAGUGUCACUCGCAAUUUUCCAUAGUUUCCUAAGGUGUAUUCAAGGGAAAAGGCCAUUCCAGAACAAAAGUAUGUCCAAGAAUCCAACUCAGACCCUGGGAAUGAAAUCACGCUAAGAUCAGACCCACCUUUACAUACACAACCUGGUGAAACUUCUACUAACUCAACAGACAACCUAGACCUAGACCUUCCCAUUGCUAUCAGAAGAGGCACCAAAGAAUGCACUAAUUGACCACUCUAUCCACUAUCACACUAUGUGUCUCUUAAGCACCUAUCACUAGCCCACAAAAAUUUCAUUGUGAGUCUAAACACCACUAUCAUCCCUAACACUGUUUCUAAGGCAUUGACAAAAAGGGAAUGAAAUGAUGCUAUGAGAGAGGAGAUGAGUGCAUUAGAAAAGAAUAAAACAUGGGAGAUUGUUGAAAGACCGAAAGGGAAAAACAUUGUUGAUUGCAAGUGGAUUUUCACACUGAAAUAUAAGACUGAUGGAUCUCUUGAGAGACAUAAAGCAAGAUUGGUAGCCAAAUGGUACACUCAAACUUAUGGAGUAGAUUAUCAGGAGACUUUUGCUCCAGUUGCAAAAAUAAAUACUAUGAGAAUCCUAGUCAUUGGCUGCCCACUACAAUUGGAAACUCCUAUAAUAUGAUGUUAAGAAUGCAUUUCUUCAUGAUGAUUUAGAUGAAGAGAUUUACAUGAACAUCCCCCCGGGAUUUGAGGGAAACACUGGUAAUAAGGUGUGCAAACUGAAAAAGGCCCUUUAUGGGCUAAAACAAUCUCUUAGGGCUUGGUUUGAGAGAUUUGCAAAAGUCAUGAAAGAGUCUGGGUACAAACAAAGCCAAGGUGACCACACUCUCUUCAUUAAGCACUCGGUUGCAGGGGGAGUAACUGCUCUUCUAGUCUAUGUUGAUGACAUCAUAGUGACUGGAAAUGAUGAGAGAGAAAAACAUGAAGUGAAGCAGAGAUUAGCAAUAAAGUUUGAGAUAAAGGAACUAGGGAAACUAAAGUACUUCCUUGGUAUUGAGGUGGCAUAUUCCACACAAGGGAUCUUCAUUUCUCAACAAAAGUAUGUGACUGAUUUAUUGGCAGAAACAGGGAAGAUUGGGUGUAAACCAGUCUCUACCCCCAAUGGAUCCAAACCACAAGUUGGGAAAAGCUAAAGAAAAACUAGUGUUGGAUAAAAGAAUGUACCAGAGGCUGGUUGGUAGGCUCAUAUACCUUGUUCACACUCGGCCAGACAUCGCCUACUCGGUGAGCAUGAUCAGUCAAUUCAUGCAUGAUACAAGAGAACCUCAUCUUCAAGCUGCUUAUAGGGUGCUACAUUACUUGAAAGGCAACCCCGGGAAAGGAAUUUUGUUCAGGAAGAACAAUACUCUUGCUCUAGAGCAUACACUAACACUGACUAUGCAAGUUCCUUAGUGGAUCGAAGAUCAACUACAGGGUAUUGUACUUUUCUUGGAGGUAAUCUGGUAACAUGGAGAAGUAAAAAGUAGAAUUUGGUAGCAAGAUCGUCUGUAGAAUCAAAGUUUAGGGUCAUUGCUCAAGGGUUGUGUGAACUACUUUGGCUGAAGAUUAUUCUAGAUGAUUUGAGAAUCAAGUGGGAUGGUCCUAUGAAACUCUAUUGUGAUAAUAAGUCAACUAUCAAUAUUGCUCAUAACCCUAUACUACACGAUAGGACAAAACAUAAUAAGAUCGAUAGGCAUUUCAUCAAAGAAAAAUUGGAGAAAGGAGUAGUGUGUAUGUCCUAUGUUGCAUCAGAACAUCAAUUAGUUGAUAUCCUAACAAAAGGGCUGAACAGUUCAAUGUUUCACAGUCUUGUAUUCAAGCUGGGAAUGGAAAACAUCUAUUCCUCAGCUUGAGGAGGAGUGUUGAGCUAUAAAUAGAUAGUAGAAUUAUUUUCCUAUUAUGUUAGUUUCCUAUUUAUGUAAAUAGAUAGUUUUAUUAGUUUCCUAAUUCUGUAAAUAGAUAGUUUUAUUACUUUCCUAUUUCUAUAAAUAGAUAGUUUUAUGAUUUAGGAAUAAAUUAGUUUUCUAUUAUGUCUCUUGUUUCCUAUUUCUUCUCUUGUAAUCUCCUAUAUAAACUGUGUAUGGUCAAUAUAAGAAACAAAAAUUAUUAUUUUCCAUCCCAUAUUUCGUAUCAAGAUGCAUGCCAUAAAAAUGGUAAGAUGAACAACAACAAGCCAAGCAACAAAAAAAAAAAAAAUGGAGUUUUUCCACCUUGUCCUCAUUGCAAGAAGACAAAUCAUUCUCCACAAAAAUGUUGGUGGAGACCAGAUGUGAAAUGCAACAAGUGUGGUAAACAAGGACAUGUGGAAAGGAUUUGCAAAAAUCAACAACAAAAAGAAACUAGUGCAGCAGUUGACUAUUGUCAGGAGGAGCAAUUAUUUGCAGCAACGUGUUUUGCUAAUAAAAGCACCUCUGAAAGCUAGCUUGUGGAUAGUAGUUGUACAAACCACAUGACAAAUAAUCAAGAUCUCUUUAGAGAACUUGAUAGAACAGCUAUUUCCUAAGUCAGAAUUGGAAAUGGUGAGUAUAUUCCAAUGAAGGGCAAAUGAACGGUUGCUAUCGAAAGCCAAAUAGGUUUGAAACUCAUUUAUGAUGUUUUGUUUGUGCCUGACGUUGACCAAAACUUACUCAGUGUUGGACAGCUCGUUGAGAAAUGAUUUAAAGUUUAUUUUGAAGAUAGGAAUUGCAUUAUCAAGGAAGCUGAAGGCAAAGAGGUGUUUAACAUAAAAAUGAAGGGCAAGAGUUUUGCCUUGAAUUUACUAGAAGAUGAGCAUGCUGUUGUUUUACAAUAAGAUAGAACAACAAUGCUUUGGCAUAGAAGGUUUGGGCACUUUCAUCAUGAUGUUGUGCUCUACAUGAAGAAAAAUCAAAUAGCUGAAAGACUUCCCGACUUAGAAAAAGAUCUUCCUAUAACUGCUACUUGUUAAUAUGGGAAGCAAACUAAACUUUCCUUUCCAAAGAAAACAUCCUAGAGAGCAACCCAAAAAUUGCAACUAGUGCAUACUGAUAUUGGUGGACCUCAAAAGACGUCAUCCUUGAAAGAGAAUGUAGGCAUUGUUCACCAACUCACUGCACCAUAUAAUCCACAACAAAAUAGAGUCGUGGAGAGGAAAAAUAGAACGAUUUUGGAGAUGACAAAAUGCCUUCUACAUGAAAAAGAUCUACCUAAAGUUUUUUGGGCUGAAGCUACAAGUACAGUAGUAUAUUUGCUGAACAAAUUGCCAACAAAAACGUUAAAGAAGCAGACCCCUUUCGAAGUUUGGUUUGAGUUUCUACGUGGAAGACUUGGAGUUUGCAUCUACUAAGUCAAGAAGGAGUGUUGAAUUUUGACCUAGUAUCUGCUAGAAUUUGAAUUUUGAAGUUAAAUAUUGCAGCUGGAGUCUUGCACAAAAUCUAUAACAUCCAAAUAUUUUUCUUGUUGUUAUUUGGUCAAGAUUUGGUUUCUAUUUUAUAGGAAGUAGUUGUUCAUCAUCUAGUAGCUUGAUUUUCUGCUAUUCUAAUGUCAUUUCAGUUACAAGCUCAUGUAUAAAUUCAACACUCUUCAUCAAUAAAAUGUGUGUUUCAGCAACCCAAAAUAUAUAUUCUGCAUAAGUGUUUAAAUCUUAGACCAACACAUCCUCGUCACUAGUAGUUGUGCCUCUCAGGUUACCUUUUUUAUCUCUCAGCUCAGCUCCACCUUUGCUCUUCGUGACCUUGGUUCCCUUUACUAUUUCUUUGGCAUUGGGGUUACUCAUAGUACUGAUUCUCUUCAUCUCUGCCAACAAAAAUAUGUGCAUGACUUGCUCACUCGUACUGCCAUAACUGAUGCUAAACUUGUUCUUACAUUGGGUUCCUUGGCCAAACCUCUCUCUCUCAUUGAUGGUGAUCUACUUAUAUCGCAACAUUGUUGGCGCAUUACAGUAUGUUACUGUUACAUGUCCAAACCUUUCUUUUGCCGUUAACAAGGUAUGCCAGUUUAUGGCUUCCCAACGACUACCCACUAACUAGAUGUCAAGAAUAUAAAAAGUAGUUAAAAAUAAAAUAAAAAUAUAGAUUUAAAAUAAAAAAUAAAAUAAAUAUGAAUAAUUAAAAAUUUUAAAAAUGAUAAAUAUUUUUUUUUAAAAAAAGUUUUCAAAAAAAUCUCAGAUAUUUUCAGAUAUAUCGGCAAUGUAUCCAAUAUAUCCGAUAUAUCGUCGAUAUAUCUCCAAUAUUUUGAUAGACUUCCUCUAUUGCUUCGCGCGUCGCUUCACACUCGAUUUUUUCGCUGAUUUAUCGAUUUCAAAUUAACCGAAAUGUCAACAUAUUUCGGGGAUUUUUUUGAUAUUCCUCUCGUUCGAUAAUGUUGCUUAAUAUCCUUUCAGGGUUGUCCGAUAUCCGAUAUAUUGGUGAAAUAUCAUCGAUAAAAACCGAUUUUUCAAUCCAUGCUUAAUAGUGGGUUUCCCUUUUGUUUGGCCUCUUGUAGACCCCCAUUUUGGGGCUCGGUUUUUUUUAUCUCUAUUUUCUUUGUAGGUGUCACCAUCCCAGAGAGCCAUGUGUCGCCUCUUUGGUGGUUGAUAGGGAAUCAACAUUGCUUUUCGGGGACUUAUGGUAGGUUGACACGUGGAAGAAUAUUCUGGAGAGCUGAUUUCCAUUAUGGGGGAGCAUAUGAGAGAGGAUAUUCUACAGGCAUUUUGAUUCUCACAUGUGCAUGAUCACCUUGAGUAUUCAUUGAUUUUGGCAUCAAUUGUCACAUAAACUUCAUUUUAUUAGUAGAGACCCGACUUUAAGGACUUAGAGGGGUGCUACGGUCUUUACCGUACCUUCCCGAUAAAUAAUUUGACCCCCGAACUCGAUCCGGUUUUUCACGGACCACCUUUUCCAAAUAAGGAGUCACACUUAGGAUUUUCUUUCUUAUUUUAUUUACCCUUUAAAAAUAAAACAAAAUUAAGUGGCGACUCCAAGUCAUUUUUUUUAAUCAGUAAAAUCAUUUUCAAAAUAAAAAUCGAGCUCACUAUCGAGUGAAAAACGCAUUAGCCGAAAUACGGGGUCCACACCUCUAUUUAUUUAAAAAAAAAAAAAAAAAUCCUUUCCCAUUCUAUGGCCUUGAGUGAGCAUUAUGUAUUUCAACUAUUUUGACAUGUUCAAAAUAAAUUACUAAGAAUUUAAAGGGAAUUUGUUCGACAAGUACUUUUUUUUUAACAUAUUUAUUUAUACAUUAUUUAGUUUAGGUUGCAUUAUUCUAUGUAAAUAAUUUAUUGGGUAUGGGAAUUACUUUUAUAAAUGGCUGAGUAGAUUCAAUUUUAGAUAUUUAUUUAUUGAGCAUGAAAAUUAUUUAUUAAAACAUGGUUUAACGACCAUGCGAUGGAAUCAACCUGUUAAAAAAAAUAAACUAAUACUAUAUUAUUUUAACUUAAAUUAUUUCUUGAUUGUAGCAAUGUUGAAAAAACAAAUAUCAAUAAAAGACUAACCUUAACGGGAAAAUAGUAAUUAACAUAAUUUUAUAUUGACUUGUAAAAUUGGGUCAACAUAUAAAUAUAUUAAUUGUAACAAGAAGACCUACAUUGAUAAUGAAACGUCAAUAUUAGUCUAUAUUGCCAACUUUGAAAUAUUAAUAUAUGUAUAUAGCAGAUGUUUUCAUGAUUAGGAAUUAGAGAAAAUUUUGUAGAAGAUUUUUCCAAAUUUGAAAAUAACUAUGGAAGAAAUUCAACUUAAACACGUUUCUUUGUGGAAGAGUUGCAUUGGCAAGGAAAGCUACACACAUUCAUUGAACAGUCUUAGGCCCAUUUUUCCAAGCAGCCUAGCAAGUUGUCUGAAUUAAACCCCUAUGGAUUGAAAUUGAUUGGAUCCAUUACCCGUCAUGCAUUCAAUCCCAAAGCGUUGAUUAUUCAAACUCUAUGAAAUAUAGGUUUCGCUGAGUAGAGGAGUUCAAAUACAUUAAAUCGAUAUUUUAAGUAAAUAUAAUGUGGAAAAUGAAACCUACUAGAUCGAUAAUGACCACAUUACAAACCGAUCUCCAGGCUAGUUAGGGCAAUCCCCUCAAAAUUCAAAAAAUAAUUAAGUAAAUAAAAUGUAAUUAUUAAUAUUUUUAAAAAGUAGUUAUGGACUCGAAAUGGGUAUUUUUUAUAUAUGAAGUUUAAUCAAGUAGUAGUUCUUAUCCUAGCCACACCUAAUAUUAACAACUUGUUAGGAUAUUCUGAUUGAAUUUAGCCAAAGAGACUCUAGAAGGCCAAUAUUUUUCUUAUCAUCACUCUCUUCCGAGCACAACUCUUCCACACCAUGGGCCCCAAAACUAAACCAAAUUCCACAUACUUUUUAACUACAUACAGCCACUGCAUUCCAGGCUGUCUCUCAUACUCACCAAUUCAUCACUGAAGGUAUAGGACUGUUCUAUCAUUGUUCCAAGUAAUUGGCAUCUCUACUCAAGUCUCAGCAUGUUCCCUAGCCCAAAUUUCUAAACCCAAAAAUCACCCUGUGGCAAGCUUGAAGGUAAUUCAAUGAAAAUAUGCUUAAAGCUCAACGGCUAAUUUACUUAUUUGGAAGUCAUUUUUCUUUAUGUGUUGGAUGAUAAAAUUUGUUGGUCUAGGUUACACGUUCCUGCAAAGAAGAGCAGACGGAGGAUCUGAAAAAUGAAUUGAAACUGGAAUUAAUACAUAGUGUUGAUUAUAUAUUGAUGGAAAUUAGUUUAAAGUUGGAUAUAUUAAUUACUUAGGGAUGUUUGGUAAAACUUAAUACUUAUUAUUUAAUUAUUUGAGUUGACUUUAAAUUAAAUUAUACUUAAAUUACUGACUUAAAACUUAUUAUUUUAAGUAUUAAGAUAUAAAAUUAACUUAAAGUUUAUUUAAAAUCAUUAAGUUGACAUAUUUAUUCUUAUAAAUUAUAAUUAGAAUAGAAAAGGUUGAGUAACAAUAGAACUUAUAGAAUUGUAAAAGAGAUCAUGAAGGUAAUUAAGACAAAUAAAGAUAAAAAGAUAAAAUAAAAAUAUAGAAUUAAAAAUAAAUUAAUUAUUUUUACUUAUUAUUUAAAGUUAUUUUUUACUUUAAAUCAUAUUAUUAAGUUAUUUUAUUAAAUAUACUUAAUUUACUUAAUGACUUAAAUUAAGUUAUUAAAUCAUUUUAAGUUAUUAAAUUGAUUAAUCAAAUUCCUACUUAUUGAAUACAAAUAUAGAAGGAAAUUAGGAAAGCAAAGUAGAUGGGUUAUUAGGUGAAAGCUUAUCAAAUCCGCCUAUCAACAUAUCACACUUUUACCAAAAACCCACCUCAUGCCAAGCCUAUAAGUUGUCAAGUCCUUAUGAUCCAACAACUUUCUUAUGGUUCCCACACGGGUUUCUAUUGUUAUCAAAACAAAAAGUUAUAAUAAAAUAUAUAUAUAUAUAUAUAUAUAUAUAUAUAUAUAUAUAUAUAUAUAUAUAUAUAUAUAUUAUAAUUCAUAGAUAAUCUGACAAUUAAAUAAAAAGAUAAACUCAUUUGUGGAAUAUAAUUAAUAAAAAAAAAAAGAGAAGUGUUAAGAGUUUUAAAUUAUUAUUAUUUUAUUAACAAUUUUAUUAUAUUUUCAUUUUAACUUAAGAAUCUAUUGAAAUAGUGACUUACUCUCUAUUAAAGAUUCAAAGUUAUUUUUCAAUCAAUCGAACUAUCAGGUAAGUAUGAAAAUGAUCGAGUAAAGACAAGUUAAUUGUCACAAAUAAGUGUGAAAAGGAUCGAGUAAAGACAAAGGGUUGAAUUGAAAAUUUUAAUUUGCAUAAAAUGUUUUAAUUAAUUUGAAAAGAAUUUUAAAUUGAGAAUUUGAAAAAAAAAAUUCCAAAUAAUAAAAAUAAUUUGGAAAUGAAUUUUAAAUUAAGGAUUGAAAAUUUAAAAUUUGUAAAAGGAAAAUUUUUAUAAAUCUUUUCUAAUUUUAAAUAUGAAAUAUUUCCAAAUCUUUUUAAAACUCUUAAGUUUCUAAAUUGUUUUCCAUAAAAUAUAAUCUUUAAAUUAAUUGCAACUAUAUAAAGUUUUCUCCUAUAUAUAUCCUACCUAAAUGUAUAUUUGAUGAGGGUCUGACUUGUUUUUCCAUUCUUAAUCUCUAAAGAAAGAAUUCAUUACAAGUACCUACAUCCCUUCAUAAGCUUAGAGGAGUUAGAGCAUUUGGAGGUACUACAUUGUGGAUGUGGAUUAAGGUGUAGGUGCUAGCUAGUUAAUCAUUAAGGUAAAACGGUUAUUAAAUAUGUGUACUUUAAUUUCAAAUAGUGGAUUAUAAAGGGAGAAUUAUGUUUUGGGGGUAGAUGGGCCCCCAAAUUAACAAAAGGUCCAUGUAACUCUUUAAAUUGAGCCCAAGACCCAAUAAAAGUAUGAAAAUUGAGUUGAAGGAUAUCAUCCUUCAGUAUUUCCAAAAAUGUCAUUUGUUGAUUUUGAGAAAAAAAAAUUAAUAUUUUUGAAAAAUACUUUUAUAUAAUUUAAUAUUUUUUAUUUAAUUUAAUAUUUUUAAAAAAAUACUUUUAUGUAAUUUAAUAUUUUUUUAAAUACUUUUAUUUAAUUAAAUAUUUUUUAAAAAUAAAUUUAUUUAAUUUAAUAUUUUAAAAAAAUAUUUAAUUUAAUAUUUUUUAAAAUACUUUAAUUUAAUUUAAUAUUUUUGAAAAAAAAUUAUUUAAUUUAAUAUUUUUGAAAACUACUUUUAUUUAAUUUAGUAUUUUUGAAAAAAAAUUAUUGAAAAAAAAAUAUUUAACUUAAUUUUAUAAAAUAUUUUAUAUGUGUUCUUAAAGGGUAUACUUGUCCGUUACUAUUUCAUAUCCUUCAACUCAAUUUGAAGAGUUAUAUGGACCUUUUGUUAAUUUGGGGACCCAUCUACCCCCAAAACAUAAUUCUCCCGAUUAUAAAUUAGAGGUUUUAAAUCUUGUGAUUUUUUAUGCCCACAAUUAGCAUUGAUAUUUUCAAAUUAAAAUUUCUUGUGUCCCUUAUUUGAUUAUUUUUAUUAUUUUGAUCUUUAAUUAUUUUGAUUAUCCCUAUUAUCUCUUAGUUUAAAUUGAGUUAAUAUUAUUUAACUCUUAUAUUAUUAUCUUUAAAAAUCACCCCACUCUCAAUGUCAUCCUCUUGGACAAAAGCGUAUAUAUAUAUAUAUAUAUAUAUAUAUAUAUAUAUAUAUAUAUAUAUAUAUAUAUAUAUAUAUAUAUAUAUAUAUAAUUCACAAAUCUUGAAAAUAUAUUUAAUAUUAAAAUAUCAUUCCAUGUAAUUUGGAAGUAUUCAAAGAUGUAAAAGAUAUGAUAAUAUAUGUAUAAUUAUUUUUUAUUUAAAAAUCUUAAUAAUUACAUUUGCAACUUUAUUUUGUCCUCAUUAUUUAAUUAAUAUACAAAAAGAUAUGGGAAUAGAAUUAUCAAAAGAAUUGUCAUAAUAAAGCUUUAUAUUCUUAAUAAUAAGUUAAAUUAAGGUGGCAUUUAUUUAUUUUUACUUAAAUCUAAAUGAAAAUUAAUUUAACUUAAUUGUAAAUAUAACUUAAUAGAAUUAAUUAUUAUAUUUUUUUGUUUUUUAUAAUUUUAUUUUUGUUAAGCGUUAAAUAUUAAUUGGGUGAGAGUCCUACUAAGGUUGUGCUUUGACUGAUUCAAAAAAUUAUUUUUAGUAAUGAGCAAAAAGUUAAAUAUUUUACUUUUAUCUAUUCAUUAAAAAAAUCUUAAAAAUUAAAUUUUUUUUUUGUUUUAUUCAAAAUAGUGAAUGGAGUUUGAGUCGAAUUUUAAUUAUUUGGUAAAAUAAUAAAAUUAGUUUUUUAUUUAAAAGAAAAAAUAAAGGUAAGUCAAAGAUAUAAAGAUAAUUAUUUUAUUUUAAAUAAGAAAGAUUCAAAAAAAAAAAAAAAGAUAAAUGAGCUACAAAUUUUAGGAUUAAUUGAUUAAAAUGGAUGAAAAGAUUUCAAAUUUGUAAAACUAAUCUCUUCCAUUUUUUAACUUGAAAGUAACACUUGUUUGACAUAAAUACCCUUUAACAUUUUCAUUAUUUACAUAUGUAUUUUAAAAGAAAAUGUUAUUUUUGUAAGAAAAAAGUGAGAGUAUUCUUAUGUAUUUUUUGGAUGAAAAAAAAUGGUUUGCAAUUUGAUAUUUCUUUCGUCCUUUUUAAUCGGUUAUCCCCAAAUUUUUUUUACGGAAAAUACAAAUUCUAAAAAUAUUUGGUUUUAUUGCUAUUUUUAAAUUUAAAUAUAUUUUUACCUUAAUUAUAUUUUUAUUUCAAAAUAAUUGAUGAUGAUUUAGUUGAAUUCUAACAUUUAAUGGAGUUUUAGUUGAAUUCUAACACUAUAAUAUAAAGUGACCCGAUAAAAUUAUAAAAUCAAUUUUAUUUAAAAAUAAAUAAAGUUGAGUUAAAAAUAGUAUUAAAUGAAUUAAAAUUUAAAAAUAAAAAUGAAUAGUUUUACCUUAAAUAAAAAAUAUUAAAAGAAAAAAUAAUUAGAUAGAUAGGCUUUAAAUUUUAUUAAGAGAAACAUAAUUUUUUUUAAAAAAAUUGUUUUUAUUUAUUUUCAAUUUUAAAAUUUUAUUUCUAUUUUUUAUUUAAAUGUAUUGUCAAAUUUUAUCUAAAAAUAGUUAAUAGAGUUUUGGUUGAAUUUUAAGACUAUAAGAUAAGCGAAUAGUUGAAAUUAUAAAAUGAAAUUUUUUAUUAAAAUGAAAAGAAAGUUAAGUUAAAGAUACUAUAAAUUAUGAUUAGAAGAAUGAAAAUCAAUAUAAAAAAAAAGUGGUUUUAUCUUAAAUUAGAAAUACUAAAAAAAAAAAAAAGGAAUAAUGUAUUGAAAAAUAUAACUGUGGUAGAAGAGCAAUGACUAUGCUCUUUUGAAUACCCUAGUUUAUGUUCAUUUUUUAAAAUUUAAAAAGAAUAAACAUCUUUUAGAUAUUAACAAAAAUAAAUUUAAAUAGAUUCUUAACAUAAAACCUAAAAAACAUUUGUUGUUGGCCAAAAAAUCCAACUAUGAGCCCUUUUAUGACAAGUGAAACUUCCAAAUCUUCUGAAGAGUUUUUUAUCUUAGUAUUAAAAUCUAAAAGCAGAAUAUUUAUACUAUGAGUUGCCUUUUUAACAACUAAUUUAUUUUAUUUAAUGUAAUAAUAUACAUUAAUAUAAAUUAUAGUUGAGUUUUUUUAUAAAAAAAAAUUGGCAUAUGCUUGUAUUACUUUGUUAGCUUGGAGGACGAAAAGCCUAUACAAAUAAUGAGUUGAAUGAAAUAAGAAGCGAGUAAAUUACAUGUAUCAAUGAAAUUGUAAUUUUUAGAUUACAGAAAUGAGUACAUGCAUUAAUAUAUAUGAAAAUAUAUAGUGAUUAUGAGAUUUGAGAAUCUAUUUAUUUUGAAUGAUGGGAAUUAAACUUCGUAAAAUUUCAAUGUAGAUCGGAAGUAAAUUUUUUUGUUACUUGAAAUAUUUACAACUUCUUUCCAGUAGUGAUGUUAUUUUGUAAUAGAACUUCCCUGGACAAUCGUUUUCAUGACUGGGAAUUGAAAUAGAGAAAAUUUUGUAGAAGAUUUUUUCAAAUUUGGAAAAAUCGCAUGUAGAAGAGUUGAAUUGGCAAGGAAAUCUACACUCAUUGAACAGUCUAUGCCCACUUUUCCAAUCAGCCUAGCACGUUUUUUUGAAUUGAAUAACCACGGAUUGAUAUUGAUUGGAUCCAUUAUCAGUCAUUCAAUCCUAAAACAUUCAUUUGUCAAACUCCAUGGAAUAUAGGUUUGGCCGAGUGGACAUUUCAAUACUAAACUUGUCCAAAUACAUUAAAUUGAUAUUUUUAGUAAAUAUGAUGCGCAAAAUGAAACCCACUAGGUCGAUAAUGACCUAGUGGUUAGGGCAAUCCCUCAAAAUUCAUAAAAAAAGAAGAAGCAAAUAGAAUCAAAUAGUAGUUCUUAUGUUAUUUUUUCAAAAAAUAGUUAUCGAGUCUGGAAAUGGGUAUUUUUCAUUUACGAAGCUUAAUCCUAUGGGAUUUAAUUUUCAUCGACUAGGAGAAUAAUUUGAUCCUAGCCACACCUAAUGUUAACGACUUGUUUAGGUAUUCUGAGUGAAGAGGACAACGGUUCCACACCGUGGGCCCCAAAACUAAACCAAAUCCCUCAUACUAUUCAACUACAUACUACCACUGCAUGCCAAGCCGUCUCUCUCAUACUUACCAAUUCUUUCUCUAGUCCAGAUUCUUAAACCCCAACAUUUGGGGUGACCAAUUUAUUACCUACACUCCCGAAGAAAGUUAAUUCAAUGAAAUUAUGUUUAUAUACUUAUUUGGAAGUUAUUUUUCUUAGGAUGAUAAAAUUUGCUGGUCUAGGUUACAAGUGCCUACAAAGAGGAGCAGAUUGAGGAUCUGAAAAAUGAAUUGAAAAUGGAAUUAUACAUUUUCAUGGACAAGGGAAAGGAACAAGGGAAAGUUGUGUUUUCAUGGACCAAUAUGGUAAUAAUAUUGUUUUUGGAACCCAGGUUUGUGAAAGUAGAAAAACAUCUGUUAAUGUGAAACUUAUAUCAGAUUCAUGCACUUUGAGCCGGUUAUAUUUUUUCUACAUAAAAAAUAAAAAUAAAUAAAAUACAAAAUAAAUCUAUUAGAAGGCGUCUGUCUAUUCUCUGCACCCUCACCGCCAAAGAGUAGAUGAGUUGGCGAGUGUGUUCGCUCCGGAGUCUUUACGCGCCGAAGAUGCCUCUUCUCCGAUCACCUCUGUUCUUCUUUGUUUGAAGCCGCCGACUGUUCGGUACCACGUGCUCCGUUUCGGGCACUAAGAAGAAGAACAAGGAGAAGGUGAUAGUGAUAUCCGGUCCCACCGGCGUCGGAAAGAGUAGGCUUGCAUUGGAGCUGGCGAAGCGCGUCAAUGGAGAAAUUAUCAGUGCGGACUCGGUCCAGGUAAGGCACCGAGUUCUUUUACCGUUUUCCUCUUGGAUUGCCCUCUGUUUGGUUGCCGAGAAAGAAAGGGAAGGACAAUGGGAAGGGAAUUAUGUCUUGUGUUGUUGAUUUGGGUGUUUAGGUUUUGUUUUUUGUUUUCUUGUUUGUUUUUUUUUUUUUCUCUUUCAUUUGUUUGGUUGCUGAGAAAAUAGAGGAUUCAGUCUUCUUUAGAAUGUUCUAUGCUUCUGUUUUUCAAUAGGAAGCUAAUGUUUAUGAAAAUUGUGACGAGGGGCUCAUGGAGAUAUGAUAAUGUUGGAGAAAAGUAGAUAAUCUAUAUAGAAAGUUCAAAACUUCAAGCAAAGUUACUCAAGGGACUAAACCUUUAGCAACAAUUUCUCCCAAGUAUUUUGUUGGUUAGUUACUCAAAAAGGUAAUUUUUUUAAGGGGGAAGAAAAUGACAAUUUGCAUUUUAUUUUUUGGUGAUAGGCAAAUGAGAAAAUAUUUAAAAGCUCCUAAAAGGAGCUGCAACAACUUACAGAUGAUGUAUACAGUAGUCACAUAGUUUAGUCAAGAAGAAGAUAAACAAAAGAAAAAUCCUCUCCUUACUCAAAACUUAUCCAAUCUACAAAGUCUAUCAUAGAUAUUGAGUGGUCCACCUUGUACAUUCUAACCCAAUUUACAAAGUAUAUAUAAAGUCGGAUUUGAUUGCUUGGUUUGACUGCUUAGCUUCAUUCAAAGCUCUCCCUUUUUUUUUUCUUCCAAAGAGUAGAAAAAAAGCAUAAGGGUAUAGUCCUCCAGCAUUUUUUUCAUUGCUUCCCCAUGGAAGAGCCAUGCAAACCCAAAAGGAUCCUUCUACUGAAAAACACAUCCCCAAAACCACUCCAAAGAGAAAAGGAUCAACUACCAAACAUAAUUGCUUUGGCACAGUAGAGAAGCAAGUAAUCUGUCAUUUCUUCCUCGCAUUUGCACAAAUAAACUUAUUAAGCAGAGUCCAUACCAUCUUUUUGGUGCCCAUGUGCUCCACACUACACCUGUUGGGAAAGCUCUCUAUCUCCCUUGGCCAAGGAAGAUUAAAGGGAUCUAAUUGAAAAAUUGCUGCUCUUGGACUCAUUUCAUCUCAAUUCGCCCUCCUUUUCCUUUUUAAUUGACAAUGAUUGCAAAUUCAAUUGGAAAAUCUCCACUUCAUCAAGCUCUCAAUCAUUAAACUGUCUUGAAAAGUGGUGGCUCCAUCCACCCUCUUUCCCAACUUGGUCCCACUCCUCCGCUACCCAUCCAUCUCUGUUGGAUGCAAUAGAGAAUAAGUUAGAGAAGACUUGCUUUUUAUUCCCUUCCACUCAUUUUUUAUGGUUUUCCACACCUCCACUCCAUACCCUUCUCUCAUCCUUCUUGAAGACCACCUGCUUCCUCUUCUCCGAACUUUCCUAUUAUGAUUUGUUUUGAUAAGGACUCCUUGUUAGUAACAAAUCUUCAAUCCUACUUACCAAGCAAGGCCUUGUUAAAGGUUGAAAGAUUGUGAAUACCAAGAUCCCCUUCCUUCCUUGCCAAGUAGACUGUAGUCUAAUCAAUAAAAUGAGGUCUUUUCUCUAGUGCACCUCCUCCUCAUAAAAUGUUUCUUUGGAUCUUCCUGAGUCUUGAAUUGACCUUUCUUGAAAUGACAAAAAGGAUAUAUAAAUUGGAAGGCUUAAUAAUGUGCUUUUAUCAAGGUAAGUCUCCCUUCGAAAUGUAUGGGUGGUAUGGAGUUAUCAUUAAGGUAUGCCUAGCAAUUUUUUUUUUUAAACCAUGUACAGACUCCAGCUACUGCUGCAACUAGUGCUCAAUGAACGCAACAGUGUCAGAGAUACAAUUCUGGCCGCAUGCCAUUUGUGACUUCAUAGUUCAUGAUAAGUUUCUUCCUAUCUGCUGCUACAUACCAAAAUGACCAAGGGUUGAUUCUAGUUUGUCCAAAAUUUAUUAAUUCAUAUCAUGUUGUGUGCUGAUGUGAUUUGUUCCAAUUGUAAAACCAUUAUUUAUGUUCUAUAUGUGAUGUAUCUGAUGAAGUAUUCCACUUCCCAUUGUAACAGUGGCAGUUGGGUUAUGCUGAAUAUGAGGACUUUAUGUACAAGAAUGACCAACAUGUAAGGGAAAGGAAGAGUACCUGGUGAUGCUGCUGCUGGAGCAUAUGGGACGCAGUAACAACAGUGUAAUAGGGCUGUUCAUUUUUCCUUCAAUAUUGUAAAGGAAGGGAGUAGGAACAUGGACAACACUCAGUAUUUGUUCUUUUAUUAUAGUUAAGGGUGCUGGUUAGUGUUGUAUUGGCGAUUGAUUGGACAACAACUAUGAUUGUAAGAUGUGAUCCAAAGUGAUAGGUUUAUUAUGGGGUAUGGUACUAAUUUCAUAAGAGAACAACAAACAUAGACUGUAACUUAUUUGUUUGUACACUGAUGCAGUUUCAGUUUAUCCUUCUAUACUCACAUUAGUAAAUUGUUUGACGGCUUUCCUUUCAUAUUUAGUUAUUGUGUAAGCUUUUACAUAGCAUCUUCUAUUAAUGUUAUUGGUAAGUUGGGAGGUUUGUUUGGUUUGAUUUACUACAUUAGAAACAGUUUGCUGGUAUACCAAUAGUUUGCAAUGGCGCCCUUCAAAUCCUGAUCUACCGGGGUUCAGGACUAUUGCUCAUCCUCAUUGGCAAGGGCUACUCAGGGUUCCUAAAUGAUUGUGCAUUUUGCUAAUUUUGUGUUUCAAACCAUGUACAGGUUGUUAUAGAAAAAAUAAAUGUGGUAGAAAACCAAUAAAUAUUUGCUUCGCAUGAUCACCUUCCAUAUCCAACCAAAACCAUCAUAACUUGACAUAACCAGAAAAAUGAGAAAACAACAGUAUGAUUAAAUAAAUACUGAGGGUGAAAAAUUGUCGGGAGAGCAAAAUUUAUCGAAUAUGGUUUAAGAUAGUGUCAUGCUGCAAUAAGUAAUGAAAUUAACUAAUAAAAAUCUGAAGCCACAGAAUGGCUACAUUUCUCGCAGGUGCGUUAAGGUAAUACUUGAGGUACAUUAAGGUAGUACCUGAAGACCAUUAAGGUAGUACCUUAUGUGCAUUAACGCAGUACCUGACAUUUCUUAUGAUUACAUAAGGUAUAGUUGGAGUAACCUAUAAGAACAUAACAAUGUCAUGCUGUAAUAGGUAAUGAAAUUAACUAAUAAAAAUCUGAAGCCACAGAAUGGCUACAUUUCUCGCAGGUGCGUUAAGGUAGUACCUGAGGUACAUUAAGGUAGUACUUGAAGACCAUUAAGGUAGUACCUUAUGUGCAUUAAGGUAGUACCUGAAAUUUCUUAUGAUUACAUCAGGUCGAUGGAGUCACCUAUGACAACAUAACAACGUCAUGCUACAAUAGGUAAUGAAAUGAACUAAUAAAAAUCUGAAGUCACAUAAUAGCUACAUUUCUCGCAGGUGCGUUAAGGUAGUACUUGAGGUACAUUAAGGUAGUACUUGAAGACCAUUACGGUAGUACCUUAAGUGCAUUAAGGUAGUACCUGAAAUUUCUUAUGAUUACAUAAGCUACCGAUGGAGUCGCCUAUGACAACAUAACAACGUCAUGCUACAAUAGGUAAUGAAAUGAACUAAUUGUGUUUGAAGUCAUAGAAGAGCUACAUUUCUCGCAGGUGCAUUAAGGUAGUACCAGAUGUACAUUAAUGUAGUACCUCAGGACCAUUAAGGUAGUACCUGAGGUGCAUUAAGGUAGUACAUGAAAUUUGUUAUGAUUACAUACGCCACCGAUGGAGUAACCUAUGAGAACAUAACAAUGUCAUGCUGCAAUGUGUAAUGAAAUGAACUAAUUGUGUCUUAAGUCACACAACAACAACAUUUCUCAAAUAUGCACUAAGAUAGUACCUGAUGUACAUUAAUAUAGUACCUCAAGACCAUUAAGGUGGUACAUGUUUUGCAUUAAGGUAGUACCUGAUGCGAUGAAACAAUUAUGUCUUCGUUGACAAAAGAUGUACACUACAAAUUCCAACAAACAUUACAAAUUCACAAACACUAACAACAAUUUCUACUAACCAACACAUAAUUUAUGCAUUUUAAUUUUUAUUAUUAUUAUAAUUUUUAUUUUUAUUCUCAAUAUAUAUGAUUGAAUUAUCAAGUUUUUCGUCAAUAUAUGAUAUUGCCUAAUUAUAUUCAUCAAUCUGAAUAAAUACAUAAGUUUUCCACCCAAUUUCUAAAUAUGUCCACAACAUUUUUCCAUUUCAUGAGUCUCCAAUACACAAAAAUAUUGAGAUCGAACAACCGCUCAUGCUAUCCAAAAUCGACAUUUGCCUCAACCUAUGCCCUCACCAAUGGAGGAAAAAUUGCAAAUACAACAACCACUCGAAAAUCACUCUUCUGCUCCAUUUUAAACAAAAAAAUUAUUAAAAAAACAACCCUAAAUACAAAUUAAUUACCUUCACAUUUGAUGUGAAGGUUACAGAAAAAUGUGAUCCAAUGAGAAGAACACGAGAUUUCUUCUUCAUGAACCCAAUAUAUCAGAGUUGUCGUUUCCAUUCUGAUUCGCUAUCCUAAACCAGAUUUUCAGUCAACACGUACCCGCCUCAAGCCGUCUUCUUAACUCGACCUUGUUUCAAUGAAGUGCUCCAUUUGGUUCUUCACAAUUACCACAGGCAACAAAAAUUUUGAUUCAGGUUUUCAAGUAAAGGUUUAUACUUUCAAAUGUGUGAAAUUUUGCAAAUUUUCACACCCUCUUCGAUCCGGAGGGGUGACGAAAUUGGGAUGAUCGGGUCCAAAUGGUUAGGACUUUGAGAGGAGAAGGGGCUGAAGAUAGAAAACUAGAUUGGAGUUUGGGAUUAAAGGCUUCAGAAAUUAAAUGAGAGAAAUUGUUGAAAUAUACAAGAUUCUCUGCUUUGCCUCGGUGACGGAGUGAAGACAGAUGAGAGGAAUGGCUGACAAAAUGAGAGAGAGGGAAGAAAGAACGGCUGAACGCUAGGGUUUUCUUGUGGGAACCUCUGCUUCGCCUCCAUGACAGAGUGUAGAAAGAUGAGAGGAAUGGGUACCAAAUGAGACAGAGGGAGGAACAACGGUCAGUCGCCUAGGGUGUUUUUUGGUGAGAUGGGCUGCUGACGUGGAUACCUGGAGGGGCAAGCUCGGUAGAAAAAACACAGCCGACUCAGAGUGCAUGAAUCUGAUAUAAGUUUCCACAUUAACAUAUGUUUUUCAUCUUUCACAAACCUGGGUUCCAAAAACAAUAUUAUUACCAUAUUGGCCCAUGAAAACACAACUUUCCCUUUUUUAUAUUAGUAUUAAAAUCUAAAAGCAAAAUAUAUAUAUAUAUAUAUAUAUAUAUAUAUAUAUCAUGAGUUACCUUUUUAAUAACUUAUUUAUUUUAUUUAAUGUAAUAAUAUACAUUAAUAUAAAUUAUAGUUGACUUGAGUUUUUUUUUUCUUUUUCUUUUUUAAUUUGGCAUAUGCGUGUAUUACUUUGUUAGCUUAGAGGACGAAAAACCUAUACAAAUAAUUAGUUGAAUGAAAUAAGAAGAAUGAAAUUGUAAUUUUUAGAUUACAAAAAUGAGUACAUACAUUAAUAUAUAUGAAAAUAUAUAGUGAUUAUGACAUUUGAGAACCUAUUUAUUGGAUCCAUUAUCAGUCAUUCAAUCCUAAGGCAUUCAUUUGUCGAACUCCAUGAAAUAUAGGUUUGGCCGAGUGGACAUUUCAAUACUAAACUUGUCCAAAUACAUUAAAUUGAUAUUUUUAGUAAAUGUGAUGCGCAAAAUGAAACCCACUAGGUCGAUAAUUGCCACAUUACAAACUGAUCUGCAGGCUAGUUAGGGCAAUCCCUCAAAAUUCAAAAAAAAAAAAAAAAAAAAAAAAAGAAAUAAAAAAGUGAAGCAAAUGUUAUUUUUUCAAAAAAUAAUUAUCGAGUCUGGAAAUGGUUAUUUUUCAUUUACGAAGUUUAAUCCUAUGGAAUUUAAUUUUCAUCGACUAGGAGAAUUAUUUGAUCGUAGCCACACCUAAUCUUAACGACUGUUCCACACUGUGGGCCCCAAAACUAAACCAAAUCCCUCCUGCUAUUCAACUACAUACAACCACUGCAUGCCAAGCUGUGUCUCUCAUACUUACCAAUUCUUUCUCUAGUCCAAAUUCCUAAACCCCAACAUUUGGGAUGACCAAUUUAUUACCUACACUCCUGAAGACAAGGUAAUUCAAUGAAAAUAUUUGGAAGUUAUUUUUCUUAAUUUGUUGGAUGAUAAAAUUUGUUGGUCUAGGUUACAAGUGCCUACAAAGAGGAGCAGAUUGAGAUCUGAAAAAUGAAUUGAAAAUGGAAUUAUACAUAGUGUUGACUAUAAGAAUUAGGUAUGCACAAAAUGACAAGGGACUCAAAAUUGGAUACAUUAAAUAAAAGGAAAAAGAAAGAAAAAACCCCAAUUUAUACCUUUUCCUUUCACGUCAUCAAUCCCUUUCCCUUUCACGUCAUCAAUCCCUUUCAUACAUUACUUUCAACAUUAUUGUUUUACAUUAUUUUCAACAAUAUACAAUUUCUGAAGGCCAUUGCUACCCUAUUAAUGCAAUGGAGCUUCCCAAGCUUUUGCACUCAUACUUACCAAGUCAGCUUUCAAAGUAGUGUUCUACUACCGUUCCAAAAAAUUAUCAUGGCGAGUCAAGUCUUAUCAAGCCCUCUAGGCCAAUUUUCUAAACUGGAAAAUCGUCCAGUGGCCAAUUAUCACCCUACCAUUUGGGGUGACCAGUUCAUAUCCUACACUCCUGAAGACGAGGUAAUUGAAUUAAAAUAUGUGUUAAAUCUUAUAUGGCUUAUAAAUGCCUAUAUAUUCGAAAGUUGCUUUUCUUAAUGUGUUGUUUAGUAAAAUUACUUGGUUGCCACAGGCAACACGUGCCUGCAAAGAGAAGCAGGUUGAAGAUCUGAAAGAGGAAAUUUGAAGGAAGCUAAUGAAUGCAGCUGGUAACACUUUCCAACAGCUGAAAUUUAUCGAUGCUGUGCAACGUCUUGGGGUGGCAUACCACUUUGAAAGAGAGAUAGAAGAAGUGUUACAACAUAUUUAUGAUAGCUAUCCUGAUGGUGAUGAUAUGGAAGGUGAUAUCUAUAAUGUUGCUCUUCAAUUUCGGUAACUAAGGCAAGCUGGGUUCAAUAUUUCAUGUGGUAAGAGCCCAAAGAAUGAUCAUGUGUGAGCUAAAAUCCAUCCUUCUCAUAAUUCCAAUCUUAUGUUUAAAUUAUGGUAUUUAUGUAGGCAUGUUCAAUGAGUUCAAGGAUGAAAAGGGUAACUUCAAGAAAGCUUUGGUCAGCGACGUAAGAGGCAUGCUGGGCUUGUAUGAGGCUGUGCAUCUCAGAGUUAAUGGAGAAGACAUACUGGAUGAAGCACUUGCUUUCACCACCACCCAUCUAAGGUCCAUGGUAGAACAUUUAGAAUAUCCUCUUGCGGAAGAAGUUGCUCAUGCACUAAAGCAGCCCAUUAGAAAAGGUUUAGAGAGGCUAGAGGCAAGGUGGUUUAUGUCUAUCUACUAGGAUGCACAACUCUACUAAAGCUGGCCAAGCUAGAUUUCAAUCUAGUGCAGUCCCUACACAAGGAGGAGCUAAGCAAUAUUGCUAGGUUUGCUUUCAAAUCACUAGCAGAUAUACCUAGUCACCUUCUCAUUUUACCAUGAGCUAAUUGUUUUAAUGAAUUUUAGGUGGUGGAAAGAAUUAGACUUUGCUACAAAGCUACCUUUUGCGCGAGAUAGAUUCGUGGAAGGCUACUUUUGGAUAUUUGGGGUGUACCAGGGUUCAAAGUAUUAGCCGAGUCCCAUACGACUCGACCGAGUCGUAUCUGCCUCGACACUUACCACGAUGAGUCCGAUACCAGGUACAAUCCUAUGCACUAACUCAACAUUAAAUCAGUAGGACUCAAUUGGCUUGGCUCAAAUUCCGAGUUAACUUGGUUGAAUCGGUUAAAUUACAAAAUUUUUUCUGAUUCAAAUCAGUGAUUUUUUUUCCCUUUCAAAUUAGAACAUAAAGAUCAUAAAAUUUUCCAAAAAAAUCAAAGGAAGAAGAAACAUUGAAAUUUAAUCGAGCCGUGACUUCUUUUUAAGUCUAGAAGAGGAGAGAUCAGGCAGAUGAGGGCUCACUUACCUCACCACAAUCGACGGAGCAUGAGAGUUUUGGGACCGAUGGAUCACUCCUCAGCGUCGAUUUCAGUGAACUAAGCAUUGGAUACCUUUUCCGGUGACGACGACCAUUCGGGGAGAGCUUUUAUCGCAAGUUUGCAAACUUGUAGUCAAAACAAUAUUUGGGAAAGUAAAUUAAAACUAGAAUGUUAUGAUUUAUAUGCACUAUGAGAUUUAAUGAGAAUAACUUGGAUGGCAUUUUAAUAUUUUUAAUUUAUUAUAUAAUCUAAAUUUUUUGUCUUAUAACAUUCCAAAUUAAAGUAGAAAAUCAAUAAUUAUUUAAAAAAUAUAUUUUUAAAAGAAUCAUAAUUAUAAAAACAACAUUUUAAUAAUAGGUUUAUAUUAGGGAAUCAAUAAUUAUUUUUGUAUGUUAUAAAGAUUACAUUUAUACUUGAAUUAUUUUUAAUUUUUUAUAUCAUAUAAAUUUUUUAUCUUAUAAUAUUGUAAAUUUUAAUUAUAUUAGGAAAUCAAUGAAUGAUUUUAUAACUAUUUAAAUGAUGUUAGUUAUGAGAUAAUUUUUUUUUAUAUUAUUUUUUACCUUAUUUACUUACUUGUACCUAUUUUUUUAAAAUAAUUUACAUAAUAUUUUUAAAAUUUUUAAAAUUUUCUAAUUAUCAUAUUUUGCGUAUCUUCCGAUACCAAACCGAUACACUGAGAUCGAUGUGCCUCAAGAUCGUCCGAGUCAAUGAUCGAUACUGCGACUUUGAAUCAUGAGGUGUACUUUGAGCCUCAAUAUGUCCGGGCUAGAUGAAUUCUAACCAAAACAAUUUCCAUGACAUCCAUUAUAGAUGAUAUAUAUGACACAUAUGGCACAUUUGAAAAACUCGAGCUCUUCACCGAGGCCAUUGAGAGGUUUGAUUGAUGCAAAUUACCAACCUUCAUCAUUUAUAUUGUAUGUGAUACUUAAAUCAAGCCUGGUUUUAUUUUCAGGUGGGAUAUUAACAGCAUAGAUCACCUUCCAGAAUACAUGAAACACUGCUAUGUGGCACUCUUAGAUGUGUACAAGAGAUGGAGAAAAAAGGAAACCAAUAUCGGGUUCAAAAUGCGAUAGAAGCAGUAGGACAUUCUGCAUUGACUUUGUUUUGUAUAGUAACAUAUCGUAAGGAUAUGGAUGUAACUUGAUUGAAUGUUUGACAGAUGAAAAACCUAGUUAGAGCUUAUUUUCAUGAGGCUAAUUGGUUCCAUGAAGGAAGCAUACCAACAAUGGAAGAGUAUAUGAGGAUAGCACUGGUAACCUCAGGUUACUACAUGCUUACAACCAUGUCUUUCAUUGGUAUGGGAGAAAUUGUAACAAAGGAGGCCUUUGAUUGGGUGAUCAGUGACCCUAAGAUUAUCACAGCAUCAGCUGUAAUUUGUAGGCUCAUGGAUGACAUCAGUUCACAUAAGGUAUUGUGAAUAUAGUAUUUCUUGUUAAGCUAUAAUUUGACCUUGACCUUAAAGCUCAAUCAAUUAAACAUAUUUACUGUACUCUUCUUCUAAACUAUAUAUGCAGUUUGAGCAAAAGAGAGGGCAUGUUGCCUCAGGCAUUGAAUGUUACAUGAAGCAAUAUGGUGCCUCUGAGGAAGAGGCAUACGAUGAGUUUCAGAAGCAAGUUGUGGAUGCAUGGAGGGAUAUUAACGAGGAGUUCCUACGACCUACAGUUGUUCCGAUGCCUCUCCUAAUGCGUGUGCUUAAUCUUUCUCGAGUGAUGGAUGUGAUCUACACGGGGGGAGAUGGGUACACUCAUGUUGGAAAAGUGAUGAAGAACAAUGUUGCAUCACUGCUCAUUCACCCUAUUGUAUGACCAAAUGGAUCAAGUUGAUCACCAUCUACAUAUUCUGCCUUACCUAGGGAGUAGGAUGAAUAAAAAUUAUUGUAAUAGUAUGGGAGAGACCUAUAAUGCUGUGACCCUAAGAUUAUCACAGCAUCAGCUGUAAUUUGUAGGCUCAUGGAUGACAUCAGUUCAUAUAAGGUAUUGUGAACAUAGUAUUUCUUGUUAAGCUAUAAUUUGACCUUGACCUUAAAGCUCAAUCAAUUAAACAUAUUUACUGCACUCAUUUGUGCGAUUCUUUUUCUUGGUAUCCAUGAUUAAUUAAUUAAUUGUCAUAAUUCUCUUAAUUCGUUUUGUAGAGAUCAUAUGUAUACGGACUUCAAAGGGUGCUACGGCUCACCAUUGUACAUUCCCAAGUAACCUGAUAAUCGGAUCUAGAUUCGAUUUUUGUAAACAUGUAUUUUUCAAAUAAGAAGUCACACAUGAUUUUCUUUUUAUUUUGUUUUUCCUUAAAAAAAAACUAAAAUAAAUAGCGACUAACUUUUCAAAAAUCAAUUUUUCACAAUGAAAAAGCGAGUCUCGCCAUUUUAAGUGGGGACACACAUGAAAAAUGCGGGUCCAUAAUGAGUUUAAUUAUUUCUAAAUUCAAAGGAUUAUAAAAAUUUAUUUAUAUAAAAAAAGGAUAUUCCAUUUUGAUGAUUCCAAUCUAUUUUAAGUACCAAAGAAAGUUUUGAUUUUUUUUCUUAUUUACAAAAAAAUGCUUCAAAGUUCUUAAUUUUCACAAAUUUUAUUUACCAACAUUCCAAUUUGAUUUUCAUACAGAAAGAAACUAUUUUUAUAAUUUUUAUUAAAAUAUGAUUUUUUUUUCAAUUUUUUUAAAAAAGUAUCUAAAUCUAAUCUUAUGUCCAUGAGAAUACUUUUACAAAUUCUUUAAGAAACGGAUUUUAAAAAUUUAUUUUUAAAAAAAAUUACAAUUUUAUUUAGAAAAUAAUAAAUAUUCGGAUCCAAUUUUAAUUACAUAAAAAAAUUAUUUUUUUAGUUUUUAUUGAAAAUAAGAUUUUUACAAUUUUAUUUACAUAAGUAUGAAAAUCCAAUUCCAUAUUAUUUACUAAAAUGCAUUUUUUUUUUUACUAUUUUUAAUAAGACAUGAUUUUUACAAUUUUUUUUUAAAGUUUACGAUUUUUAUUAAAAAAAAAAAAGUCUUUGCAAUUUUUUUUAACAAAUUUUUUAAUGUUUUAUUAAAACAAAAUGAUUUCUAGAUUUUAUUUUUUUUUAAAAUGAUUUUCAAAAGUUUAAAAAAAAAAAAAAACCUUUACAGUUUUAUUUAAAAAAAAAAAAACGAUUUUCCAACUGUAUUUACAAUUUAUUUAAAAACGGAUUUUACAGUUUAAAAAAAAAUACAUUUUAUUGUUUUAUUUCAAUCUUACUGUUGUUUUUAUUUUUUUGGAAAAAAAAAAAAAAAAAGAGAAGCUCAAAUUUAUUUUUCUCCUCUCUCUCUCUCUCCCUCCACACGCUCAUUAACUUUAAUGUCAAGGUAUCAGCCCAAUUGACUUGAUUUAUAUUAACUUAAAACUUUUGUUCUAAUAGGUACCUUCAUAUAACGGCAAAGCCUUUGAUUUAUAUAGGAAGUCAUGGAGGUGAACUGUGAACCUUAGUGAUGCGUACCCAAACCCUACCAUUUAUUUGUAAUAUAGUCAUCAUAAUAUUUAAAUUAAACAUUUAAAAUAUGUUUUUUGUUCUCUUAGAAAUACGAAAAGUGUAUCUUAUUCCCUUAAUAAUUCUCAACAUUCAACCAGCCGCCAAACAGUGAUUAAGACUUUUUCACGUGAAGAUAAAACUUAUGAUUGAUCUUAUUUUUAUAAAAACACUAAAAAACGAUUUUUUUUAUCUUUAACUUAAAAAUGGUUUUUAAAAAUAAUUUUUAGAAAACAUAAAUUAAACAGACUCUUAGGGUUUCAUUUGAGAAAUAAAUGAAGAAGAUUACAAAAAAAUUGAAAAUAAAUAAAGAAGAUGAUAUUUUAAUUUUUAUUUAAUAUCUUAAUUUUUAUUAUCUAAAAUUAUUUAAUUAUUCUAAUUAAUGAUAUUUUGAGUUUAAUUAUGAUUAAAAUAUAUAAAAGUCUUAAAUUGAGAUAAGUUGCUUAAAUGAUUGAUUGUGGAUUGAAAUUUUACUCACAAAAUAUGCAUGUGGCUUUCGCUUGAAAAGGCAUAUGUUGGGAAGCAGUUAUGCUUGGUUACGAGUUCUAUAAGCUUACGAUUUUAGAUUUGCAUGAUUAUCUUAAUUUGGAUUAGACAGCUACGGAGAAGGGGCCUUUAUUCAAACUGUUUGUCUUAUUCUCAACAAAGGAAGCAUUUUAUUUAAAACAGAACACUCUAAGAAAAACUAACAGCCAAAUUAAAACAAUUAGGCCAUGUUUGGUACGAAGCCAAAGCAAUUAGGUCAUGUUUAGCAUGAAGCCAAAUCACGACCAUGUUUGGUAUAUAGAAAUGAAGAGUAAGAAUAGAUAUGUUAUUUAUUUUCUCAUUCAUUUUCAUAUUUGGAUGAUUUAAGUAUAGUAAAAAUAAAAUAAAAAAUAAUUUCAAAGAAAUGAAACAAGUUAUUCUUAAAAACACUUUUUAAAAGUUAAAAAUCAAAAACUUUUUUAGAUAAGUCCGUUUUAAAAAUAAUUUUUUAUUUUGAUUUUGUAAAAAAGAAAUUAUAAAUUCAAUUUAUAUAAUAUAAAAUUAAUUUAAUUCAAGUCUUAUAAAAAAUAAAAAUAACUUUGUAAUUAUAAAUACAUUUUUAAAUUAAAUAUUUUUUAAUAAAAUAUGAAUAGGAUUAUCAUAAUAUAAUCAUAAAUUAUAUUUUUAAUAAAUAUUAUAAAAAAUAUGGAUAUUAACCUCUUAUAAAAGCAUAAUUGAUUUAUUUUGUUAAAAAUAAAUAAUAAUGAUUUAAAAUUAAUAAUUACUAAUACUAUUUUUUAAAAUUAUUAUACUUACUACUUUGUUUUAAAAAAUUAUUUCUCAAGAACAAUAAUCGAUAGUGGUAUUAAUUUUUAAAAACAAUUUUAUUUUUAAAUGAAAAGCCUAAACAGGUUUUUAUUAUUUAGCAAAAAAAAAAAAAAAAAACACUGUCAAACAUUUUUUUAAAAUGAAAAUAAAAAAAUUAUUUAAAAUGAUGUAUUGUGUAAGAGAUUUUUUUUAAAAUAAAAAUAAAAGAUUAAAGAUACUAUAAAUUAUGAUUAAAAUAAUGAAAAUUAAUAAAAUGAUAUUGGCUUUUUUUUUUAAAUACAUUCGAAAUAUUAAUCUAAAAAAAGAAGAUAAAUGAAUAAUAUAUUGAAAAAUAUAACUUUGUCUUUUUUCUUACAAUAAUUUUCAUAGCUUUAAAAAUAGUGAUCUUUAAUUUUCUUGCUAUUAUUUAUUAUUAGCUGAGUUGUAUAAAUUACAUUGUUAUAGUUUCCUUUAAAACCAAAAUAAAAAUCAAUCCAUGUGGUUCAAUGACAAUAUUGGCUGAAAAAAAAAAAUCACUUAAUUUUCAUCUACUAGAUCCUAGCCGCCACCUAAUAUUUAUGACUUGUUUGGAUAUUUUGAGUGAAUUUAACCAAAGAGACACUAGAAGGCCAAUAGUUUUCUUGCCAUCAGUCUCUUCCAUGCACUACCCUUUCAAAUCAUGGGCCCCAAAACCAAACCAAAUUCCACAUACUUUUCAACUACAUACAACCAAUGAAUGCCAAUGCUGCCCUAUAAAUAUGGAGCUUGCCAAGCUAUUUCUCUCAUACUUACUGUAACGCCGAAGUAUUUUUUUAAGGGUAAUUUAGGAAAUUACUAAUAAUAAUUCAAUUAGUUAAUUAAUUAAUUUAAUAAAGUGGAAGAUGGGUAAAAGUGUAAUUUUAUGAAUAAAUACCCUAGGUAUAAAUUAGAAAUUCUAUUUCUUCCUGUUCUUUUCUGAAUAGAAUUCCUGUUCGCAGAAUUUCAGAGAACGUAGAUUGAAGUUAGAUUUCAGGGUUGAAGAACAGAUCUCUAUAGGUAAGAUUCAGUUUAAUAUUUUAGAUUCAUUGAUUAAUUUCAAACACAUUAGAUAUCUUUUGGAAAACCCAAAUCUAGAUUAGGGUUAGUUUAUUUUAUUUUUUUUAAUUCGUUUUCAUAUCAAUAGUAAAAAAAUAAAAAAAAUAAAAAAAUAAAAAUAAAAAUUUAAGAUUUUGAUUUAUUGUUGGUAUUUAGGAGAUCUUAAGUUUUAUUAGAUGAAAAACAAAAAAAAGGUUCCUUGGAAGGUUUCGAUUUUAUAUUAGGGUUAAUUUUAUUAAAAAAAGAAAAAGGGCGUGCGCCAAAUGAAAGGAAGCCUUAUAUAUAUAUAUAAUGAAUCAUGAUGAUGGCAAUGGAAAAAAAAAAACUUGCUUUUUGGUUUGGUGUACCCGAGACAACUAGGUAAUGGUUGAGUGACUUUUGAAUUGGUUAAUUAAAAUAAUAAUAUUUAGUUUAAGAUUCAUAAUUAAGAUAAUAGUAAUAAUAGUCUUCUUUUUUUUGUAAUAAAUAGAAUGAGAGAUUUAGCAAAAUAUAUAUAUAUAUAUAUAUAUAUAUAUAUAGAAUUUUAUAAUGAAAUAAAAUUGUAAUUUAAUUAAAUUAGUAAUGUGUUAUUAGAAACAAAUUGAGAAUUUAUUAAUUUUAUUUAAAUAAGGAAUAGAUUAGUUAAAUUAUAGAUAAAUAGUAAUAAUUAUUUAUCUUAUGUUAUAUUAGGAGAAGAGUAGAUUUUUCCAGAAUUAUUUUUCUCCCAAGCUUUCAAGGUCUUUGCAUAAUUUGAGGUAAGGGAAGUUAAUGCAAUAUUUAUAAAAUUUAAAUUAUUUUAUAUGUUAUUUUGAAUUGUGGAAAAGAAAAUGAUAUUUUGUUACCAUGCAUGGAUCAAAUUGUUUUGCACUAAAUAUUAUGUUGGAAUAUUUUGUUUUAUUUAUGACACAAAAUAUGGAGAUAUUAUGUUGUGUAAAUUUGAAUACUUGAACAAAAACAUCACUCUGGUUUAUUUGACCCUUGUCAACGAGAUAUAAUAGUUGACUAUUCGGCCCUGUCAACAGGAUAUAAUAGUUGACCUUUACAUUUCAUGGUAAGAAUGUAAUUGAUUUGGACCCCAGCCUCUAGGGGUUUGGUUAGAGGUUACUAGUAGUAGUAGUGUUUGGUUCCGUCCACCAGGAACAACUUGAGGCUAGCCACCCAUUUGAAAAGUCCCACCUAACUGGGCAUUUGAUAUUUGAUAACCAGAGUAAUGAAAAUUGAAUGGAUUUGAUUGAAUCUUAUGUGAAAGUGUUUGAAUUUGAUAUGAAAAUGGUUGGUUGAAUUUUGAAUAUAUUGGUAUUUUUGAAACUCUGAUAUUUGAUGAGAAAAAAAAAUGAUAUCUCCUAUUUGAAAUGAAAAUAUUUUUCCAUGAACUGCAUUAAUAUUCCUUACUGGGCUGUGAGCUCAUUCCCAAUUGUUGAAAACUUUUCAGGUACUCUUAGUUCGGGUGAGGAGUGAUGGCUAGGAUGAGGAAUGGUCAUCAUUAGGAUUUGACUUAGGAUUUUAUGUUGGAUUUUGUUUAACUGUUAGUUAUGUUCAUUUGGACCCUUUGGUAUUUGGAAGUUAUUUGGAUAUUGAUCCUUCAAAUUUUAUGUUAGAUCAAAGUUGAGUUUUGGAGAUUUUGAAAUUUGUUCUAGUACUUGAAUUGUUUAAGUUUGCAAAUAUUUGGAUAAUGGAUUUUGGAUAGUGGAUGUUUUAGUUUUGAAAUUGAAUUUUGAGGAUUUUAGAUUUUGUUCCGCUACUCUGAAUAGGUAUUUGGUAAUUAGUAACUUCCGAUUACAAGAUAAUUGUUUGGGUCGGGUUACACUGUAAGCCUUCGGGUUUGAAGUGUGAAAUGACCGUCACGCUCUUGGAGUGGGUCUUGGGGCGUGACAGAGUGGUAUCAGAGCACUAGGUUUUGAUCUUGAUGGGAAUUUGAAUUGGUUUAGAUUGGGGAUAGAUGAGUGACGCAUUUGUUUAAGUUUUAGUUUCAUUUAGUAUAAAUUCCAAUUCUUUCUUUAUUUGUAAAUUUUCUAAUUGGUUCUUUAGUGACUAAAUUAGUUAUGCCUUAUUAUUUUAGGACAUCAUGCCACCAAGAAGAGCAACUUCUUCACAAAAUAGUCAGAUUAAUGAUGAUGUACCUCCAGUUGAGGGUUUGCCUCCCGUGAGUGCAAAAGGGAUCUAUAGGUAUCUUGGGACACUAGCUGGUUUAGUUGAACGCCAAGCUCGAGCUGUUGGGACUAAUGUUCAGGGACAGACUUCAUCUUCUAGGGGUAACUCUUUUGAUGACUUCAAGAAAUUGGGUCCUCCUUACUUUUCUGGUGCUACAGAUCCCACAGAGGCAGAGGCUUGGAUCCUUAAGGUGGAGAAAUUCUUUGGUGUCAUAGAUUGCUCUGAGGAGCAAAAAGCCUCUUAUGCAGCUUUUAUGUUAGAUAAAGAGGCAGAUCAUUGGUGGCGUAUGACUAGGAGACUUUUGGAGGAUCAGGGACCCAUAACAUGGAGACAAUUUAAGGAGGCUUUCUACAAGAAGUAUUUCCCUGACAGUGUUAGGCGGCAGAAGGUGGGAGAGUUUAUUCAUUUGGAACGGGGAGAUAUGACUGUGGCUCAAUAUGAGGCCAAAUUUACAGAGUUAUCAUGUUUUUCCCCACAGUUGAUUGCUACAGAGGAGGAAAAGGCAUUAAAGUUUCAGGAUGGAUUGAAGCCUUAUUUGAAGAACAAGAUAUCUAUUCUGAAGCUUGGUGUCUAUUCAGAGGUUGUUGACAGAGCCCUUAUAGCAGAGAAAGAUAAUGAGGAGCUUCAUCAGUAUAGGGAACAACAAAGGAAGUGAAAUAGGAGUGAUAGUGCUCAUGGUAAUCAAGCACAGCGAAGGUCUACAUCAGGAAGAAAUCAGAAUAAAGGGAAUGCAACGCAUUAUUUAGAUGGGGCUUGUCCUACUUGUGGUAAGAAGCAUGGGGGUAGGCCAUGCUAUAGAGAGACUGGAGCUUGCUUUGGUUGUGGGAAGCAAGGACAUUUGAUCAGAGAUUGUCUAGAGAAUAGGAAGUUCAUCAAUGGGAAGCCUAAAGAGGAAAAUAAGGAGGAUAAACAGAAACCCAAAGCCCAAGAACGGGUGUUUUCUUUGACUCAUCGAGAUGCUCAGGCCACUUCUGAUGUGGUAACAGGUACUCUCCGAAUCCACACCUUAUUUGCUAGAGUCUUGAUUGAUCCUGGAUCAACACACUCUUUUGUUUCAGUAUCUUUUGCCAGUUUGUUGGGUUUGCCUGUUGCUAGCAUGGACUUUGAUUUGAUUGUUACUACUCUUGUGGGAGAUUCUGUUGUGGUCAGUAGAAUGCUUAGAAAUUGUAUUGUGAUGAUUGGUUAUAGGGAAAUGCCAGUUGACUUAGUACUCCUUGAUCUUUAGGAUUUUGAUGUGAUUUUGGGGAUGGAUUGGUUAGCUUCCUACCAUGCCUCUGUUGACUAUUUUGAGAAAAUGGUGACGUUUAGUAUUCCUGGUCAGCCUAAGUUUAGCUUUGAAGGGAAGCAUGUGGACAGACCACUGCGUAUGAUCUCAGCCUUGCGAGCUAGUAGCUUGCUCAAGAAGGGUUGCCAAGGAUUUUUGGCUAGUGUGAUGAGUAAUGAAAGUGAUUUGAAGUUGGAAAACAUACCCAUAGUAAGGGAGUAUGUUGAUGUCUUUCCAGAGGAUUUGCCUGGCUUGCCACCAGAGAGAGAGGUGGAGUUUACCAUCGAUUUGGUACCAGGAACAGGUCCUAUGUCUAAGGCCCCAUACAAGAUAGCACCUGUGGAGCUUAAGGAGUUGAAAGUUCAGCUUCAAGAGUUAUUAGACAAGGGUUUUAUCAGGCCUAGUGUUUCACCUUGGGGAGCUCCUGUUCUAUUUGUAAAAAAGAAGGAUGGCUCAAGGAGACUUUGCAUUGACUAUAGGGAGUUGAAUAAGGUGACAGUGAAGAACAAGUAUCCCCUUCCUCGGAUUGAUGAUUUGUUUGAUCAGCUAUAAGGUGCUUGUGUGUUCUCUAAGAUAGAUCUUCAAUCGGGUUAUCACCAGUUGAGGGUUAGAGGGGAAGAUGUACCCAAGACUGCUUUUCGAACUAGGUAUGGGCACUAUGAGUUUCUUGUUAUGCCUUUUGGUUUGACUAAUGCACCUGCUACUUUUAUGGACUUGAUGAAUAGGGUAUUCAAACCCUAUUUAGAUCAGUUUGUGGUGGUUUUUGUAGAUGACAUCUUGGUAUACUCAAGAAGUAGAGAGGAGCAUGAGGGCCAUUUGAGUAUUGUAUUACAGACCCUCAGAGAUAAGCAGUUGUAUGCUAAACUGAAGAAGUGUGAGUUUUGGUUAGACCGAAUUNNNNNNNNNNNNNNNNNNNNNNNNNNNNNNNNNNNNNNNNNNNNNNNNNNNNNNNNNNNNNNNNNNNNNNNNNNNNNNNNNNNNNNNNNNNNNNNNNNNNAACGAAGAAGUUGCAGCCAUUACAAGCCAGUCACUCUAAAGUGUUGCGGAAUCAGCCUUUUGUUGCGAGAAUUUCGCAGCACUUUUGUACAGUAAGGUGUUUCUCCUUCUGACGAUGCACGAACCAUGCCGCGAGAAGGGAGCUGGAAACUUCAAGAUGGAAGCCAACUUUGCAGCCUAGUGAAGAUAGCUCGGUCUUGCAAGAUAAUUUCGCAGCCCUCUUGGGUGUCUGCGAAAUUUCGCAGGCCCCACUUUUCACCUGCGAAAUGGCUCCUGAAGCCUCCCGAAGCUUGCUACCGACAUUGGGAGAUAUUUUCCAUUAGAUUUUUGUUGUCUAAAUCCCAAAAUACUCCUUGUAAACCACCAAUUACAUGAUUCCUUAGUUUUUAGGUUAGUAAAAAGACCAAAUAUCUUUGUAAGAAUUAGUUUUAUAUUAGUUUGAUAUAAAUACCUCUCGGGAGCCUGUUCUCGGGGAGGAGUUCCUUCUGUAAACAUUUGGUAAGGAAGUAAAGGUCUUUUCUUUCUACUGCCUUACCUUCUCACUUUGUAUUUUCAUUAUAUUUCUAAGUUAUGAAUUCUCUGAGGAGUUUUCCCCAGAGAAUGAGUAACUAAACCUCCAAUUCCUUGGAGCUAAGGUUGCCGGGGAAGGUUCCAAGUGCAAAAAUGCAAAGCUCUGUGGUUUUAGCUAGUAAUGAAGAGGAAGUGAAAUCCUUUAGUGAUUUCAAUGUUUUUAGUUAACUUAAAACACCUUGGAGUCACCUGGGCCAACACUUGGUAAGGCAAGUGAUUUCCAACCGUGGAAAUGCACUAGUUUACCCCUUGCGAGCCUCUGGUAGGUGACUUCAAGGUAGGAUUUUCCGGAAUUACCAACACUUGGUAAGCUUUUGGACUCCUAGGAGACAUCCAUUAGUUAUCUCUUGCGAGUUUGUGAAGGGAAGUCCAAGGUUAAAGAUCACCUUGAAUGGUAAGUGCUCGUGAGAGGCAUGAACCAUUGCAAGGUGCAUCAGUGAGAGAAUUAAAGUGAAAUCUAAUUGAAGGAGUCUCUGUACAUCACCGGUUAGAGACUUGACUCUAAGUUGAAUCUCUAAUGCGAGGAAAUGAACCAUCUGACCAGAGCUAUGUCUUUUGCAUGAGGAACCACCCCAGUGAACCUAAAUCUCCNNNNNNNNNNNNNNNNNNNNNNNNNNNNNNNNNNNNNNNNNNNNNNNNNNNNNNNNNNNNNNNNNNNNNNNNNNNNNNNNNNNNNNNNNNNNNNNNNNNNAAAUCAAAGUUUGUGUUUUAUUUCUUAAACUAACCGUGAAAUGAAACAAAACCAAUUCACUUGGAAUUGGUAUCCUUGAUUGCUUGCAAAUCAUUCCUAGUGAACGAUCCUUAGAGCCACUAUACUAUAGUAGCUUUGUAUUUGCUACCCUAGUGUAUGGUGUUAUAGGUAUAAAUUUUGUUGAUCACUUCCUCAAUCAAGGAGCACCAGCUGAACACAAAUCAGCUGAGACACCAAUUGGGCAUGAGUCAGAGAUCUUGAGAUUUGGGACUAGACUUUGUGUCCCAAAUGAUGAAGACUUAAGAAGGGAGCUUUUAGAGGAAGCUCAUUGUUCCAAGUUUGCAAUCCACCCAAGAGGGACAAAGAUGUACAAGGAUUUGAGGCAAAACUAUUGGUGGUCAGGUAUGAAGCAUGAUAUUGCACAAUUUGUGGCUCAGUGUUUAGUGUGUCAACAGGUGAAGGCUGAGCAUCAGCGACCAGCAGGGUCUUUGCAGCCACUUGCUAUUCCUGAGUGGAAGUGGGAGCAUAUUACCAUGGAUUUUGUGAUAGGAUUGCCAAGAACCUUAGGGAGUAAUAAUGCUAUUUGAGUGGUUGUUGAUCGGUUGACAAAGUCUGCUCACUUUUUGCCUAUGAAAGUCAACUUUUCUUUAGAUCGUUUAGCUUUUCUUUAUGUGAAGGAGAUUGUGAGAAUGCAUGGAGUACUAGUUUCUAUAGUGUCUGAUAGAGAUCCUCGUUUCACUUCUAGAUUCUGGCAUAGUCUAUAAAAAGCUUUGGGCACUAAGUUGAGUUUUAGUACUGCUUUCCAUCCUCAAACUGAUGGUCAAUCAGAAAGGGUAAUUCAGGUUUUAGAAGACUUGUUGAGAGCUUGUAUUUUGGACUUGCAAGGUAAUUGGGAUGAUCAUUUACCUUUAGUAGAGUUUGCCUAUAACAAUAGUUUUCAAGCUAGCAUUGGGAUGUUACCUUUUGAGGCAUUGUAUGGUAGGAAAUGUCGAUCUCCUAUCUGUUGGAAUGAUGUUGGAGAAAGGAAACUUUUGGGGCCUGAACUUGUGCAGUUGAUUGUUGAAAAAGUUGCUUUGAUUAAAGAAAGAUUAAAAGCAGCUCAAAGUAGACAUAAGAGUUAUGCUAAUCAUCGUAGGCGAGAUUUGGAGUUUGAGGUGGGUGAUAUGUGUUCUUGAAAGUUUCACCUAUGAAGUCUGUGAUGAGAUUUGGGAGAAAAGAAAAACUUAGUCCUCGUUUUGUGGGUUCGUUUGAAAUAUUAGAAAGAGUAGGCACUUUGGCAUAUAAAGUAGCCUUGCCCCCAAGUCUAUCUAAGAUUCAUAAUGUUUUCCAUGUUUCAACCUUGAGGAAGUAUAUUUAUAAUCCAUCUCAUGUUGUGGAGUUGGAGCCUAUUCAAAUUUCGGAGGACUUGACCUAUGAAGAGGUACCCGUUCAAAUUGUGGAUGUGAUGGAUAAGGUACUGCGACAUGUUGUUGUCAAGUUGGUAAAGGUCCAGUGGAGCAAUCAUAGUAUCCGAGAGGCCACUUGGGAGUUAGAAGAAGAGAUGAGAGAAAAACAUCCUCAAUUAUUUCAAGACUCAAGUAUGUCAAGUUUAGAAGACUAAACUUUUGUUAAGAAGGGGAGGAUGUAACGCCCAAGUAUUUUUUUAAGGGUAAUUUAGGAAAUUACUAAUAAUAAUUCAAUUAGUUAAUUAAUUAAUUUAAUAAAGUGGAAGAGGGGUAAAAGUGUAAUUUACAAAUAAAUACCCUAGGUAUAAAUUAGAAAUUCUAUUUCUUCUUGUUCUUUUCUGAAUAGAGUUCCUGUUCGCAUGAAUUUCAGAGAACAUAGGUUGGAGUCAGAUUUCAAGGUUGAAGAACAGAUCUCUAUACGUAAGAUUUUAACCCCUAGUUUAAUAUUUUAGAUUCAUUGAUUAAUUUCAAACACAUUAGAUAUCUUUUGGAAAACCCAAAUCUAGAUUAGGGUUAGUUUUUAUUUUUUUUUUAUUUUUUUUUUUUAAUUCGUUCUAAUAUCAAUAGUAAAAAUAAUAAUAAUAAUAAUAAAAAUUUAAAAAAAAUUUAAGAUUUUGAUUUAUUGUUGGUAUUUGGGAGAUCUUAAGUUUUAUUAGAUGAAAAAAAAAAAAGGUUCCUUGGAAGGUUUCAAUUUUAUAUUAGGGUUAAUUUUAUUAAAAAAAGAAAAGGGGCGUGUGCCAAAUGGAAGGAAGCCUUAUAUAUAUAUAUAUAUAUAUAUAUAAUGAAUCAUGAUGAUGGCAAUGGAAAAAAAAAAAAAAACUUGCUUUUUGGUUUGGUGUACCCAAGACAACUAGGUAAUGGUUGAGUGGCUUUUGAAUUGGUUAAUUAAAAUAAUAAUAUUUAGUUUUAGAUUAAUAAUUAAGAUAAUAGUAAUAAUAGUCUUUUUUUUUUUUGUAAUAAAUAGAAUGAGAGAUUUAGCAAUAUAUAUAUAGAAUUUUAUAAUGAAAUAAAAUUGUAAUUUAAUUAAAUUAGUACUGUGUUAUUAGAAACAAAUUGAGAAUUUAUUAAUUUUAUUUAAAUAAGGAAUAGAUUAGUUAAAUUAUAGAUAAAUAGUAAUAAUUAUUUCUCUUAUGUUAUAUUAGGAGAAGAAUAGAUUUUUCCUGAAUUAUUUUUCUCCCAAGCUUUCAAGGUCUUUGCAUAAUUUGAGGUAAGGGAAGUUAAUGCAAUAUUUAUAAAAUUUAAAUUAUUUUAUAUGUUAUUUUGAAUUGUGGAAAAGAAAAUGAUAUUUUGUUACCAUGCAUGGAUCAAAUUGUUUUGCACUAAAUAUUAUGUUGGAAUAUUUUGUUUUAUUUAUGACACAAAAUAUGAAGAUAUUAUGUUGUGUAAAUUUGAAUACUUGAACAAAAACAUCACUCUGGUUUAUUUGACCCUUGUCAACGAGAUAUAAUAGUUGACUAUUCGGCCCUGUCAACGGGAUAUAAUAGUUGACCUUUACAUUUCAUGGUAAGAAUGUAAUUGAUUUGGACCCCAACCUCUAGGGGUUUGGUUAGAGGUUACUAGUAGUAAUAGUAUUUGGUUCCGUCCACCAAGAACAAUUUGAGGCUAGCCACCCAUUUGAAAAGUCCCACCUAACUGGGCAUUUGAUAUUUGAUAACUAGAGUAAUGAAAAUUGAAUGGAUUUGAUUGAAUCUUAUGUGAAAGUGUUUGAAUUUGAUAUGAAAAUGGUUGGUUGAAUUUUGAAUAUAUUGGUAUUUUUGAAACUCUGAUAUUUGAUGAGAAAAAAAAAAUGAUAUCUCCUAUUUGAAAUGAAAAUAUUUGAUCCAUGAACUGCAUUAAUAUUCCUUAUUGGGUUGUGAGCUCAUUCCCAAUUGUUGAAAAAUUUUCAGGUACUCUUAGUUCGGGUGAGGAAUGAUGGCUAAGCUGAGGAAUGGUCAUCAUUAGGAUUUGACUUAGGAUUUUAUGUUGGAUUUUGUUUAACUGUUUGUUAUGUUCAUUUGGACCCUUUGGUAUUUGGAAGUUAUUUGGAUAUUGAUCCUUCAAAUUUUAUGUUAGACCAAAGGUGAGAUUUGGAGAUUUUGAAAUUUGUUCUAGUACUUGAAUUGUUUAAGUUUGCAAAUAUUUGGACAAUGGAUUUUGGAUAGUGGAUGUUUUAGUUUUGAAAUUGAAUUUUGAGGAUUUUAGAUUUUGUUCCGCUACUCUGAACAGGUAUUUGGUAAUUGGUAACUUCCGAUUACAAGAUAAUUGUUUGGGUCAGGUUACACUGUAAGCCUUCGGGUUUGAAGUGUGAAAUGACCGUCAUGCCCUUGGAGUGGGUCUUGAGGCGUGACACUUACCGAUUCAUCAUUCAAGGUAUAGAACUGUUCUAUCAUUGAUCCAAGGAAUUAACAUGUCUACUCAAGUCUCAGCAUCUUCUCUAGCCCAGAUUCCCAAACCCAAAAAUCGUCCUGGCAAACUUUCACCCCAACAUUUGGGGUGACCAAUUUAUCACCUGCACUCCUGAAGACUAUGCAUCAAUUAUAAAUUUGACAGUUAUUUUUCUUAAUAUGUUGGAUGAUAAAAUUUGUUGGUCAAGGUUACACGUGCUUGCAAAGAGGAGCAGAUUGAGGAUCUGAAAAAGGAAGUGAAAAGGGAAUUAACGGUUGUUGUUGUUGCUAACCCUUCCCAAUUGCUGAACUUCAUUGAUGCAUACCACUUUGAGCAAGAGAUAGAAGAAGCAUUACAACAAAUUUGUAAUAGUUUUCAUGAUUGCAAUGAUAUGGAUGGUGAUCUCUACAAUAUUGCUCUUGGAUUUCGACUACUAAGGCAACAAGGGUACAGUAUUUCAUGUUGUAAGAGACUAAGAAAAAAUUGUUAUGUUAAACCUUCUUAUCAUUCAAAAUCUUAUGUUCAAGUGGUGAUGUUUAUGUAGGUAUAUUGAACAAGUUUACGGAUGAAUGAGGUAGAUUCAAGGAAGCUUUGAUCAACGAUGUAAGAGGCAUGCUAGGCUUGUAUGAAGCUGCACAUCUGAGGGUUCAUGGUGAGGACAUACUUGCAGAAGCACUUACUUUCACCACCACUCACCUCGAGGCCAUGGUAGAAAGUUUAGGAUAUCCUCUUGCAGAACAAGUUGCCCAUGCCCUGAACCGACCAUUAGAAAAGGUUUGGAGAGGUUAGAGGCAAGAUGGUAUUUAUCUGUCUACCAAGUGUUGGUUUAAGGGUAUGGAAACAAAGGACUAACUCAAAAGACACAAACAAAAAACAUAAUGAAUAGUAAGAAAAACUUAUUAGUUGAGGCGUGACAAACACUGUUCUUGAAAUAGAUCCACCCUCUUCGAAAACGAACUGAAUGCACUAAGGUGCCAGUGGUCUACCUCCAGGAUUCAAUAGCCAGAUCUUGCCUUGGGUGCACUCUAUAAGUGAGACAUGUACAACUUGGUUUUGAAAAAAUUCCUCCAAAAAGAUGUAUGAAAGACUCUCUGAAAAAUUGGUAUUCAAAGAGUAAAAGGUGACCUGCUUUUAUAGGUCACCAACACAGUCCUAAUGGGACUCUACUUGUAAUCAGAGGACUCAAAGUGGAAUGAGAUUCUACUUAUAAGUGAAACAGGACUCUAUUAGCACAAUCCCAAUGGGAUUCUUCCCAAAGGUAAAAGACUAAGUCAAAUGGAAUAAAAAUUAAAUAAAAAAAAUUGAAUUUUGUAAAAAUUAGUCAAAUUCGCUAAAACACUUUUUCACAUUUACACUCUUCCUACACCAAGAUGAAGCUUUCCAUGAUAAAACUUUACCAGAGCUAGCCAAAUUAGAUUUCAAUCUAGUGCAGUCACUGCACAAGGAAGAGCUAAGCAAUCUUGUAAGGUUGGUUUUUAAAUCACCCCACAUGUACUUGGCCAUUCUUAUCACUUUCUUGUAUACUGAUCAUAUUAAUGUCUUUUAGGUGGUGGAAAGAAUUAGACUUUGUUACAAAGUUAUCUUUUGCAUGAGACAGAUUGGUUGAAUGCUACUUUUGUAUACAUGGGGUAUAUUUUGAGCCUCAAUACUUACGAGCUAAACGAAUUCUAACCAAAGUAAUUGCUAUGACAUCCAUUCUAGAUGAUAUCUAUGAUGCAUAUGGCACACCUGGUGAACUCAAGCUCUUCACAGAAGCCAUUGAGAGGUUUGCUACUUGCACAUUACCAACCUUGAUUGUGUAUAAUAUAUGUAUUUAUAUAUACCUAAAUCAAGGGUCAUUAUUUUAUUUUCAGGUGGGAUAUUAACAGCAUAGAUCAACUUCCAGAAUACAUGAAACCCUGCUAUGUGGCACUCUUUGAUGUGUACAAAGAAAUCGAGGAAGAGAUGGAGAAAGAAGGAAACCAAUAUAGGGUGCACUAUGCCAAAGAAGUAGUAGGACAUCUUUAACUCUGGAUUCCCACCUUUUGCAUUGAUGAUAUUUUAUAUGGUCUCAUAUAUACAUAGAUAUAACUUGGGUGAAUGUCCAUUAGAUGAAGAAUCAAGUUCGAGGUUACAUGAAGAACACGUACCAACACUUGAAGAGUACAUGUGUGUUGCACUAGUAAGCUUUGGAUACUACAUGCUUGCAACCACAUCCUUGGUGGGAAUGGGAGAAAUAGUAACAAAGGAGGCCUUUGAUUGGGUGACCAGCGAUCCUAAGAUUAUGCCAUCUUCAAAUUUCAUUGCGAGGCUCAUGGAUGACAUCACAUCACAUAAGGUAUGCAGAAUAUGUUAUUCAAGUGGGGAGAAUAUAACACACCGGUUUUUUUUUUUCUCAACUUUUGCAUUAUACAUGCAGUUUGAGCAAAAGAGAAGGCAUGUGGCCUCAGCCAUUGAAUGUUACAUGAAGUAAUAUGGUGUCUCUGAGGAACAAGUAUACAGCGAGCUUCAAAAUCAAAUUGAGAAUGCAUGGUUGGAUGUCAACCAGGAAUGCCUCAAACCUACUACUAUUCCAAUGCCUCUCCUUGCUCCUAUUCUAAAUCUUACACGAGUCUCGGAUGUCAUUUACAAAGAGCAAGAUGCGUACACACAUGUUGGGAAAGUGAUGAAGAAUAACAUUGCGUACACACAUGUAGUUGAUUAUCGUCCCCUAUGUAUUGCCUUGUGGAAGAAGUAAUAUCUAAUAAAUCAUUAUAAUAAGGUGAGGGAACAAUACGUAAUAAAUCAUUGUAAUAUGGAAAGGGGGACACAUCAUAUGUAGCACCUAGUUUCUCUGGGUUCAUAGUGUUUUACUUUUGAAUAUUCCCUGAAUAUUUAAAUAAGAAUAUGUAUUACUUAAAUCACCUGAAUAUAUUAUUUAUUAUAUUAUAUUCUUUAAUACAUAUGUAUUAUUGUGAUUCAACUUGAGGAGUAUUGAUACUGAGUCUUAAAAUACAUAUGUAUGUAGAAUAUAUGUCUACAAAAAAUCCGGAUCUCCUUGUUAAUGUGUAAUGGUGUUUUGGAGUACUACAAUACUCACCAAAUAACUUCUUUACACUUUAUAAUGGACACUGACUGGUGAGUUUAUAGUUAAUUAAAGAUUUCACUCGAUAGCAAAUUAUUAUUAUUAUUAUUAUUAUUGUUAUUGUUGUUGCUAGCGUUAUUAUUAUUUAAUUCAUUAUUAUGAAAAUUAUUAUUAUUAUUACUAUUUAAUUAUUAUUAUUAUUAGCUAUUAAUUUUAGUUUUUUCUUUUUCAUCUUUUCUUUUUUGUUGUUUGUUAUAUACUUCAUAAAAUUAUAAGUUAUGGUCUUUUAUUAGGUUGAAAUUGGAAGUUCAAGUUCAUUAAAGUAUGACACAGUUAACUUAGGUUCACUAAUUUUGUAAAAAAUUUGAUGCAUUUAUAGGAUAAUUAAAUAAUUCAACAAACUUAUCAUUUUACUAAUUAAGGUUUUUUAUUUUAUUUUAUUUUUUAAAAAACUUUUUUACAUGUAAGAAUACAGAAAUUAUGGUUCAAUGUGAAACUUUGGAAUUGCAUGAAUAUGAAAGUGAAAUUUGUUGGUGUCGUUCCCAACUAGAGUUAGGUUCAUCCAACUUCACUGGAGUCAGGUGGACUGCUUCCUUUCUCCAACUCGUGAACUUAGCCGAUACUAAGUUAUGUGAUAACACCCAAUUUUUCCGUUCGUGCUUCUUGAGAAGUCCGUCCAGUUGUAUUGGAAUCAGACAGACUUCUUCCAUGCACAAAAGGAUGUCCAGACAGGUGAUUCGAGCACGUCCCUCCUAAACUUAAGUCAGUUAAGGAUAGUUCUAACUUAUUUUUGUGGCAGAAAAUGAGUUUAUGUGCAUGCCUACCUUGUUCAUGCUUUUUGAGGGGUUUAUAUAGAGUUGAUGAUACUGUCCCUAUAGUGCUGACUAUACACUCUAGUCUUUCUUGUAAUGAUGAUUGCCCUUAGGGCGGUUGAUUGGUGCCAUCUAUUGACGUGCCAAAAUCUCGGACCAGCAACCGAUUGUCCAUUUAGCUUGCCAAUGUCUGGGAUUGUGUGUAACAAUUAAUUGACAUUGACUUUUGGGUGUAAAUGGAGUCCUGUCCACUGCUUAGAUGUCAGGCGUCUAAUCCACUGCUCAAAUGUCCUGUGUCUGGGCCAACGCUCAGACAUCAAGCAUAGUUGAUCAUGCAUGCCAGAAAUCCUGAGGACUUGAUUAGACUGAUUUUUUCGUCUGAGAGUCCAACGAGCCUAGCCUAUCGAUUCCGUUCAACCUUGUGGAAGAAGAGAAACCUCUCACUUCUUGUGUCAGACAUAACUUAUCUUGGUCCAAACGAAUUGAUCCCAGACGGGUUAUAAGUUUGUUCUGGUCGGCCAAGGGGUCUUAAGCUUGAAAAUGACACGUGAAGGGAAACCCCCCACAAUGCCCUUUUAAUCUGUCUACUUCUAUUCAGAUGAAGAGGAGAUGUUUUUGGAGCGUCCAGUUAGUUUCCUAUCUGAACAGGAAUUCUGGGAUCGUUUCCAUAUUCCAGAGAAUAUCCCUAUUCUUCUAAUAGACGACGAGGCGUUAUCCUCCGUUGACCUGCCCAACAACAUGAUGUAUUUUACUAAGGAACAAUUCGUUGCAGGGCUCCGUCUACCUAUCCCCUCUCUCUUCAAGCAGUUUCUUCAUUUUAUGUAAAUCCCUUCAGCUUUUCUUCAUCCGAAUUUUGUCCGGGUAUUGAUGGGAUGUAGUGUUCUAGACAUGCUCUUUCAGUUGAAUCUCUCAUUGUUGGAAGUUUUGCUUGUUUACAUUGUCAAAAUGAGCUGGAAAGAAAGGUUUAGCUUUUCUUCCCAUAUUCCUUACUUGCAGCCAGUGACUGGUCUUUUAGAUUCAUGCAAAGGCUAGGUAAAGGGGCAUGUCCUAGUCUCUGGUCCUUGGAGUGGUUCGUCUGAGGAACCAGAUGGAGUCUUUUAUCCACAACAUUCAUUGGAGAUUCCGAGUAGGAUACGCUUCCAUCACUUUCUCUAUAUUUUGCAAUUAUUUCUUCCUCGCUGUCAAUUUAUUGUUGAUCUUUUUGUUUGUGUGAUAUAGGCAAGGAGAGGUGGGGACGCCUUGUAGAGUGGGUAGACAAGGCUUCUUUCACCUAUUUAACAAGUUGUUCGAAAUAGACGCGUUCAAAUGGGCCCCUAAAGUUCUUUUGUAAGAUAAUAAGUUGCUAACGCUAAUUGAUAAUCCAAAGUCGUUCAUCAUCCCCGUAUUUCCUCGUCUGGCUCCCCCGUCUUUGGUGCCUGGUGAACAUUUCGUGCUAAAGGAUUUGCCAUUCUAUGAGGUUGCUCGUCUGGCAUAUUAUAAGGCAUGUUAGGCCCGUUUAGAGGAGUGAGAGAAAAAACAUCAGGAAGGGACAUUGAGGCAAGCUCUAACUGCUAGUCUUCUAUCCUCCAGUUUUGUUGUCCAUCCUCUCACUAAAAAGAGGACGAAACCUACUGCUUCGCCUAUCUGGAAGGUAAGGACUCUGCCUCCUUCAUCUUUAUCUUCUCCAUCAACUUCAUCAUCUUCGUCAUCUCCAUCUUCUAGUGGCAAGCCAAAAUCAUGGGUUGUCCAGGUAGUGUCCCUUAUUAUUUGCGAGGAGGAAAAAGAAGAGGAUAUGGCUUCAAACUUGAGGGUCGGAUUUCGUGAGAGACAGCGCAAGUGCUUGUCCAAAUCCAUUGUUGUCAAUCCUACCCCCUCUAAGAAAGCUUGUUCAAAACCUACUUCAGCUCUUGCGCUCGUGUCGGUUCCUCUAACUACUGCUACAGUCUUCACCCUUAAGCUAGAUGAGAAACUUCCUUCUGUUGAUGAACAUGUUUAUCAUGAGACGAGGAUACCCUUCAUCAGCACGAACAACUUCAACAAAGAAUCGUUCGAAUACAUGACUUUUUUUUCUCUUUGUUCGAAGUCAACCUAUGUCCCCAAUCGGGAGGAGGUAUCUGAGCUUUUGAAGUGAAUCCCUGUCUUCACCGAAAGAGAGUCCCUGGUACAAAACAUAGGGUACUCUUUCCAGCUACUUAGCAAAUCCCAAUCGAGAUAGACAACGAUCCUAGUCGAUCUUUCAUGACCUGGCUUUUGUAUGACACUCCGAAUAUCGCCAUUUCUCGCAUUAUUCCCAUGCAAGACUAUAAGGCUUUUGAAAUGACAAAUAUGGUAAGUCACCUACCCUUUUCUUCUCAUUUUUCCUUAGCCUCUUGUUUCACAACGAUUUCUUUAUUGCAUCUUCAGGUGAUAGUCGAAGUUUGAAACCUCAUGCGGCAACACACUCCUUUUUUCUACCGAUUGGAAACAAUCGAGACCAUGAGGCCAUACUUUGCCCAUAAUAUGGAUGGGAAUGAGGAUCUUCUUGCCAGCUUGGAGACAAUAAAGAGUGAAGCUGCUGUUGCCCAAAAGCUUGUUAAAGAAGAAAUCGGUCUAUUGAGGAAGGCCGAGGAAGAGAAGGAGACAGUUCAAACUGAAGCUUGCCAACUAGUUGAAAAGAAGGAAACCAUGGUGGUUGACAAAAAAAAAGGCUGAAGAAGAGGCUGCCUAGCUGAGGCAGGAGCUACAGGAUCUCCGAGCAGGGUUUGCCUCUCAGAAAGAAGACUUGGAGGUUCACUACCAAAAGCAAGUGGAUGACAUGUUCUUGUACGACUAUCGUUGUUGUAUGAAGAAGCAUGGCAUCAUCCAUGAUGCUCUGAGUUUUCCUUUGGAUGACGAUGAUGAGUUUUUAGGCGACCCUGCCCAGGGAGGAGGAGAUGUUUUCGGAGACGAUCCUUAUGGCGAGUAGGCUUGAUCUCUUUGUUUGUAUUUAUUUAUUAUGGUUGGACGUGGCCUAGACUGCUAUAUCUAUAAAGACAAUGGAUGCUUUAUUUUUUCAAAUAUAUUUACUUUAUCCGUUUGUCUCUCAUACAUUGUUUUCAUAAGCAAACUUUAUUGAAAGUAAUACUUUAAAUUGGAUACAUUCUAAGAGCAGAGCAGGGGUACGUUGUCUAGUGUUUGAAAAUGGUAUACCCCUAAGUCUCUAGCCUUAGUUACAACAUAUGGCCCUUCCCAGUUAGCUUGAAGCUUUUCGGCUCCUAUUUCAGCUGUGUUCUCAAAUAUUCUUCUGAGGACUAAAGUUCCUAGCCAGAAAAACCAUGGUCGUGUUUUUUUGUUGUAAUGGGUGAUCGUCUUUUGAUGGUAAGAAACCAUUCAGAUAGUUAUGUCUCCUAGCAUUUCAUCUGCCCAAUCCAACUGUCUUAUGAGUUCUUCAUCAUUGUUCCUCUGAUCUUAUACAACUGUUUUAGUGGUAGGCAUGUCAAUUUCAGUUGGAAUAAUGACCUUCAUCCCAUAAGCAAGGGCAAAAGGAGUAGUUCCUAUUGGCCGUUUGGAUGUCGUUUUGUAAGCCCAUAAGAUUCCGAGCAGUUCAUCCACCCAUUUUCCUUUAGCUCCUUCCAGCAUUUUUUUAAUGCAUUCAGUAGGGUUUUGUUUGUCGCCUCAGCUUGCCCGUUACUCUACGGAUAGCAAAGUGUUGAAUACAAAUUCUUGAUGUUUAACUUCAAAUAGAAAGUUCGGAAGACGGUAUUGUAUGAUUGCUCGCAAAACUCCAAAUCGACAUACGAUGUUUUUCUAGACGAACUUGAAGACAUCCUUAUCUUUGAUGCUAGCAUAGUGUCACGGACUUAGUCGUUCACUAAGCUCGUGCGGCACUUAGACAAGCCAAGACGCUUGAUCUUGCUAAGUCAGCCUUGCUCCCAAUACUUAGCUCACCCGGCUAAGACACUCGCGACUCAAAAGCUUAAGAAGCUUGGUAGGCAACUCCUUAAAGAAUGGAAGCUUUCUAUUACUCAAAGAAGCCUUUACAAGUGCUUGGAUGCUCACUUGCUUGGUUAGGAAGUGAUUUUGGGUGGUGCCUUGGCCAAAUGAGGCCCUCACCUAUUUAUAGGCACCAAGGGAACUCUCUAGAACCUUGGAGGGUUCCCUUACAAAUCAAGAAUAUUCUAGAACAUCCUACCCUAUUCUAUGUACAACCCUAUGUACAAGAAUAUACAAGAGAUUCCUAGAAGUCUCUAGAAAGCCUUGGACUCCUCCCAUGCCUUCCACCAUAGUGUAGAGAUGUGUGGACAUCUCUAGGCAUUUCUAGAACCUUCCACACUCUUCCCACCAAUGACUUNNNNNNNNNNNNNNNNNNNNNNNNNNNNNNNNNNNNNNNNNNNNNNNNNNNNNNNNNNNNNNNNNNNNNNNNNNNNNNNNNNNNNNNNNNNNNNNNNNNNNNNNNNNNNNNNNNNNNNNNNNNNNNNNNNNNNNNNNNNNNNNNNNNNNNNNNNNNNNNNNNNNNNNNNNNNNNNNNNNNNNNNNNNNNNNNNNNNNNNNNNNNNNNNNNNNNNNNNNNNNNNNNNNNNNNNNNNNNNNNNNNNNNNNNNNNNNNNNNNNNNNNNNNNNNNNNNNNNNNNNNNNNNNNNNNNNNNNNNNNNNNNNNNNNNNNNNNNNNNNNNNNNNNNNNNNNNNNNNNNNNNNNNNNNNNNNNNNNNNNNNNNNNNNNNNNNNNNNNNNNNNNNNNNNNNNNNNNNNNNNNNNNNNNNNNNNNNNNNNNNNNNNNNNNNNNNNNNNNNNNNNNNNNNNNNNNNNNNNNNNNNNNNNNNNNNNNNNNNNNNNNNNNNNNNNNNNNNNNNNNNNNNNNNNNNNNNNNNNNNNNNNNNNNNNNNNNNNNNNNNNNNNNNNNNNNNNNNNNNNNNNNNNNNNNNNNNNNNNNNNNNNNNNNNNNNNNNNNNNNNNNNNNNNNNNNNNNNNNNNNNNNNNNNNNNNNNNNNNNNNNNNNNNNNNNNNNNNNNNNNNNNNNNNNNNNNNNNNNNNNNNNNNNNNNNNNNNNNNNNNNNNNNNNNNNNNNNNNNNNNNNNNNNNNNNNNNNNNNNNNNNNNNNNNNNNNNNNNNNNNNNNNNNNNNNNNNNNNNNNNNNNNNNNNNNNNNNNNNNNNNNNNNNNNNNNNNNNNNNNNNNNNNNNNNNNNNNNNNNNNNNNNNNNNNNNNNNNNNNNNNNNNNNNNNNNNNNNNNNNNNNNNNNNNNNNNNNNNNNNNNNNNNNNNNNNNNNNNNNNNNNNNNNNNNNNNNNNNNNNNNNNNNNNNNNNNNNNNNNNNNNNNNNNNNNNNNNNNNNNNNNNNNNNNNNNNNNNNNNNNNNNNNNNNNNNNNNNNNNNNNNNNNNNNNNNNNNNNNAGCCGCCUCAUCCGUCAAUGCGAUAGCCUCAAAGUAUCGCUCCAUAUGCCAUAAGAAGUUAUCCAACUCCUUGGCAUCCCGAUUGCCACUAAACCUAUGUGGCUUCGGCACCUCCACCCUAGAUGCCUCUUGUGUGGCCAUGACCCGUGCCGACACAGCAGCCUUGUAGAUGGCCAACUCCUGCCUAACUUCCUGGUCUCGGGACUCCAUUCGAGUGGCCAAGGCCUCUAUCCUUGACUCCAUGCUAGCAAGCAUGCUCAAGACCUUUCCUUGGAAGGACACAAACUCCUCGUGCGACACUGGUUGAACCUGUGAGAUUAGCACCCCCUCGCGAAGGUCUUGGAUCUGCUCCCUUAGAUCCUCUAAGCCCUUCUCCAUGCCUUGCUCGAUCAAGUCCAACCCUUCCCGAGUGUCCGCCAUGGCUAGCUCCACCUUCGCUAACCUUGCCUCCAUGUUGGCAACGGCAUCACGAGAUUUAUCCUUCCUGCCCCUGCCCCGUGCAGUAGGCUCGGUCUCUCUCCCACGGGUUUGCUCACUAGUCUCCUCCACGUUAGAGCCCGACAUGCUUCCUUUGCUAUGCCCACCUCGUAACCGCGCUCUGAUACCACUUGUCACGGACUUAGUCGUUCACUAAGCUCGUGCGGCACUUAGACAAGCCAAGACGCUUGAUCUUGCUAAGUCAGCCUUGCUCCCAAUACUUAGCUCACCCGGCUAAGACACUCGCGACUCAAAAGCUUAAGAAGCUUGGUAGGCAACUCCUUAAAGAAUGGAAGCUUUCUAUUACUCAAAGAAGCCUUUACAAGUGCUUGGAUGCUCACUUGCUUGGUUAGGAAGUGAUUUUGGGUGGUGCCUUGGCCAAAUGAGGCCCUCACCUAUUUAUAGGCACCAAGGGAACUCUCUAGAACCUUGGAGGGUUCCCUUACAAAUCAAGAAUAUUCUAGAACAUCCUACCCUAUUCUAUGUACAACCCUAUGUACAAGAAUAUACAAGAGAUUCCUAGAAGUCUCUAGAAAGCCUUGGACUCCUCCCAUGCCUUCCACCAUAGUGUAGAGAUGUGUGGACAUCUCUAGGCAUUUCUAGAACCUUCCACACUCUUCCCACCAAUGACUUAGUGUAGAUGGCUCCAGGAGUCUCCAGAAGCUUCCCUCCUUCUAUAUAAGCCCAUGGGGAGGGUCAUUUGAAGCAUCCUGUGACAAUAGGCUUCUGUUUCCACCCACUUGCUAAAAUAGUCAGUUGCAACGAGUAAAACUUUUUUUGAGCUAUUGCAACAAGUAAGGGACAAAUUAUGUCGAUCCCCCACUGCGCAAACAACCAAGGGCUUGUGACCAGACUGAGAGCUUCAGAAUGUACACGGGAAAUGGGAGCAUGUCUUUGACACCAGUCACAUCUCUUAAAAUAGUUUUCAGUGUUUUGUUUCAUGGUGGGCCAAUAGUACCCUUGCAUGUAAGCACGAUGUGCCAAGGUUCGUUCGCCUGUAUGAUUUCUAUAUACGCUUUCAUAGAGUUCGGCCAGGACAUACUUGGCUUCUGGCUUGCUCAAACACCUUAGGUAUGGUUCUCUAAAUGAUCAUCUAUAAAGCAGGUCAUUGAUUAAAGUGAAGCGAGAUGUUUGCACGCAGAGUCUGUGCAAUUGCUUCCAAUCUUCUAGUAAUUCUCUCGUCUAAAGGUAUUUUACAAUGUCAUGCAUCCAGCCAAGGUUUGCUUCAUUGGUACUGCACACUAGUUCGGGUGUGGCCUGAAGGUAGAUAGACAACAUCAUUGCCUCUUUUAUAAGGAGAGUGGCAACUAUUCCGGCCAAUGCAUCCGCCUUCAUGUUCUCCUUUCGGGGUACCAGUCUAACAAUCCACUCAUCUAGAUUUUUCAAGUGAUCUUCCACCAUGGCGAGGUAGCGAGCCAUGCGUUCGUCCAUUACUUCAUACUCUCGUUGAAUUUUCCCAACAAUUAGUUAAAAGUCGCUUCUGAUUUUCAAGUUUGUUGCAGCCAGUGUUAAGGCAAGAUCUAGCCUAACUAGGACAAAUUCAUAUCCUACUUUCGUACAAUCUCUCACAAAAUUCAUACACUCUCUCACAAAGUUCCUACCAUCUCUCACAAAGUUCGUACCCUCUCUCACAAAGUUCAUACCACAUCUCACAAAAUUCGUACACUUUCUCACAAAGUUCAUACUAUUUCUCACAAAGUUGGUACCUCUUCUCACAAAGUUCAUACCCUCUAUCACAAAGUUCAUACACUCUCUCACAAAGUUCGUACCAUGUCUCACAAAGUUCGUACAAUCUCUCACAAAGUUCAUACCUCAUCUCACAAAGUCCGUACCACAUCUCACAAUGUUCGUACCCCCUCUCAUAAAGUCCAUACCCCUUCUCACAAGUUCAUACCCCUUCUCACAAAGUUCGUACCCCCUCUUACAAAGUUCGUACCCCCUCUUACAAAGUUAGUACCACCUCUCAUAAAGUUCAUACCCCCCUCUUACAAAGUUUGUACCCCAUCUCACAAAGUUCUUACCACCUCUCAAAAAGUUCGUACCAUCUCUCACAAAGUACGUACCAUCUCUCACAAAGUAAGUACCAUUUCUCACAAAGUUCGUACACUCUCUCACAAAGUUCAUACCCUCUCUCACAAAGUUCGUACCAUCUCUCACAAAGUUUGUACCCCCUCUGAAAAAGUUCGUACCCUCUCUCACAAAGUUCGUACUAUUCCUCACAAAGUUCAUAUCAUCUCUCACAAAGUUCGUACCAUCUCUCACAAAGUUCGUACCCCCUCUAACAAAGUUUGUACCCCCUCUCACAGAAUUUGUACUCUCUCUCACAAAGGUCAUACCCUCUCUCACAAUGUUUGUACCCCUUCUCACAUUGUUUGUAUCAUCUAUCACAAUUUUCGUACCCCCUCUCACAUUGUUCGUACCCCUUCUCACAGUGUUUUCCUUCAAGAUAUAUAAAACUUCAUCUUCAAAUUUAAUCUACAAAUAAACAAAAUAAUAAUAUAAAAAUAUUAAUGACAAUUUAAUAAUAAAUGACUAAAUUGUCUCAAUUUGAUUAAUAAUAACUCAUAAAAAAAAAUUCAAAAAUCUAAAUGUUAUAAAGCAUUACAUAUUGUUCAUACCCUUUCUCACAAUGUUUGUACCCCCUCUCACAUUGUUCGUACCCCUUCUCACAUUGUUUUCCUUCUUCAAGAUAUAUAAAACUUCAUCUUCAAAUUUAAUCUAUAAAUAAACAAAAUAAUAAUGUAAAAAUAUUAAUGACAAUUUCAUAACAAAUGACUAAAUUGUUUCAAUUUGAUUAAUAAUAACUCAUAAAAAAAAUUCAAAAAUCUAAAUGUUGUAAAGCAUUACAUAUUUAAAUGUCAUUUAACAUGACAUUUCUACCUACAAAAUUUAUAUUUAAAUAAAAAAUAUCAAAUAUUACCUUUGACACUUGUAAUCACUUGAAAUCUUUCAUCUUUUUCAUAUAAUAGAAAUUUUAAAUUUUCUCCCUCAAAAAGUUUCAAACUUGAUCUUCAAAUUUGAUUUAUCAAAACACAUCUCACAUAUUUUAUAAUAUGGUAGUUGAAACUAUUUAAUUUUUAUAUUAAAUUAGUAUCCCUUUUUGUAAAUAUGAAUAAUGAGAGUAUAAGGAUAGUUGUUAGAAUUUUCUUUUUUUAGAUAGAAUUAGGUAACAUUAAAUAAUAAAUUAUAUUUGAUAUUUAAUAAUAAAUUAUAAAAAAAUUGUAAUAUUUAGAUAUGUAUGAAUUGCAUGUAAUUAUUUCUCACAAGCAAGCCAUCUUUAUCGGUUUAAUAAGUUUUUAAUUUUUUUUUUUAAGUGGGUAGGUACCCAAAAUAAAGAGUGGGUACCAAAGAACGAUAUAUAUUUUGUCUAUAUUCUGUAAGUGACUGAAUGAUAGAUGCCUGUUGGUGAAAGAGAUGCCUGUACGUCGGCUUAAGAGAUGUUCUUUAUAUCAAACAAUAUAUAUUUAUCUAUAUUCUGUAAGGGGCUGAAUGAUAAGAUGCCUGUUGGUCAAAGAGAUGCCUGUACGUUUGUCUCAAAGAUGCUUGUUUAUAUCUAAGAAACAAAAGAUUCACAUAAAAAAAAAAAAUGAUGCUUAGAUUAUAAUAUUGAUCCUUGUUCUAUUUGGUUUAAGAGAAUAGUUUGACAUACAUGCAUAAGGUAAUUAAUAAAUUCCUGGUCAAGUGUCACGUUCAAACAAAUUCCUGGUCAAGUGUCACGUUCAAACAAGAAGAUUAAUUAAUAAAAAAGGUCAUUUCAAGGAGUAAAAAAAUUAUGAAAAAUAUAUCAGUUUUAACCACUAAUAUUAAUUAUUAGCAAAAGUCACUUUGAACCAUAAAAAAAUAAAAAAUAAAAAAAAUUAAUAACAAAAUAUCACGUUGAACCACAAAUAUUAACUCACAGCAAAAGGUCACCCUACGCCAUACCUACUAACAGAAACAUGUUCAUUAGUUAACAUGUACACCAAACCACCAAGAGAGACAACACCUCAUAAAACAGUUUUUAAGACCAAAUUUUAAGAACAGUUUUUUAUGUUUUUAGAAACAUAAUUGUGUUUGGGAAUUGAAUUUUGAAAAAUACUUUUUAUUUUCAAAAACAAAAAAAAAACAUGUUUAGUUGAGUUAAUAAAAAAAGUUUUUAGAACAAGUAAAACAAAAAAAUAUAUUUGAAAGUUGCUUUUUUUUUUAAUUGAGAAUUUUCUUUAAUUAACUUGAUAUUGUAAUUAUAUACAUAAUUUUUAGAUUUACAUUUCAUUUAAAUUAAAAACUAUUAUAUUAUGAUAUUUAUUUGCAUGAGUUAUAAUUUUUUCAACAAAGGAUUACUUUACCUAAUUGAUGAAGGGUAAUAAAGGGACUCAUAAAUCUGCUCAUCUACAUCAUUUAUUUCAUCUAAUGAAAAGGUAUCAACAACCAUUGAUAUAAUCUACUAGCUAAAACAAAAAUGUAACAACAGCAACAAUUCAAGUAUUGGUACAUUUCAGAUCACUACAAAUUAAAAGACCUUUUGGGUACUUACAGGCGAAGAAUAAAGUGCAAACCAGCAGGAGAUAGACUCAAUAAACGAAUACAACUCAAUGGUGUAUUUAAUACUUAGAUCAGGCCUCCUUCCCCUGGAAGUUGUAAACAUGGAAUGAGCACCUGCAAAUCAAAGCAAGGGAACAGACAAAAACCAUUUUUUGUUACACUACAAGAACUAGACCAAGAGUAGAACCUGUAAAAUCAUAGUAAUCAAACACCAAAGGUCCAAAACCAGUGAUCCAUUUGCUAGAAAAGAGAAAUCAAAUUAAUGAAACACAUAUCACAAUCAUUUUAAAUAGAGCAGAGGUCAUUCAAAACCUAUGAAACUCUAGACGAUGUGUUAAUGAACCAGGAAAUAUUUUAAGAAAUCACACAAAGUGAUCUAUCUUAACCUAGUGUUAAUAUAAAAGAUUCAUAAUCCCAAGAUAGGGAAAAAAACAAAUACGCAGCCGAGAAUCAAACCAAUUAGGUAGAAGACAAAAAAAAAAAAAAACAUUUCAAAUUAAAUAUAUACUCCAAUCCGAAUCUCAAAACCAUAAAUUAUUUUCAUGGAGAAGACAAAGAAAGGAAGAAAAAGACAAUACCUAAAACACUGAGUCUCCUUCUCAUUGAAUCCCCUUGAUGCAAAAGAUGCAAAGGUUAUUCUUAGCUCUUCAUUAGGCAAAGAGAUCCAUAUGUUGCGACAUCUGCAAAAGCCUAACUGUUAUCUCUCUUGCCAAUAUCCAGAGGGUAGAAUAGGCCACCAGCCUAAAAUUCAAAGCUUCAUAACACCAUCAAAUAGCGUACAUACAAGCACAUGAACACAUAGAGAGAGACUUUUUACACGAACAGCACCUUCUCUGGCGGCUAAUACAAGAAUAUCAGCACGUGAGGGUAGGUUGCUUCCAGCUCUUCCUUGAUGGAUUCAAUUAUAUCAAAGCCUUUUAGAGUUUCAUUAGAAAGCGAAUCUUUCUCUGAAUGGAUUCCAAUAUUUUUCUUGCCGUCAGUCUCUUCCGUGCACAACCCUUUCAAAUCAUGGGCCCCAAAAACAAACCAAAUUCCACAUACUUUUCAACUAAAUACAACCAUGAAUGCCAGUGCUGCCCUAUAAAUAAUAUGGAGCUUGCCAAGCUAUUUCUCUCAUACCUACCAAUUCAUCAUUCAAGGUAUAGUACUGUUCUAUCAUUGUUCCAAGGAAUUAACAUGUCUACUCAAGUCUCAGCAUCUUCUCUAGCCCAGAUUCCCAAACCUAAAAAUCGUCCUGUGGCAAACUAUCACCCCAACAUUUGGGGUGACCAGUUUAUCUCCUACAUUCCUGAAGACAAGGUAAUUGAAUGAAAAUAUGCAUCAAGUUUAAUGGCUUACAUACUUAUUUGGCAGUUAUUUUUCUUAAUGUGUUGGAUGAAAAAAAAUUUUGGUCCAGGUUACACGUGCCUGCAAAGAGGAGCAGUUUGUGGAUCUGAAAAAGGAAGUGAAAAGGAAAUUAACGGCUGCUGCUGUUGCUAACCCUUCCCAAUUGCUGAACUUCAUUGAUGCAGUGCAACGUCUUGGGGUGGCAUACCACUUUGAGCAAGAGAUAGAAGAAGCAUUGCAACAUAUUUGUAACAGUUUUCAUGACUGCAAUGAUAUGGAUGGUGAUCUCUACAAUAUUGCUCUUGGAUUUCGACUACUAAGGCAACAAGGGUACAGUAUUUCAUGUGGUAAGAGACUAAGAAAAAAAUGUUAUGUUCAACCUUCUUAUCAUUUAAAUCUUAUGUUCAAGUGGUGAUGUUUGUGUAGGCAUAUUCAACAAGUUUAUGGAUGAACGAGGUAGAUUCAAGGAAGCUUUGAUCAGCGAUGUAAGAGGCAUGCUAUGCUUGUAUGAAGCUGCACAUCUGAGGGUUCAUGGAGAGGACAUAAUUGCAAAAGCACUUGCUUUCACCACCACUCACCUCAAGGCCAUGGUAGAAAGUUUAGGAUACCAUCUUGCAGAACAAGUUGCUCAUGCCCUGAACCGGCCCAUUAGAAAAGGUUUGGAGAGGCUAGAGGCAAGAUGGUAUAUAUCUGUCUACCAAGAUGAAGCUUUCCAUGAUAAAACUUUACUAGAGCUAGCAAAAUUAGAUUUCAAUCUAGUGCAGUCACUGCACAAGGAAGAGCUAAGCAAAUCUUGCAAGGUUGGUUUUUAGAUCACCCCACAUGUACUUGGCCAUUCUUAUCACUUUCCUGUAUGCUGAUCAUAUUAAUGUCUUUUAGGUGGUGGAAAGAAUUAGACUUUGCUACAAAGUUACCUUUUGCACGAGACAGAUUGGUUGAAUGCUACUUUUGGAUACUUGGGGUGUAUUUUGAGCCUCAAUACUUACGGGGUAGACGAAUUCUAACCAAAGUAAUUGCCAUGACAUCCAUUCUAGAUGAUAUCCAUGAUGCAUAUGGCACACCUGAAGAACUCAAGCUCUUCAAGGAAGCCAUUGAGAGGUUUGCUCCUUGCACAUUACCAACCUUGAUUGUGUAUAAUAGAUGUAUUCAUAUAUACCUAAAUCAAGGGUCGUUAUUUUAUUUUCAGGUGGGAUAUUAACAGCAUAGAUCAGCUUCCAGAAUACAUGAAACUCUGCUAUGCGUCACUCUUAGAUGUGUACAAAGAAAUCGAGGAAGAGAUGGAGAAAGAAGGAAACCAAUAUCGGGUUCACUAUGCCAAAGAAGUAGUAGGACAUCUUUAACUCUGGAUCCCCACCUUUUGUAUUGAUGAUAUUUUAUAUGGUCUCAUAUAUACAUAGAUAUAACUUGGAUGAAUGUUCUUUAGAUGAAGAAUCAAGUUCGAGCUUACUUUGCUGAGGCCAAAUGGUUACAUGAAGAACACGUACCAACAAUUGAAGACUACAUGCGUGUUGCACUAGUAAGCUCUGGAUACUGCAUGCUUGUAACCACGUCCUUGGUGGGAAUGGGAGAAAUAGCAACAAAGGAGGCCUUUGAUUGGAUGACCAGCGAUCCUAAGAUUAUGUCAUCUUCAAAUUUCAUUGCGAGGCUCAUGGAUGACAUCAAAUCACAUAAGGUAUGCAGAAUAUGUGAUUCAAAUGGGGAGACUAAAACACUAUGGUUUUUCCUCAACUUUUGUAUUAUACAUGCAGUUUGAGCAAAAGAGACGACAUGUGGCCUCAGCUGUUGAAUGUUACAUGAAGCAAUAUGGUGUCUCUGAGGAACAAGUAUACAGUGAAUUUCAAAAGCAAAUUGAGAAUGCAUGGCUGGAUAUUAACCAGGAAUGCCUCAAACCUACUGCUGUUUCAAUGCCUCUCCUUGCUCGUAUUCUCAAUCUUACACGAACCGCGGAUGUCUUUUACAAAGAGCAAGAUUCGUUCACACAUGUUGGGAAAGUGAUGAGGGAUAACAUUGCGUCUGUCUUCAUUAACGCUGUAAUAUAACCAAAUAGAGUAGUUGAUUACCGUCCCCUAUGUAUUGCCUUGUGGAAGCAGUAAUAUCUAAUAAAUCACUAUAAUAAGGUGAACGAGUGAUAUGUAAUAAAUCAUUGUAAUACGGUAAGGGGACACAUUAUAUGUAGCACCUAGUUUCUCUGGAUUCAUAGUGUUUUACUUUGGAAUAUUACCUGAAUAUUUAAAUAAGAAGAUGUAUUACUUAAAUCACCUAAUAUAUAUAUAUAUAUAAUAAACUUUAUUAUAUUAUAUUCUUUAAUACAUAUGUAUUAUUGUCAUUCAAUAUGAGGAGUAUUGAUACUGAGUCUUAAAAUACAUAUGUAUGUAGAAUAUAUGCCUACAACAAAUCUGGAUCUCCUUGUUAAUGUGUAAUGGUGUUUUGGAGUACUACAAUACUCACCAAAUAUUUUCUUUUCACUUUAUAAUGGACACUAACUUGUGAGUUUAAAGUUAAUUAAAUAUUUAACUCUAUAGAGAAUUAUUAUUGUUGUUGUUGUUGCUAGCGUUAUUAUUAUUUAUUAAUUCAUUAUUAUGAAAAUUAUUAUUAUUAUUAUUAUUACUAUUUAAUUAUUAUUAUUAUUAUUAUUAUUAUUAGCUAUUAAUUUUAGUUUUUUCCUUUACAUCUUUUCUUUCUUGUUAUUUAUUAUAUACUUCAUAAAAUUACAAGUUAUGAUCUUUUAUUAGGUUGAAAUUGGAAGUUCAAGUUCAUUUAAGUAUGGCACAGUUUACUUAGCGGUUCACUAAUUUUGUAAAAACUUCGAUGCAUUUAUAGGAUAAUUAAAUAAUUCAACUAACUUAUCAUUUUACUAAUUAAGGUUUUUUUUAACCCUUUUACGUGUAAGAAUAUAUAAAUUUCUAGUUCAAUGUCGAAACUUUGGAAUUGCAUGAAUAUGAAAGUGAAAUUGAUAACAUUUUUUUUUUCUGAAGAAUUGUGCUUUGAAGUGAGAUGGGCCUGAAAAUUGAUAUAACAUCCUCUUAUCAUCCACAUUUAAGUUCAAGAUUCAAAUAAAGUGUAAAAAUUGAGUUAAAAGAUAUUAUCAUUCAUUAAUCCUUAAAAUGCCCUUAACCCUUGCAUAAACACACAAUGAAUGUAAAUUUCAAUUUCUUUGUAUUUUUUUUCCCAGUCUAUUCCCUAUUACCUAUUACCCAUUACCCAUUUCUACCUUUUUGUUUUCUUUUUCAUUUUUUCUUUUCUUCCCAUCUAUAGUUCUAUUUUAUGCCCAAUGUUAAUCUCUCAUAAUUAUAUUCCCAUUUUCAUUCGAUCCAUUAUUAUAUCAUUAACAACCAUAUUAAUUGCUAUUAAUUUUAUAUUUACCUUACAAUUCAUCCAAAUAUUUUUCAUUUGUAUUUAUCUUUUAGUUGAACUUUCAUUUUUUAUUUUAAAUUUACAUUACCUUUUUAUUUAUAUUUUUCCCUUAUUUUUAAUUAUUUUCUAUAGUUUCCACAUUAACCAUAUUUUUUAAAAUUUUAAAAUUGACUAUCACUUCACUCUUAAUUUUUUUUAUAUAGCUUUUUAAGUUUUAAUGUUUUUAUUUUAAAUUUAAAAAAAAAUUAUUGAGAAAAUAACUAAUAUAUAAAGUUCUAAUAUUAUAUUAAUAAUUUUUCUUAUCUAAAUAAACUAAUGAAAAGUAUUUUUACUAACAACAAGAAAAUUGUGAACACAAUUUUUUAGUGAAACUUUAGAAAUUAAAUUUCAAAUAAAGUAUGUUAUAUCAAAUUUUAUCUAAAAUAUGUUGAAAGUGGUAUUUAAUUUUUUUUAUUGACUUUCAAACUUAUUAAAUUUUUUACUUGAAAGAUAAUAGAACAUGUUUAAAGAAAAUUAGUUUUUCAUUUUUUUAAAUAAAUGAGUAUAAAUAUUUUUAAAAAAUUUAAGAUAAUCUUAGUAAAAAAUUUGAUAAAUGUGAUUACAAUUUUAAAUUAGAUUUUUAAAUAUAGAUUCAUUUGGAUAAAAUUUCACAAAAAAAAAAUGGUGGAAAAAAAGGAACAUUGCUAAAACUACAAAAACAAAAUAUGCAAUUACAAAAUUUUGAUAAUGAAAUUUAAAAAUAAGAGUCGAAACAAUUCUUAGGUGAGAUAAUUUGAUUGGGGAGAUUAUGCAAUUCUUGAGUGAAAAGAAAAAAGCGGGAGAGUUUUUGAGAAUAACUUAAAAUCCUUGACAAAAAAUAGUAUUGUACACUCUUGUAUAAUUAGUAAAUUUGUCUUGUACAAUUAGUGUAAUCAAUAAUUCAGAUUCCAUAUAUUUCCUUGUGAAUAUAUGUUAAUAGGUUAAUUAACCAUGUUUGCAUUGGUUUGGUUUAAGAGAACAGGAAAAGUUGUUGUACAAUUUUGUUCCAUGAUUAUCAUUAAUAGGGUAUAUAUUCAAAUGAUCAUAUACAAGUUAGAUAAAGUGCAUGAGAUGAGUAUAUGAUUAAUCGAUGUGUAUGAGGAAUGUCAUCCAUCCUUGACUGGCAGAAUCACUUAAAUUCUUCACAAAUGACAACCUUGUGCACCUUUGUACAGUUAGCAUAUUUGUCUUGUAUACUUAAUGUAAAUAUAUUGUAUAGUGAACCAAAUUUCAUAUACCCUUUACUCAAUGUGUGUCCAUAGAUAGGUAGGUUAAACAUGUUUCCACUAGUUUAAUUCACAAAAUAGUGGAAGACGUAAAAACAAAAUUUUUCCUCAAACAUCAUUAGUGAGAUAAGUAUUCGAAUUGUCAUGUACAAGUUAAAUAAAGUGCAUGACUUGGGUGUGUGAUAGAAGAAUGUGUGAUAUGAGAGUGUGCAAUCCUUAAAUGGCAAGACAAAAAAAAAAUUGCAAGAACAAAAAGUGAGAAAAUCUUUAGGUAAUUAAUCAUGUUUUUUGAGUGACUCUAAUUAAUAAAUUAGCUCUAAGUGACUCUAAUUAAUUAAUAGCACAUUCCAGAAAGUCAAUUUAUAAUAUCUAGUACAAGCUUGCAUUUUUACCAAGACGCUUUUAUGUAGACUUAUGAAUUACAAAUACCCAAAAUACUCUCAAAGCAUUCCAUCAUGAAAUAGGAGCUCAAGUAGAGACCAUUGAGACCUAUAGGAAAACACUAACUCCUUCAAAAUCUAAUGUUGAAUUUGACUUUACACUCUACUAAAGAGAGUCAACUACACCCUAAUAUCUUAUGAAAUUACAAUGAGCGAAGAUCAAGUCUAUGACCUACUAUUCAUUGCAUGUAAACUCUUCAUAAAUCGAUGUCUGUAAUUUAACAAGAUAGUGUUAUUACCUAUCAAACUUAUCUCUUUAAUCCUUAAAUUAUAGAUCUCACUUCUUAUGUGAUCAACUGACAUACUUUGCCUUAGAGAAGUAUUAUCUUUCGAUGUGAAAAUUUAGUGGGUGUUAAUUGACUUUUUGGUAGUUCUUAAAGAAUAAUUUCCUCAAAUAACAAAAGAAGCACAUAAAAAAAAUGCAAUAAAAAAUAAUUGUGGUGGUCUCAAAGUGACUUGGCCAAAAGUUAAAUAAUUGGAGGAUGACAACACGGAACAAGGACUUUUCAAACAGUUAUAUACAAACUUAAUAUAAUAAGGGUUUUUUUAAUGAUUAUUUUGGGAAAAAAAUUUUAAAUAGGGGAGGAUAUAAUUAUAUAAAAAUAUGUGUAUGCAUAUCAAUACAUGUGUAUAUUUAUACGUAUUUUUACAUAUUAAUUUAAUAAAGUAAAAUAAAAAUCAAUUGGUAUGACAAACAAAAUUAAAGUAAUAACAAUCCUAUAAGAAAAUAAAUAAAUAAAUAAAUGAACAAAAGUAAGUUUGUGUCAAAAAAAUAUAGUAAAAAAAUAAAAAUCCUUGUGGAAAAACUAAUUGCUAAUAUUUUUUAUUUUAAAAACAUUUCUAAUAUUAACCUAUAUCGAAACUAUUUAAUUUUAUUACAUUUCAUGGAAAUAAACUUCCUGUAAUAAAAAUAUUUUCUUUUAGGUAUCUAUAGACGAGAAAAAAAUAUUUGAUAUAUGAUUAGAAAAAUGUUAGUGUCCGAAAAUCGAAAAAUGUCCUUGGAAGAUUGUAUUUAUUUCCCCUGAAUUUUCGGUUUAUCCGGUACGCUCCAUGCCAAACACUGCCCGUGUUUUACGCGGUUUGCAACCCAUACUCCAUGCUCCAUGUCGUAAACCAAUGAGAUUAAAGAUUAGUCUGACAGCUUCAUUGGAAAAAUUCAAAACUAAUGGAAAGAAUGAAUAAAAAAAUGAAAGAAAAUGAAUUGGUCCACAUGUGAAAAGGAGAGAGCUGGUCGUUGAAUGGGAAAUGGAGGAAAAUAGAAGAAAAAUGACAAAGGAAGGAGCCAAGAAAAGGAAGGAGGAAAAUAUAGUAUUUCUUGUUAAGCUAUAAUUUGACCUUGACCAUAAAGCUCAAUCAAACAUAUUUACUGCACUGUUCUUCUAAACCAUAUAUGCAGUUUGAGCAAAAGAGAGGACAUGUUGCCUCAGGCGUUGAAUGUUACAUGAAGCAAUACGGUGCCUCUGAGGAAGAGGUAUACGAUAAGUUUCAGAAGCAAGUUGAGGAUGCAUGCAAGGAUAUUAAUGAGGAGUUCCUACGACCUACGGCUGUUCCGAUGCCUCUCCUUAUGCGUGUGCUUAAUCUUUCUCGAGUGAUGUAUGUGAUCUACACGGGGGGAGAUGGGUACACUCAUGUUGGAAAAGUGAUGAAGAAUAAUGUUGCAUCACUGCUCAUUCACCCUAUCGCAUGACCAAAUGGAUCAAGUUGAUGAGCAUCUACAUAUUCUGCCAUACCUAAUGCAUCACUGCUCAUUUGAAUAUAUGUUUAAAACACAUGGAUCAAGUUUGAUACUUUUCUGUCAUUUAAAGUUCACGUGAGGGAGAAAAUUCUCCAUAGAAAAUCACUUGGCGGAGAAGAUUCAAACAACACGUGUAUUCACUAUGGAAGUUACCAGGAAAAGGGUUUAGAACAUACAAAGACAUAAAACACUAAAAAAUUCAUCCUAACGGGUAAAAUAUGAUUAUGAUUAUUAUUAUUAUUAUAAUAUUAGACAUGCUAAAAGUUUUAUUAUAUACCAUGUAAAAAAUAAAUGUUAUGAUAUUACAUUAAACUAUGCAGAGUUUAAAUUUUUGCCAAAAAAAAAAAAAAAAGAAAAAAAAAAUUGGAGAAUCAAAUUCAAUCAACUCAUCAUUUUCCAAGCAAGGAUUACGAUAUUGAAAAUUAUAGAUAGAUCGAUGAUUAUAUUUUUAAAAAACAUUGGAAUGAAAUAAUAAUACAUGUAUAGAAGUUUUUUAAAUAAUAUAUAUAUAUAUAUAUAUAUAUAUAUAUAUAUAUAUAUAUAUAAUAACAUUUGUGUGAUAUUGAAUAAUAAUCCAUAGAGCUUGAAAAUGCAUUUAAUUAUAAAAUAUAUAUGAUUGCAUGUAAUUUGAAAAUAAGUAUUUAUAAUUUCAUUUACGACUUUAUUUCUUCCUCAUUAUUUAAUUAAUAUAGACAAGGUAUAUAUAAAAAAAAGACUUUAGUGAAUGCAACUUCAAAUGACGAAUAAUGCACGGUAGCAGUAAGCGAAGACUCAUUAUUUUGACUUCAAGGCAUUAAUUCAUAUUUUAUCCAUUACACAACAAAAUAUAUAUAAAUAUCCUUAUAAAAAAUAUAUACAAUAUUUAUAGGUAACAACUUUCUUCUUAAGCAAAGCAGCCAAGUAAGACUACAAAAUCUAUACCAAACAAAAUAUCUACUAGGAAUAAAAUUGAUUGGCUCGAACUCAAACUACCUAUGGACAAAUUUGGAUAAUUAUUUCCAACAUUUAAAUUGAUUGGGCUUAGGUUAAAGUAUUCUUCAACUCUUAAGUCAAUUUUAGUUGGGCUCUUACCAAGGUUGUGACAUCUCGAAUCUAACCAAAAGUUGAUAUAAUAUUUAUAUAAUAAUUAUAAUUUAUAUUAUUAUGGACUCAUGCACAUUUUUCAUUUAUUAUGAAAAAUGAUUAUUUGAAAACCCUUUUUAGGUUUUUUAGAGUGAUCAUUUAUUUUAUUUAUUUUUCAAAAAGGAAAACAAAAUAAGAAAAAAAAAAAAAAAAAGACAAGUUCAUAAACCAAGAUUGAGUAAGAAGUCAAAUUACCUAUUGGAAAAAUACAAAGAUAAGUCAUACAAAACAACCCUCUAAGCUUAUAUACUUACAAUCUUUAUUAAGCAAAUGAAAUGAAUUAUGACAAUUAAAUAAUUGAUUAUGGAUACUCAAGAAAAGAAAAACACAAAUAUAAAACAAGUCAUGGUGUUUAUCAUGUUAAAAUAAUGUAAAAAAAAAAAACAAAUGAUAAAAGAAUUUGCAUAAAUUGAUUUAUGAAACUAAUUAAAAACAUGGGUUUAAUUAUUUCUAAAUUCAAAGGAUUAAAAAAGUUAUUCCAAUUUGAUGAUUUCAAUUGAUUUUAAGUACAAAAGAAAGUUUUGAUUUCAAAUUUUUUUUUGAAGAAAAAAAUGCUUCAAAUCAUAGAGAUCAUCAUUUAUAUCAGCAAUGCCAUGAUAGUUAUCAUAGGUGCUUUGUAAUGCUUGUUCUAUCUCGUUUUCAAAGUGGUAUGCCACCCCAAGCCGUUGAAUUGCAUCGAUAAACUUCAGCUGUUUCGAAGGGUUACUAGCUGCAGCAAUCAGCUCUCUUCUAACUUCCUCCUUUAGAUCUUCCAACUGCUGCUCUUUAUGGGCCAGAGUUAUCUGUAUCAAUAAAUUGCAAGAACAAAAAGUGUGAAAAUCUUUAGAUAUUGUUAUGUAAACUGCAUAUAUGAUCAGAAAAUUACCUCAUCAUCAGGAAUGUUGCUCACGAUGAAACUAUUGGCCCAAAUGCUAGGCUGAUAAUUUGCAGUCCGGCGAUUAGUCUCUGGAUUAGCAACUGGGGCUGGAGAAGACAUGUUACUGGUAGCGAGAAUUAAGGGCAUGUGUAACUCACUGGAGCACUCCAUAUAUGAAUAAGAUAGCUUGCAAUCUUCGGUAUUUAUAGGAUGGGAAAUCGUUCAUUACAAUUAUUGAAUAUCAAUCCCAGAUCCCCAGUAGCAUGGAUUCAAUUAAUUCAAGGUCAUCUAUCAUAUUUAAACCACGUUUAUUAAAAAUUAAAUAUUUAAAAUAUGUUUUUAUUUCUCUUAGAAAUACGAAAAUUGUAGCUUAUUCCCUUAAUAAUUCUCAGUAUCCAAUCAGCCACCAAACAGUGACUAAGACUUUCACGUGAAGAUCGUUGGGAAGGUUAAUUUAAAAAUAUUUUAAAAUACACGUAAGUUUUCAAAAAUCAAAUAAUUAUUUCUUGAAAUAAAAUUAUAUAAAAAAUAAUAAUUUAUCACUUUAAGUUAAUAAAAGCAUCUUACAAAUAAGUAUAUUAAAAAAAUAUAUAAUAUAAUAUGGGAUACAAAUCAUUGUGAAAAAUGUUCUAUGAUAAAUAAAAUUCCUUCUAAUCUUGUAAUUAAUAAUAAUUUUAUAUUAUAUAUUAUAUAAAUCAUUUCAUCUUCCUAUCUUUUUUAAUAAAUUGAAUAAAAUUUUUGUUGGUUGGCAUCAAUAAUAAAAUAAAAUAAAAAUUAGAACUUAAAAGUUAAAAAUAUAACAAAUAAAAUAUUGACUUUUAUUUCACUCAUAACAUGUCUGUUAAAAAUAUAGAUAUCAAGAAAGAAAAAUAUAAUAUGGGUCAAUAUUUUAUUUAAUUUUUUUUAUUUUAAUUGUAUUUAAUUUUUAAGUAUUUUGGUUUUAAUUGUAUUUUUAAUUUUUAAAAUUUCUUAUUUUAUAGUUGUUCAAUAUUCUUAAGAAUGUUUGUUUAUAAAGAGAAAAAAAAAAGUCAUAAAUUCGUCUCACAACACCAUGACUAAAAGGGAGAUUGGUUCUUUACAAUUAAACAUCUACACGUUUAUUUGUUUAUUGAUAUUAUUGAUGUAAGAGAUAAAAUGAUCAUUUUAGGAAAUAAUUAUUUAACUUAUGAGAAAUGUAUGUGUUUUAAAAUAUAUUUAAAUGGAUGAAAAUAAAACUAAUUUAUAAAAUUUUGAAUUUCUUUUUCAAAUUAGUGAGUCAUAACCUAGUUUUCCCUUAAUAUUUCAUUGUACAAUAAAAUUAAUAUCAUGGUAAUAAAAGAAUUUGGAUAUAACUAGGGAACUAAGUUCUUUUAUAUACAACACAAAAAUUAGUGUCUAGAUGAAAAGAAAAUUGCAAAUAAUUUGUUUUUCAAUCACACCUAUUGUAAGAAUCAUAUUAUUAAUUAUUUUGAUUCUUAAUUAACAAUAAUUAAGAAUAAUAUAAAUAUAUAUUUUUUUUAAUUAAAAUGUGAUUUGAGUUAGGAUAACUCUUAAAUUUUUGGCAAAUUUUCAAUGCCAAUAUUUCAUUUAUAUAAAACCACAUAAUAUUUCCUUGAUAUAAAAAUUAGGUCUAAAUGAUGCUUGAUAUGUCAAAUGUCCUUUCAAACAUUGAAAAAGUUAAAAAAAAAAAAAAAAAACAUUGAAAGUUAUGUGAUUCAAUUAAACCACAAAUUCCUUAGAGGAGAUGUAUAUAACCAGCCAAUCACUUUAUCAUAUGAAAAUCAUUCCUCCACCUUAUCAUAAUAAUUGAUUCUUCACCUAUCAAUAAUUUUAAAUUCCCCUAAUAUGGCAAUUUACAUCUCCUCUUUCUAUCAAUUUCUAGACCCAACCUUAUAUUAAUUUCUAAAAAUUUCAUCCCUUAAAUCGGAGUGGCAUGACAUUAUUUAGUAAAUUCCAAUAAAACUAUAAGAGUUCUAAACAAUCAAUGAAUCCAAAAUAAUCAUUUAAGUUUUAUUAAAUCAUUAUAUUUAUUUAUUAAACAUCUUUUAAGUCAAACUUAUUAUAUAAUAAGGCUUAAUUAUUUUAUAAUUUAUUUAUUUUAAUAGUUAAGAAAAUUGGAGGAUGCAUUGAAUUGAGCAAAACUAAAUCUCAAUCAUAAAUGAGCAAGCCUAUUUUAUAAAGAGACAAUAAAGUUUGGAAGGACCAUCUAUGGUCGAAUUCAUACACCAAAAUCUCUAGAAAAUCCGAGUGGGCACCAUCACCAUUGAAUAACGGCCCUACUUGGUAUGUGGGGUGAUGUUGUGGGUUUUGGAUGUUAAUAUGAAAAAAAGAGUCGAGUGUUUUGCAAAUGGCCGGCCGCCCUACUUGGUAUUACUGAGUGUGGAUAUGUUGGAGUUGUUUUGGGGCUUAAAGUUUUAGUUUGACUUGUUUAAAUUUCCUUUUUUUCAUGUACAUUGUAUUGACUCUUCUCAUCAUUGUUGUCGCAUUCCUCGGUCCUUAUUUUAAUAAUUUAUUAUAUUUUUUAUAUGAAAUGCAAAAUAUUUGAGUACUUUUUGAGUGGUUGCUUAUAAUAUGCAGUGAAAUUUGUUCCUACUAUUAUUUGUUAAAAGGGUAAAUAUUUUAGUGGUUGCUAUUUCUAAAGAAAUUAAGAUUUGGUUCACUUUUUCAAAAAUUAAUUUUUGCUUCCAAUAACAAAUAUAUAUAUAUAUAUGAAAAAAAUAUGAAAAUGAAAACAUGUCUAUGUGUUAAUUGUUCCAAAAAUAGAUUUUUGAAAAUAGGGUAUUUUUUAGGAAAAGUUUUAAUUGUUUUUAGUUGUUUUUUUUUUUUUUGUGAAUGUUUAAAAAAUAAUAUAUAAAUAAAAAAAUGAUUAAAAAUAAGGUAGUAUAUAUAAAAGUUUUUUUUAUUGUAGAGAAAUUUGAAAAACACGCUUUUAAUGUUAGAAAAUGAUUUUUAUACAAUAAAAAAACUAUUACAAAACAGAGUAGUCAAAUAAGCAAUUCUAUGACACUUUCCUUUCAUCUUUAGAUUUUGUCAUGGUAAUCAAAUUACCAAUUAUGAUUAGAAUUCCUUUUCUAUUAAUUAAGUCUAUAAAUUCAUUGUUUUAGCUAUGAGUUUAGUAAAUUUUUAACUAAAAAUUUGAAAAAAAUAAAAAUAAAAUUACUAUUCAUAUAUAUUUUCUUUUUUUGCUUUUUUUUUUUUUUUUUUUUGAGAAUUUUGUUAACUCAUCCCUCUUGGUGUUCCUCAAUUGGAAUCAACAAGAAGGGUUUUUUUUUUUAAUACUACUUUUUUGUCUUUUGAGAAUUUGGUUCAAUAAAGGGUUUGAUUUUAAAUUUUUUUUAGAUACGUAUACUAAUUAUUAAUUAGGAUAUUUGAUUGAGACAUGAAUGAUCUUGGCUGAUUUGUAAACUCUAUUUGAAAGUAGUAAAAGAUUUGUGUAAUCAUUAUUUCGUUAUAAAAUUAUCUAAAGAAAAAUUAUUAGUGCUUUAGUGCAUUAGUCUAGUUAAAUUAAAUUUGUAAUUUUUUAGGACGUCAUAUAUAUAUAUAUAUAUAUAUAUAUAUAUAUAUAUAUAUAUAUAUAUNNNNNNNNNNNNNNNNNNNNNNNNNNNNNNNNNNNNNNNNNNNNNNNNNNNNNNNNNNNNNNNNNNNNNNNNNNNNNNNNNNNNNNNNNNNNNNNNNNNNUAUAUAUAUAUAUAUAUUAAUGAUUUAUACUCCCUUUAAAAAUUCAAGGUUGCUGCAUAAUUAAUUUGAAAUUAAACAGAUAAGUAUAACUAAAUUGAUUUAGAAUAAUGAGCAAAAGGGAUAAGUAUUUAUAUGGAAAUUGAAAAUAAAAAUUUGAAAAUGAAUUUAAAUUUAGAAUUUAAAAUAGAAAAACUUUCAAAUAUCUUUUAGUUUAAAAAAUAUUUUUAAAGUUUAAAAAAAUCUUUCCUUCCUAACUCUUUUUUUUUUUUUUUUGGUAAAAUAUCAUUUGAGAGUUUUCAAAGAUCACCCCCUAAGCUUAAAGUCAUUAUUCUUUGUGUUUAAUAAAAAAAGGUUUCAAAACAUUUUAAAUUUGUUUGUUGAGUUUGAGAUAGAAGAUCACAUCCUCUCAAGGUGUCGAGGAGUCCAGUAAGGAGAAUGAUACGUUUGCAUCGUGGACAUGAAAUUAGGUACAAUCAUUAGAUAACUUUAUGUACUUAUCCUUCAAAUUUAGUGGAUUUUAAAUUUAUGGUAUUUGACCUUGUGGUUCUUAUAUCAAAGUCUUUGGGAGGCUUUGUGAGUGAUUUCUAUGUAAUUGCUUGUAUUUUUAAGUGAUUUUUUAUUUUUAUUUAUUCUUUAUAUCCUAAUAAAAGAAAAUAUAGAAACUAAAGAUUGGCAUACAUUGAGCUAAAUUCAAGAAGACUAUCUAUUUACUCCCUUUGAGGUGAAUAGAUAAAAAAGAAAGAAGAGAAAUGGGAGAUUUGUCUUUCUUUAAAUCCAAACAAGAUGAUAAGUCCCAGUCAAAGAAUCAUGUACUACAACAAUUGAUUACAAGUAUUCUCUUUGGGUGAGAACAGACCACACAAAGAAAUUGGGUGAAAAAAAUUGUCAUAUCCUUUAUUGAUGUCCAUGAGCGAUUUUUAACAUAUGUCGCUAAAACUAAAGGUCUUUAACACCAUAAUAAAAUAACUUCAAAUAAUAAAAAAAAUAACAAUAGUGAAAGCAAAAAAUCAAUGCAAUAGCUUUUGUUCUUCUACCACUACUUAUGACUUGUUCCAGCACAUGGUUGUUAAUCCCUUCUAAUUCCUUGGCCAGAAGAGAAUAGCAGCUUGACUAUGAAAUGAUCCCACAACCACUUGAAUGCGUACGUGUCUUCACGCAUGAUAUUUUGGAUUUCUUUUGAUGGCACAUUGCAAACGUUGUAGCCCAUUCAAAGUCUUGUCAUUACUCCCCCCUCCAAGUGGAUGCUUGUCCUCAGGGUCCUAAUUUGGAAACCUCUGCAGAAGCUCUUCGGUACUCUCCCACGUAGCAUCCUCCACAGCCAGCAUACACCACUUGACUAAACUUUCUUCACGAAACUUAGCCCCGUGUUUCACCCAGCGAGUGUCUAGUAUGGCUUUGGGCUCAAUCACAAGUGUACCAUCAUCUGAAAGUGGCAGAAGUUCUGAACUGUUCACGGAACCAUCUUGAUUACUACUCAAAAAGUGCUAUUUCAUAGCUUGUAAUUAACUCUUUUAAACACUUUUGAGUAGUAGUUAUUACCUUUUAACCCAAUUAACAUAUUAAGGACCUUUGCAAUAAAUUCUAAUCAAAUACUGUUAAGUUUUGGUGUUUUGAUAGCUUUUUGAUCACCAAAGCAAUCCAAGAUUGAGGAGAGUUCUUUGGAAUCCAUGGAAAAGCAAUGGAAAGCUCAGAAACAUGAAGAACCGAAGCUUUGAAGUCCUUUGCCAUAAGCAAAUCUGGAAUGCAAGGAGGGGAAGCAAAGAGAAAUCUGCCAUGAAGCAUUCUAGAUGACAGUCAUGUAAGCCACUUUUGGAGUACUUCCUGGAGUCCAAUUUAUGUAUGCUAUAUGUCGUUUCGAAGCUUAAGAAGUCAACAAUCCAAUGCUUUAAACAGUACGCGAUUCGGAGUUGAAAUGAAGGAGUUACAACCAUUGGAAGCUGAUCACUCCAAGCUAAAGGAAAAUUUUGCACGGCUGCAAAAUCCCCCUUUUGCUGCGAAAAUGUUGUCCUUUUGUUGCGAAAAUUUCGCAGCCAUUUUGCACAAUGCAACAGAAUUUCUCCUGAAGCUUCCUGAUAUUUGCGACAUACAUUUUGAGAUUUUUUGCUUUAGAUAUUUGAUGUCUAAAUCCCCAAACUCUCCUUGUAACCCACCUAUCAUAGGAUUCCUUAAUCUUUAAGUAAGAACAAAGGGUGAAUAACCUCUUAUAUAUAGUUUGUAAUUUUCUUUAUACAAUGAUCAAUCUCUCGAGAGCCUGUUCUCAGAGAUGAAUCAUCAUGUAAUUGGCGAAAGGAAGAAAUAUAUUUUACAGAGCACUUGCUCUGUUUUUCCUUCAUAUUUUUGUUUUCUCAUUAUUUUUCUUUCUAGCCAAUCAAACUUUGAGGAUGUUUUCUCAGAGGAUGAGAGGCUAGGCUCUUCGUCUCUUGGAGUGAAGAAAGCCGGGUAAGUUUCCUCAUGCAUAAAUUGGAAGUUUUGUUGUUUUAGUUUUUAAUGAAGAGAAAGUGUGACCCGUUAAUGGUUUUUAUCUUUUUAGUUAACUUAAAAUGCCUUUAAAUCACCUGGGCCAACACUUGGUAAGGCAAGUGAUCUCCGUCCAUUGAGAUGCACUAGUUUACCUAUUGCGAGCCUUUGGGAGGUGGUUUAAAGGUAGGAUUUUCUAGAAUAGCCAACACUUGGUAAGCUUUUGGACUCCAAGGAGACAUCCAUUAGUUAUCUCUUGCGAGCUUUUGACGGGUAAUCCAAGGUUAAGGAUCACCUUGAAUGGCAAAUGCUAGGUGAGAGGCACGAGCCAUUGCAAGAUGCAUCAGUGAGAGAGAUUUAGUGUUUGAACCCAUUAAUGGGAAGCAUCUGUACCACACCGGUUAGAGAAUUAACUAUAUGUUAAUUCUCUAAUGCGAGAAAAAGAAACAAGUGACCGGAACUCCCUUUUUGUACAAGGAACCUGAGCCUAGUGAUUUGAAACUCCAAGAAACACUUUUCUUUGUAAGUAAAAUCAGUUGCUAUUUUUGGUUAGUUUAAAACCAAACCUUUUUCAUUCAAACAUCUUUAUGUUUUAUUUUAAAGCUAACCUUGAAAUGAAAAGACACCAAUUCAUCUUUGAAUUAAUAUCAAUUGUGGAGUGAAAAACCAUCCCAGUGAAUGACCCUAGAGCCACUAUGCUAUGCUAGCUAAGGCUAUCCUAGUACAUGGUGUAAUAGGUUAUAAAUUUUGUUGAUUACUCCUGAGGACCAAAAUCAAGGGACACCAGCUGGACACGAAUCAAAUGGCACCACUGUCAGGGACCAUUGAGAGGACAUGAAUCAACUGAGACACCAAUUGGGAACGCAUCACAUCUCCAAGCUUCUUCCUUAGCAUCAAUACAUGAAAAACAAGGUGCAAGCGCACAUUGUCGGGUAGCUUCAGUUUUUAUGCGACAGCUCCCACUCUCUCCUCGAUUAGAUAUGAUCUACAGUAUUUGCUUGCAAGGUUCUGAUGAGCGCGUUGAAAACGAAUUGUUGGCGAUAAGGCUGUAGUUUGAGGAAAACAAGAUUGCCUUCUUGAAAUGUAGCAUCCCAUCAGUCACGAUAUGCUAUUUGCUUCAUUCGAUUCCUUGUAAUUGCCAAGUUUUCCUUGAGAUGUUUCAAUAAUGCAUCUUGAGUUGCAAGGCUAUGAUCAACUUCAUCAACGGGCGAAGACCCCAUCGAAUACAAUGGAAUAACAGGGGAAAGUCACCCAUAAAGAGCCUGGAAUGGGGUCAUGCCUAUAGAAGAGUGAUAAGCAAUAUUAUACCAUAACUCAGCCCAAGGAAGAAAUGUACUCCAUUGGCGUGGUUGUUGAUAGAUGAAGCAAUGCAGAUAUUGUUCCACACAGCGGUUGACAACUUCAGACUGGGCAUCUGUUUGAGGAUGGUAGGUAAAACUCAUCUUGAGUUAUGUACCCAACAUUGUAAAAAAUUCCUACCAGAACUUACUGAUGAAAAUGGGGUCCCUAUCACUAACAAUAGACCGCGACAUUCCAUGUAGUUUCACAAUGCCCUCAACAAAUUUUUUUGCCACCACAUUUGCUGUAAAUGGAUGAGAUAAGGGCAGAAAAUGUGUGUAUUUGCUGAGACGAUCAACAAUCACCAGAAUGGUCUUUUGAUCAUGGGAGAAUGGUGUUUUGAGCAAAACUAAAUCUCAACCAUAACGUAUCUAGUUUGAUUUAAUGUGAUUUAGUGUAAGAAAUUUGAUGUGAUUUGGUGGACCAUCAUGUUUAUGAUAGCUAAAAACUAGUAGGCAAUGAAAAUAAAAUAAUUCAUUCUUGCAGAGAGAAAGGGCAAGAGACAAUAAAAUAAUAAUUAUAGCACUAGACUUCUUCCUUACUAUCUAGUUUUCCCAUCUUCUUUUGUUUGUGAUUCCACUUGGGCUUACCAUUCUAUUUUAUAGAAAUAUGAGGAAAUUAUUCUUAUAAUUAACGUAGAAAAGUGAGGCAUGUUGAUGUUGGAUAAUUGGAAGUAACAUGUCUCCCUGAUGUCGUCGCCCAAUCAACUGAGAGUGAGGCUUCCUUCUCCUCUCCUGCAAAAGACACACCCUCCGAAGCUCUAGUUAGAUUGACAAUUAGAGAGAAUACCCCAUAUUGGGAACUCAAGAAGUGGAUUUUCUUUGCCCUCCCCCUCCCCCUCUUUCUUUUUGAGCCAUGUGAAGACUUUUAUUGUGUUUGGAGCCUUGUCACAUCUAUGCUGGGAAGGUGCUUUGACUUUCACAAUCAUGAUGGCUGCACAGAGGGUGGCAAAGCAAUCAUUAUCCUUUAGGCGGUUGAUAGGGGUCGUCGAUGGGGUGACCUGGCGUCUUGCUUGUCACCUCAUUCUACAAGCGGUGCAGUGCAGAGCGCAGCAGGUUGCCUGAAAGGACAUGGGGAUGUCCCAUCGAGCGUGCUUUUGGUGAGGAGAAGAAUGAUUGCCCGCGAAAACCGGUCAGGGAUCCUGUUUGGAACGCAUCAUGCAUUCUUGGAGAAGCACGAGGCAGCCAACCAUUGACUAUUGGGGCCGAAUUAGGUGUUCCUAGCUAAUGGCACAUGUCUAGACAAAGAUGAAGGGAUGCCAUGUGUCCAACAAAAGGGUGUCUUGCGAGGUCAAGGCAAUCUGCCACAUGUCCGCCCAAAUGAGGUCCUUACAAUGCCCCCUUUUAACCCAAUUGUUUUGUCCGGACAGAAGAGGCGAGUUAGUGGAGGGAGAUCCAAUGUCCACAGAGAAGGCUGCACACAACGUCAUUUUCUUUAGCAAUGAGCAGUUCAACGCGGGGCCCCGUUUCCUCUUCCAUCCAUUUUCAUGUAGUUCUUGCACUAUACCCAGAUCCCUCCAGCCGUUUCCAUCCUAAUAUCGUUUGGGUGUUAAUGGGGUGAAGCAUCCUGAACAUGCUCUUCUAUCUGGACCUCUUCCUAUCAUAGGUCAUCUUCGUCUACACCAUCAAAAAGGGCAAAAAUGACAUCUUUAGCAUGUUCGCCCAUAUCCCGUCUCUCUAGUUGGUGAUGAGUCUUCUUGAAUUGAACAAAUGAGGGGCCAAGAGACAUGUGCUGGUCCGGGGACCAUGGGUCAGCUUGAUAGAGCAUCCAGAAAGGGAUUUCCACCCUAACUGUUCAUUAAAGAUUCCGAGUAAGAAUGGUUCUAAGUGCCUCUCCCCUUACUAUUUUCUGUUGAGUUAAUGUCACUUGGUCGCUAAUAUUUUAUGUUUUGGCUGGUGUAAGUAAGGAUAAGAGGGGUCGUCUGGUUGAGUGGGUGGAGAAGGCUUCAUUCGUUCGAAAUCAUUGCCAGCGAAAGGAACUACCAGACGCUUCUUUCUGCCCGAAACCUACUUGCAGUUAUCCGGGAGCCCCAACCGUACGUCCUCCUCAUCAUUCCUAGGCGGUUGCCUAAGGUUGUGGUGCCCCGGGAACACUUUGUCUUGAAGAAUCUUUCAUUUUACGAAGAGACGUGUGAGGCAGAUGCCAAGGCUCGUUAGGAGCGUCUUGAGUAGGGGGAUGAGAAAAUGUAGGAGGGGAAAUUAAGGAGAGCGUCGGGUGAGAAGGGUCAGGCCUUGUUGUCUGUGGCCUAUCCUCCAACUAAAAAGAAGAAGAAGAACAAGAAGAAGAAGAAGAAAAGACCCAACGUAAAAGUGACCAAGGCUUCGACUCUAGUUCCUGAAUCUCCGUCUACCUCUACUCUUUCCUCUUCCAAUUCGGCGGACAGCUCCAUCCAAGCUUCCAAGGGUGACUCCGAUUCCUUGAGGCUCGAUCUAAGCGAUCCGGGGACUUGUCAUUCUGAGCCUGAGUCAGUGCCUAUAGCCCUUAGAGUUAUAGACGAACCAGAAGCAGAGGAAGACAUGUCAACUGAUUUGAGAGUCGGUUUUAAGGAGAGGCACCGUAAACGUCUGCAUGAGGCUAUCCAUAUGGUCCCUCCUCCAACCAAAAGGGCUUGCCCGGAAGGGGCUCGGGAGGAGCCUAGGAGACAGGUCCUUCCAAUGCCAAUGCCCCCGUUGGAUACCGUGGGGCCUAGCAGCACGCUUGUUGUUGAGAAAGAGGUCGACCCGACUCUAGGUGGGGUCUCUGGUGGUGUUGCUCUUGUUGAGGAGGUUUUGGACCAAAAAGACACUCCUGCGUCCGCUCCUCCUCCAAGCUGGGAUGAAAUGAUGGAGAUGCUAAAGCACAUGUCAUGCUUCACUGAUGCUGAGCCACCUUUCACCAAGAUGUCAGAUUUAUUUCCUUUUACCAAGCGGAUAUCGAUGAAUUUAGGCGGUGACCCUCCCAUCUUCGUCUCAACCCGACUUCCUUUUGGCACGCCCGAGUCUACCACCUCCCGUAUUCAACAACUGCGGGAUUGCAUGGUGCAAGAGACUGCAAAAGUGGUAACUUCUUCUAUGUUGCCCCCUUUCCGGAUAAUGCACACCUCCCUAAUGGCGCUAACCCUAUUUCUAUUAUUUCUUUUAGUUGGUGGUUGGCAUCCGCAACAUGGUGCGUCAACGCACACUACUUUCAAAUCUGAAUUUUUCUUACUUGCUCUAUUGUUGCCCAAAUUUCUUAAUCAUUUUUCAUUCUCUAGUUAUUCUACCCAAGAAUUUGAAUAGAACCUCCAAAUAAUCAACCAAAAUUUCAACUCUUGACAAGCAACCACACUUGGACACUCAUAGUUCCACUCUCCUUACAGUAUAAGAUUCUAAACUUAAGGAAUUUUGAUUUCUUGUUCAGUUUUACUGUCUACUUUGCAUGUUCUUGGUAAGAUAAUGGUAGCUCCACACAAGCAGAAUGACAUGAGUAAGGUACAUGGUGCUACAAGGAUGAGAUGGAGACCAAAAAAAUUCUGUCAUGAUUUGAAUUGUUGCCCAAAUGAGGUUUUCUCAUUGCCAGGGUAUAACUCUCAAAUUAAGCUUAUUUGUAAUGUAUGGGAAAAUUAUAUGCUAAUAAUGUCCAAAAGCUUAUGGCUAGUGAGGUUUGUGUCUAUAUGAAUGUGCUUUUGAGCAUUGAACCUUAAUUUACAAUCUAGAGAUUUAAUAUGGAAUCUUGUUUUUUCUACAAAUGUUGGAGAUAUUACAACAUUAGAACUGUUGAUUUUCUAUGAUGUGUUGAUUGAUUACUACUCAAAAAGUGCUAUUUGAUAGCCUUUAAUUAAUCCUUUUAAACACUUUUGAGUAGUAGUUUAGGCCUUUUAACUCAAUUGGCAUGUUAAGGAUCCUUUAAAGCAAUUUUGAUCACUUUGUGUAAGUUUUGGUGUUUUUGUUAGUAUUUUGAUCACCAAAGCAAGUCAAGAAUGAGGAGAGCUAUGAGGAAUCUUGGGCAAAGCUUAGAAUUCAAUUGCCAAGAGUGAAUCCGGAUUGCAAGGAGAAAAAGCAAAGAGAAUCUGCCAUGAAGCCUAUUCUUGAUGACAGUCGUAGCAGCCACUUUUGGAGCACUUUCUGAAGUCCUAAUGAUGCAUGCUAUAUACCAUUUCAAAGAUUAGGAAGUCAACAAUCCAAUGCUUCAAACGGUGCGCGAUUCGGAGUUGAAACAAAGAAGUUGCAGCCAUUACAAGUCAAUCACUCUAAAGUGUUGCGGAAUCAGCCAUUUGUUGCGAGAAUUUCGCAGCACUUUUGUACAGUAAGGUGUUUCUCCUUCUGACGAUGCACGAACCAUGCCGCGAGAAGGGAGCUGGAAACCUCAAGGUGGAAGCCAACUUUGCAGCCUGGUGAAGAUAGCUUGGUGUUGCGAAAAUAUUUCGCAGCCCUCUCAGGUGUCUGCGAAAUUUCGCAGACACCACUUUUCUCCUGCGAAAUGGCUCCUGAAGCCUCCCGAAGCUUGCUACCGACAUUGGGAGAUAUUUUCCAUUAGAUUUUUGUUGUCUAAAUCCCAAAAUACUCCUUGUAAACCACCAAUUACAUGAUUCCUUAGUUUUUAAGUUAGUAAAAAGACCAAAUAUCUUUGUAAUAAUUAGUUUUAUAUUGUUUUGAUAUAAAUACCUCUCGGGAGCCUGUUCUCAGAGAGGAGUUCCUUCUGUAAACGUUUGGUAAGCUAGUAAAGUCUAUUUUCUUUCUACUGCCUUACCUUCUCACUUUGUAUUUUCAUUUUAUUUCUAAGUUAUGAAUUCUCUGAGGAGUUUUCCCCAGAGAAUGAGUAACUAAACCUCCAAUUCCUUGGAGCUAAGGUUGCCGGGGAAGGUUCCAAGUGCAAGAAUGCAAAGCUUUGUGGUUUUAGCUAUUAAUGAAGAGGAAGUGAAAUCCUUUAGUGAUUUCUAUGUUUUUAGUUAACUUAAAACACCUUGGAGUCACCUGGGCCAACACUUGGUAAGGCAAGUGAUUUCCAACCAUGGAAAUGCACUAGUUUACCCCUUGCGAGCCUCUGGUAGGUGACUUCAAGGUAGGAUUUUCUGGAAUUACCAACACUUGGUAAGCUUUUGGACUCCUAGGAGACAUCCAUUAGUUAUCUCUUGCGAGUUUGUGAAGGGGAAUCCAAGGUUAAAGAUCACCUUGAAUGGGUAAGUGCUCGUGAGAGGCAUGAACCAUUGCAAGUUGCAUCAGUGAGAGAAUUAAAGUGAAAUCUAAUUGAAGGAGUCUCUGUACAUCACCGGUUAGAGAAUUGACUCUAAGUUGAAUCUCUAAUGCGAGGAAAUGAACCAUCUGACCGGAGCUAUGUCUUUUGCAUGAGGAACCACCCCAGUGAACCUAAAUCUCCAAGGAAUGCUUUUCUUCCUAAAUUAUUCCAAACUUCUGUUAAGUUAGUUAGUUUAAGUCUAAACCUUUAUCAAUCAAAGUUUGUGUUUUACUUCUUAAGCUAACCGUGAAAUGAAACAAGACCAAUUCACUUGGAAUUGGUAUCAUUGAUUGCUUGCAAAUCAUUCCCAGUGAACGAUCCUAGAGCCACUAUACUAUAGUAGCUUUGUAUUUGCUACCCUAGUGUAUGGUGUUAUAGGUAUAAAUUUUGUUGAUCACUUCCUCAAUCAAGGAGCGCCAGCUGAACACAAAUCAGCUGAGACACCAAUUGGGCAUGAGUCAAAUGGCGCCGUUGCCGGGGAAUGAGUGUCAAGUUCAUUGUGAUACCAUUGUUGAGCACUUGUGAUUUUCAUCACAAGUUGGUAAAGUUUCUUUCAGUUUACUAAUUUUCAUUCUUUCUUUGUUAAUUCAUAAUCUAAGUUUAUCUUUUUAAAUUUUAGUCUAGUUUAAUUUUGUUGUUGUAGCCCUGUUUUUCUUUGUGUCUUCUGUUUUUAUUUAAGUUGCAGCUGAAUACUAGUUGUGUAUGCCCAACUGGAUACGAGACAUUGGAGGUAGGCUUGUUAAGUGUGAUACACCUCAGAAAGGAGAAUUUGAAGUAAUCUUGAACAUCAUGGAGGCUGCACCUGAAGAUCAGCAUAGUCACCAAGGUCGUCAAGACAAUCUCAAUGAAUUCAGAUCAAUGAGGGACCGUAUGCAUCCACCUCGUAUGAGUGCACCAUCAUGUAUAGUGCCCCCUACAGAGCAGCUAGUGAUCAGACCAUAUCUUGUUCCACUUCUACCAACUUUCCAUGGGAUGGAAAGUGAGAAUCCGUAUGCACACAUCAAGGAAUUUGAAGAUGUUUGUAAUACAUUCCAAGAGGGAGGAGCUUCAAUUGAUUUGAUGAGGCUUAAGUUAUUUCCUUUCACUUUAAAGGAUAAGGCCAAAAUUUGGCUUAAUUCUUUAAGGCCAAGGAGUAUCCGCUCUUGGACUGAUUUACAAGCUGAGUUCCUUAAGAAAUUUUUUCCUACUCAUAGAACAAAUGGCUUGAAAAGGCAAAUUUCAAAUUUCUCAGCUAAAGAGAAUGAGAAAUUCUAUGAGUGUUGGGAAAGAUACAUGGAAGCUAUAAAUGCUUGUCCUCACCAUGGCUUUGAUACUUGGCUAUUGGUGAGCUAUUUUUAUGAUGGUAUGUCAUCCUCAAUGAAGUAACUCCUCGAGACAAUGUGUGGAGGAGAUUUCAUGAGCAAAAAUCCAAAGGAAGCUAUGGAUUUCUUGAGCUAUGUAGUUGAUGUUUCAAGGGGAUGGGAUGAACCAACCAAAGGAGAAGUAGGAAAGAUGAAGUCUCAGUUGAAUGCUUACAAUGCAAAGGCUGGGAUGUAUAAUUUAAAAGAAGAUGAUGACAUGAAAGCAAAGUUGGCAGCUAUGACAAGAAGAUUGGAGGAGCUGGAGCUGAAAAAAAUACAUGAAGUGCAAUCUGUUGCUGAAGCACCAGUGCAAGUGAAGCUGUGUCCCAAUUGUCAAUCAUUUGAACAUUUGGUGGAGGAGUGCCCUGCAAUUUCAGUUGAAAGGGAAAUGUAUAGAGAUCAAGCAAAUGUUGUUGGACAAUUUAGGCCCAAUAACAAUGCUCCUUAUGGAAAUACCUACAAUUCAAGUUGGAGGAAUCAUCCAAAUUUCUCAUGGAAGGCCAGAGCAACUCAAUACCAACAGCCGGAUCCACCAUCUCAACAAUCUUCAAGUAUUGAACAAAUAAUAGCCAAUCUCAGCAAGGUAGUGGGAGAUUUUGUGGGAAAGCAAGAAGCCACCAAUGCUCGAGUUGAUCAAAGAAUGGACAGAAUGGAGAGUGUGUUGAACAAAAGAAUGGAUGGAAUGCAAAAUGACAUGAAUCAAAAGUUUGAUAACAUCCAAUAUUCAAUUUCAAGGCUUACAAAUUUGAAUACACUGCAAGAAAAAGGAAGAUUUCCUUCUCAACCUAACCAAAAUCCCAAAGGUGUCCAUGAAGUGGAAAGCCAUGAGGGAGAAUCAUCACAGGUGAAAGAUGUGAAAGCUUUGAUCACUCUAAGGAGUGGUAAGAAAAUUGAGCAGCCAACACCCAAGCCACAUGUUGAAAAAGAAGAAGAGAUAAAGAAAGGGAAGGAAAUGGAAGAUAAAGAGAAUGAGAUCAGUGAAGAGAAGAAGGACUCUGAUUCAACAAUGAAAGCAAUUCCAGAGAAGGAGCUUCUGAAGGAAGAAAUGCUAAAGAAAUCAACUUUUCCACCUUUUCCUCAAGCAUUACAGGGGAAAAAGGGGGUUAGAAAUGCAGCUGAAAUCCUUGAAGUCUUGAGACAAGUGAAAGUUAAUAUUCCACUGUUGGAUAUGAUCAAACAAGUUCCAACGUAUGUAAAAUUCUUAAAGGACUUGUGUACUAUCAAAAGAGGGUUGACUGUAAACAAGAAAGCCUUCUUGACUGAGCAAGUAAGUGCAAUCUUACAAUGCAAGUCUCCUUUGAAGUACAAAGACCCUGGAAGUCCUACCAUUUCAGUCAUGAUUGGAGGAAAGGUAGUGGAGAAAGCCUUGCUAGAUUUAGGAGCAAGUGUGAAUUUGCUUCCAUACUCUGUCUACAAGCAACUAGGGCUUGGAGAGUUGAAGCCAACAACAAUCACCUUAUCUCUGGCAGAUAGAUCAGUGAAAAUUCCAAGAGGAGUAAUUGAGGAUGUAUUGGUUCAAGUAGAUAAUUUCUACUAUCCUGUAGAUUUUGUUGUUCUUGAUACUGAUCCAACUGUAAAGGAAGCUAAUUUAGUUCCUAUCAUCCUUGGAAGGCCAUUUCUUGCAACUUCAAAUGCAAUCAUCAACUGUAGAAAUGGGCUUAUGCAACUCACUUUUGGUAACAUGACACUGGAUCUAAAUAUUUUCUAUAUGUCUAAAAAGCAAAUCACUCCGGAAGAAGAAGAAGGUCCAGAAGAGCUAUGUAUAAUUGAUACUUUGGUGGAGGAGCACUGCAAUCAACAUAUGCAAGAAAAGUUGAAUGAAAGUCUUGAGGAUAUUGAGGAAGGUUUUUCUGAAUCUCCUAUUGGGCUUGCUACUCUACAAAGUUGGAAAAAGAUAGAAGGAAUUCUACCUUUGUUCAAUGAAGAAGAGGAGGCAUCUAUUGAAAAAGAAAUUCCAAAACUCAAUCUGAAGCCUUUACCUGUGGAGCUGAAAUAUACAUAUCUUGAAGCAAAUAAUCAAUGUCCUGUUGUGAUAUCCUCAUCUCUGACCAGUCAUCAAGAGAAUUGUUUAAUGGAAGUUCUUAGGAGGUGUAGGAAGGCAAUAGGAUGGCAAAUAUCUGAUUUGAAAGGCAUUAGUCCUUUAGUUUGUGCUCAUCAUAUAUAUAUGGAGGAGAAAGCAAAGCCAAUUCGUCAAUUUCAAAGAAGGUUGAAUCCUCAUCUACAAGAGGUGGUGCGAGCUAAGGUGCUGAAGCUACUUCAAGCAGGAAUCAUUUACCCUAUAUCUGAUAGCCCUUGGGUGAGUCCUACUCAAGUGGUACCAAAGAAGUCAGGGAUCACAGUGAUUCAAAAUGAAAAAGGGGAAGAAAUUACUACACGCCUCACUUCAGGUUGGAGGGUGUGUAUUGAUUAUAGAAAGCUGAAUGCUGUCACCAGGAAGGAUCAUUUUCCAUUGCCAUUUAUUGACCAAGUGCUGGAGAGAGUCUCUGGACAUCCAUUCUAUUGUUUCUUGGAUGGGUAUUCAGGGUAUUUUCAGAUUGAAAUUGAUUUGGCAGAUCAGGAAAAGACCACUUUUACAUGUCCAUUUGGAACAUUUGCUUAUAGAAGAAUGUCUUUUGGUUUAUGCAAUGCACCUGCUACAUUUCAAAGAUGUAUGUUGAGUAUUUUCAGUGAUAUGGUGGAGAGAAUUAUGGAGGUUUUCAUGGAUGACAUCACUGUAUAUGGAGGUACAUUUGAGGAAUGCUUGGUUAAUUUGGAAGCAGUUCUUCAUAGAUGCAUUGAAAAAGAUCUGGUGCUGAAUUGGGAAAAAUGCCAUUUUAUGGUACGUCAAGGAAUUGUCCUUGGCCAUAUCAUCUCUGAAAAAGGCAUUGAAGUUGAUAAAGCAAAGGUGGAGCUUAUUGCCAAAUUACCAUCUCCAACAACUGUGAAAGGAGUAAGGCAGUUCCUUGGCCAUGCAGGGUUCUAUAGGAGGUUUAUAAAAGGUUUUUCAAGUCUUUCAAAACCUCUUUGUGAACUGUUAGCUAAGGAUGCUAAGUUUAUAUGGGAUGAAAGGUGUCAGCAUAGCUUUGAUCAACUGAAGAAAUUUUUAACAACAACUCCAAUAGUGAGAGCCCCUAACUGGCAGUUACCUUUUGAACUGAUGUGUGAUGCCAGUGACUUUGCUAUAGGAGCUGUGCUUGGCCAAAGAGAAGAUGGGAAGCCCCAUGUGAUUUACUAUGCAAGUAAAACACUAAAUGAAGCUCAAAGGAACUACACAACUACAGAGAAAGAAUUGUUAGCUGUGGUAUUUGCUUUGGACAAAUUUCGAGCUUAUUUAGUGGGGUCUUUCAUCAUUGUCUUUACUGACCAUUCAACCUUGAAGUAUUUAUUGACAAAGCAAGAUGCAAAAGCAAGGUUGAUUAGAUGGAUUCUAUUGUUACAAGAGUUCGAUCUUCAAAUCAAAGAUAAGAAAGGAGUGGAGAAUGUAGUAGCUGACCACUUGUCAAGGUUAGUUAUAGCACAUAAUUCCCAUCCCUUACCUAUCAAUGAUGAUUUUCCUGAAGAAUCACUCAUAUUCCUAGUAAAAACUCCUUGGUAUGCUCAUAUUGCUAAUUAUUUAGUAACUGGUGAAAUUCCAAGUGAGUGGAAUGCACAGGACAAGAAGCACUUCUUUGCCAAAAUUCAUUCUUAUUAUUGGGAAGAGCCCUUUCUCUUUAAGUAUUGUGCAGAUCAGAUUAUAAGGAAGUGUGUCCCUGAAGAUGAGCAGCAAGGGAUUCUAUCUCAUUAUCAUGAGAAUGCAUGUGGAGGCCACUUUGCCUCUCAGAAAACAGCUAUGAAGGUAUUGCAGUCAGGGUUUACUUGGCCAUCUCUUUUCAAAGAUGCCCACAUCAUGUGUAGGAGUUGUGAUAGAUGCCAAAGGCUUGGAAAGCUAACAAAAAGAAAUCAAAUGCCUAUGAACCCCAUUCUAAUAGUUGAGUUAUUUGAUGUAUGGGGCAUUGACUUCAUGGGACCUUUCCCAAUGUCUUUUGGUAAUUCUUACAUUUUGGUAGGGGUAGAUUAUGUUUCUAAAUGGGUUGAGGCAAUCCCCUGUAAACAAAAUGAUCAUAGGGUGGUUCUCAAGUUUCUUAAAGAGAACAUAUUCUCAAGAUUUGGGGUGCCCAAGGCCAUAAUCAGUGAUGGAGGUGCUCAUUUUUGCAACAAACCUUUUGAAGCUCUGUUAUCCAAGUAUGGAGUGAAGCAUAAGGUGGCCACACCUUAUCAUCCUCAGACUUCCGGGCAAGUUGAGCUAGCUAACAGGGAAAUAAAGAACAUCUUGAUGAAAGUGGUGAAUUCCAACAGAAAAGAUUGGUCUAUUAGGCUUCAUGAUUCAUUGUGGGCAUAUAGAACAGCUUAUAAGACUAUUCUAGGGAUGUCUCCCUAUCGUCUUGUCUAUGGCAAAGCAUGCCAUCUCCCUGUGGAAGUUGAAUACAAAGCUUGGUGGGCAAUAAAGAAGCUGAAUAUGGACUUGAUCAAGGCCGGAGAAAAGAGAUUUCUAGACCUUAAUGAGAUGGAGGAAUUAAGAAAUAAUACUUAUAUCAAUUCCAAAGUUGCAAAACAGAGGAUGAAGAAGUGGCAUGAUCAACUCAUCUCCAACAAGGAAUUUCAGGAAGGGCAAAAAGUUUUGAUGUAUGACACAAGACUCCAUAUCUUUCCUGGGAAGCUCAAAUCAAGGUGGAUUGGUCCAUUUGUUAUUCACCGAGUAUAUUCCAAUGGAGUGGUGGACUUAUUGAAUUCCAAUGGCAAUGACAGCUUUAGAGUCAAUGGAUAUCGUCUUAAGCCGUUCAUGGAGUCAUUCAAAUCAGAAAAGGAGGCAAUCAACCUCCUUGAACCUCAAAAAGCCUAAGUGAAAAGGGUUUGUUGGACGUGGUUUUACCACAGUCCAAAAUUUUUGUAAAUUUUGUAAAUUUUCAAGUUGUUUUUAUGCUUUUGAUCUUAGUUAUUGAUCUUAAAUCAUGUUUUUAGGUGUGUUUUAAUCGUUUUAUAUGAUCCCAGGUGGAAGAAAUUUCAAGGGGAGUGAAAAGAAAAAAAUCGGGUCGAAAUUGGAGCUGAAACAGAGCAAAAACAGGGGAAAAACAAAGCUCUGCGAAAUUUCGCAGGGUGAAGGAAACCUCUGCGAACUGGGCAUUUUGUUGCCAAACCAUUCCGCAGCACUGUAGAAGUCUCUGCGAGUGUAUUUCGCAAUUGCGAAAGUGGUUUUGGCACACGAGUGCCACUUCGUAGUACAGUAGCACCCAUUUCGCAGCUGCGAAACUCAUUGCGAAAUGGAAAAGCGUGAUUUCGCACCAAAAGUCCCAUUCCGCAGGGCAUUUCGCAAUUGCGAAAGUGGUUUUGGCACACGAGUGCCACUUCGCAGCACAGUGACAUCAAUUUCGCAGUUGCGAAACUCACUGCGAAGUUGCUGCGAAAAUGGCAAGUUGCUGCGAAAUUGGCGUUUUGUUGCGAAACUUAAACUGACCCCUGAGCUUCCGUUUUUCCUAUUUAUACCGGUCAAAAGUUCUGCGAAAAGGGUUUCAAAAAUCAGAGCACCAUUCUCGCAGCCCCUUCGUCUUCUUCGCCAAGCCACGCCGUCCGUUUCUCCGGUCGUCUUCUCCGUUUAGCAGCGCCGGCCAAAGAUCGAUAUUCCAAAAUGGCACGAACGCGAGGGGCAAAGUCUUCAUCCCCUUCGAACCGCAAAAGGAGUCUGCGAAAGGAGCCAAGUUCAGGUUCUGUUCCAGAACCUGCUCCAAAGCCUUCGCCGUCGAGACCAAAUCCUCCUUCAGUGAAGCCGGCACCACCAAAGCCGCCGGCAAGGCGAUAUUUAACAAGGUCAGGCGGUCAGCCAUUGAAGAAGAAAACCAGGGUUGAGAGCUCUGAACCAAUUGAUUUGACUGAGCAAUCCCCUGAGAAAUCCCCAAAGCUAACACCGGUUCAAUCUCCGGUAUCUUCACCAAAUCCUUCACCGGUACAAAUUCCAGUGCCGUCACCGGUUCCCUCGCCAAUUCCCUCACCAGAAGCAACUCCAAUUCCAUCGCCGGUACCAUCUCCGGCACCCCAAGAAAAAGCUUAGGAGCCUCAAGCGCCAAUUCCAGAGCCCCAAAUUGCAGCUGAAGCACCUCUGGAAGAAGUGAUUAGGAGGCCAAUGCUGCCUCAGCCCCCAAUCAAAGGAAACUUGGAUUGUCGAACUCGGGCAUUCCAUUCUGAGCUUUGCUUCGAUUUAACAGCAUUCAGAGUGAGGCCAGAGCUUGCCCAAUCCUUCCAGCUACUAAGGAGAUAUCAUAUGGAGCAUCUGCUCGCUCCAAGGGAUUUUUUCUAUCCCCGGGUAGUCACGGACUUCUACUAGACCAUGACAACCAAAGAAGUAAGAAAUCCAACUCUGAUCCAUUUCACAAUUGAUGGAAGACAUGGAAUUUUGGGAGCAAGACAUAUUGCUGAAGCCCUGCAAAUUCCUUUUGAGCCAACCCAAUUCGACAAUUUUAAAGCUUGGGCAAAUCCUACUGAGUUAGAGAUGGUUCACAUCCUAACCAGAGGAGCUGCAAAUCGAUCGCAUUUGCUGAGGGGGGAGCUACCUCCAGUUAUGUUUUUGAUUGAUGCCUUUUUGAGGCAUAAUAUCUAUCCCCUGCAGCAUUGGACCCAAAGAAGGGGAAUUCUCCUAGAAGCCCUGUAUAAGAUGUCAGAAGGAUUCUUCUUUGGGCCUCAUCAUCUUAUCAUGGCAGCCCUUCUAUACUUUGAGGAGAAGGUUCACAAGAAGAAGGUUCACAAGAAGAAGCUUCAAAGAGCAGAUUGCAUUCCACUCCUCUUCCCACGGCUGCUAUGCCAAGUUUUGGAGCAUCUCGGAUACCCCUCUGAGCCUCAGCAGGAAAGAAAGAGAAUAUGCCGUGAGCCAUUUACCCUUGAUAAAUGGAAUAAUAUGACGGCCUACAAAGUUGAUCAGCCAGGGCAACCUCAGCCAGCUGCAAGGAGAGCCUCCCCAAGACGUAUACCUGAAGGUAUAACACUUGCUACUCCUGCCAUCCCUCGAGCUCCACCAACUACCCCAGCUGCAUCACAGCCAUCCACAUCAGCUGAGCCGAGGAUGGCCAUCCCUAUAUCCGAAUAUUGAGAGCUGUGCCGAGCAUUGGAGACUCUUACAGCUUCCCAGACCAAUCUUGCUCAGGAGUUGGCAGCCAUCAAAGCAUGCCAGGAGCAGAUGUUAGCCUCUCAGGCUCAACAAGCUGCCAUCCUAAGGCAGCUUCAAGUCCAUUUCGAUCUGCCACAAGCUGUAGAGCCCUCCACUGAGACUCCACCAGAGCCACACUCUCAGCCUUCAGAGUCUCAUCCUCCAGAGCCCGAAGCCCCAGUUGAUCCUCCUACUGAGGAGGCAGAUCCUUCUGCCUAGCACCAUCACCCCACUCAUCAGACAUUAUAUAUAUUUGCUAUUUAUGUUUUUAUGCUUGUUUUGUUUUAGUUGAAAUGAAAUCCCAGUAUUUUGGUACUAUAUAUGGGAUUCCUUGUGUUACUUGUCUUUAGCAUUGUAAUCAAAUGAACUCAAAGUAAUACAAGUUGAAUUUUUUUUUUCUUGUUAAAAGUUAGCAUUAAGUUCUCCUUAUUUCCUUUUCUCACAUAUUCUAUUUUUUUUGAAACAUGUGGUUUUCCCCAAUCAAUAUUCGAAUUUGAUAUCAGCAUGGAGGUACCACUUCCUCCCUUUUAUUACAGUCACUCAAAUCACAUUGAGGACAAUGCUCAGUUCGGUUGGGGGGUAUGAGGAAGGAAGUAUGCUAAAUCUUUUUGGUAUUGCAAUUAUAUUGGUUAAUUAGUUGUAGAUUUUACGUUUUACUAGUGUUACUCUAUUCUCCAUGAAUUUUGAGGAAAAUUUUCAAAUUAAACCAAGAGAAAUUGAACUGUUGUUUUUCACUUGACUUAGAGUAUGGAUUAUGCUUACUAAAGUGGUUCAAUUGUUGAAACUUCUACUGUAAUUGAAUUGAGUUCUUCCACUUUAAGCUAUCCACACAUUGUGCACAUUAGUUUCCGAUUAUAAGAUGAAAAGCUAUUACCCUCUUGACUUAGGAUAAUUUUGAGACUUGGUAUAUUUGACCUCAUUUGAUAAAAAUUGAAACACCCUGCAAAAGGCCAAUGAGCCUUUGAAAUAAAGAAAGUUGUUUGCUUGCCUUGAAACCCGAGCAAGGUCUGAGGGGCAUAUGGUGAAAGCCUUUAAAGCCUGGUGCCCUAAACCUUAAUUGGUUGGGAGUCACUGACCUCAAUGCUCGUUACAAGGGUGAAUAGGUAGAGUUAGCAUAUGGUAGAUGUUUGGGUAUUAGAAAUUCAUUCUUAAAAGUCCGGGGAAAAAUCCGAGGAGUUAGUGGUUGAAAGAUCCUUAAAACUUGGUGCCCUAAACCUUAAUUGGUUGGGAGUCAUCGAUGGACCCCCAUUACAUGGACAAGUCAGAAAGAGUACCCCAUAAAGCUACCUUGAAAAAAAAAAAAAAAAAAAAAAGAUGAAAGUGUGUUAUUUUCUUAUUGAUUUUGGUCAGUUUGCUAAAGUGUUGAAAAGAGAUAGGUUGGGGGUGAGAUUAGUUUAGCAUAUUAUUCUCGGAAUCUAAGGAACUAAUACACAUAGAUUUUUGUGGAAGAUUGAAAUUUAGUUCUUAGAAAGUGAAAUGAUUUUAAAACUUCGGUUUGCAUAAUGCACUCCCUUGAUUGACAGUGCUUAGCAUAGUUUGUUAUGACUCUUGUUGAGAUUUGGGUUUGUAUUUCUUUAAUGAUUCAUGUGAGAAUUAGAUCAUCAUGCCACUUAAGAAUUAUUUUCUUUUAGCAUGAUGUUGUAAAUUUUAGAUUAGUUGCUAUUUAUUUUCAUUUUUCUCUCCUAUAUUGCUAAGGGACUAGCAAUAUGUCGGUUGGGGGGAGUGAUUACUACUCAAAAAGUGCUAUUUGAUAGCCUUUAAUUAAUCCUUUUAAACACUUUUGAGUAGUAGUUUAGGCCUUUUAACUCAAUUGGCAUGUUAAGGAUCCUUUAAAGCAAUUUUGAUCACUUUGUGUAAGUUUUGGUGUUUUUGUUAGUAUUUUGAUCACCAAAGCAAGUCAAGAAUGAGGAGAGCUAUGAGGAAUCUUGGGCAAAGCUUAGAAUUCAAUUGCCAAGAGUGAAUCCGGAUUGCAAGGAGAAAAAGCAAAGAGAAUCUGCCAUGAAGCCUAUUCUUGAUGACAGUCGUAGCAGCCACUUUUGGAGCACUUUCUGAAGUCCUAAUGAUGCAUUCUAUAUACCAUUUCAAAGCUUAGGAAGUCAACAAUCCAACGCUUCAAACGGUGCGCGAUUCGGAGUUGAAACAAAGAAGUUGCAGCCAUUACAAGUCAAUCACUCUAAAGUGUUGCGGAAUCAGCCAUUUGUUGCGAGAAUUUCGCAGCACUUUUUUACAGUAAGGUGUUUCUCCUUCUGACGAUGCACGAACCAUGCCGCGAGAAGGGAGCUGGAAACCUCAAGGUGGAAGCCAACUUUGCAGCCUGGUGAAGAUAGCUUGGUGUUGCGAAAAUAUUUCGCAGCCCUCUCAGGUGUCUACGAAAUUUCGCAGACACCACUUUUCUCCUGCGAAAUGGCUCCUGAAGCCUCCCGAAGCUUGCUACCGACAUUGGGAGAUAUUUUCCAUUAGAUUUUUGUUGUCUAAAUCCCAAAAUACUCCUUGUAAACCACCAAUUACAUGAUUCCUUAGUUUUUAAGUUAGUAAAAAGACCAAAUAUCUUUGUAAUAAUUAGUUUUAUAUUGUUUUGAUAUAAAUACCUCUCGGGAGCCUGUUCUCAGAGAGGAGUUCCUUCUGUAAACGUUUGGUAAGCUAGUAAAGUCUAUUUUCUUUCUACUGCCUUACCUCCUCACUUUGUAUUUUCAUUUUAUUUCUAAGUUAUGAAUUCUCUGAGGAGUUUUCCCCAGAGAAUGAGUAACUAAACCUCCAAUUCCUUGGAGCUAAGGUUGCCGGGGAAGGUUCCAAGUGCAAGAAUGCAAAGCUCUGUGGUUUUAGCUAUUAAUGAAGAGGAAGUGAAAUCCUUUAGUGAUUUCUAUGUUUUUAGUUAACUUAAAACACCUUGGAGUCACCUGGGCCAACACUUGGUAAGGCAAGUGAUUUCCAACCAUGGAAAUGCACUAGUUUACCCCUUGCGAGCCUCUGGUAGGUGACUUCAAGGUAGGAUUUUCUGGAAUUACCAACACUUGGUAAGCUUUUGGACUCCUAGGAGACAUCCAUUAGUUAUCUCUUGCGAGUUUGUGAAGGGGAAUCCAAGGUUAAAGAUCACCUUGAAUGGGUAAGUGCUCGUGAGAGGCAUGAACCAUUGCAAGUUGCAUCAGUGAGAGAAUUAAAGUGAAAUCUAAUUGAAGGAGUCUCUGUACAUCACCGGUUAGAGAAUUGACUCUAAGUUGAAUCUCUAAUGCGAGGAAAUGAACCAUCUGACCGGAGCUAUGUCUUUUGCAUGAGGAACCACCCCAGUGAACCUAAAUCUCCAAGGAAUGCUUUUCUUCCUAAAUUAUUCCAAACUUCUGUUAAGUUAGUUAGUUUAAGUCUAAACCUUUACCAAUCAAAGUUUGUGUUUUACUUCUUAAGCUAACCGUGAAAUGAAACAAGACCAAUUCACUUGGAAUUGGUAUCAUUGAUUGCUUGCAAAUCAUUCCCAGUGAACGAUCCUAGAGCCACUAUACUAUAGUAGCUUUGUAUUUGCUACCCUAGUGUAUGGUGUUAUAGGUAUAAAUUUUGUUGAUCACUUCCUCAAUCAAGGAGCACCAGCUGAACACAAAUCAGCUGAGACACCAAUUGGGCAUGAGUCAUUGAUGUCUUUUGAUAAACUUAGAAUGAAUUGUGGACUUGGGAAGGAAGUAUUUCAUCAAUAAGCAUGUAAAAAACACCAUAAGCACAUGUCAAUAUGAAAAUGACUAAAUUGGGGCAUAAAUACCAAAAAAUGAAAACCUUGUACCUAUAGUAAAAUAAUGGAAGUUCAAACUUUGGAAAUCAUGUAUUUUUCCUUUUUAAACUGAUCCAUGCAAUGAAAACAUGAAAAAGAUUGUUGAGGUUGUGGCCAUUAACAAUAUAUCCCUAGAAGGAUAAUACAAAUCAUAAAGAGAAAAUUUGUAAAAAGGACACCGUUGGGCUAACCUAGAACUACAAGCUAGGACAAGAAUUGGUCACAACCAUGUACCUACAAAAUCUACUUAUAAUUUCUAGGGAACUUCGAAGUGCAUAUGCAUGUGUGUGUGUGUACAUGUUUGGAUGUAUAUAUAUGUUUACAAGAUAAAAACAAAUCCUUGUACUAGAUGUAGGCAAAGGUAUUCACUAGAUAUAAAAAUUUCCUUGUGUCACUUGUUGAGACAAGAGAAAUACCUAUUUGGAUGUGGUGAUUAGAUUUCAACAUAGCCUUCUGGAUGGUUUUUGAAUUAUGAGGCGGUGGUGUUUGUUGUACCCUUAAAUUUUACUCCGUAUAAAGUAAUUACUAAUUUAUAGAGGCAAAAAUUCCUUGUAUCAUGAAAGGAAUAGCAGUUUCUUGUUCAUACUAUUUUGUUUGGAAGUUGGGUUCCUAUAUUGUUCAAAAUGCUAUUUUGAUUGCUUGAUUGUUGCAACUCACAUUUCGUUUGUUGUUUGUAUUUUGUGUGCAGGGUAAUAUGAUACUAUCAGAUAUUGGACUUGCUGAGAAGCGAAUAAAUCAUGCUACUCUCAAUGGUAAUAAUAGUCUACCUAGUGUUUUGCAUCAGAAACACAAUUAAUAAUAUCAUGGCCUUGCCUCUAGUCCCAAUUGGUUUCUUUAGUUUUUGUCCAUGAAUGACACUUUAUUCAAAUAAGCAUUGGUGUGUUGUUACUGGUAUAAUAUUUUUUCUUAUUCAUAGAAAAGUAACUAUUUAAAUAUGUUGUUCUAUGUCCUCAUGGAUUUCUGUUGACAAAACAUCAAAUCUCAGAGUUUCUUGGCCUUACUUUUUGAGUGUCAAGUCAUUUUCUCAAUAUGUUGAUCUAAAAAAUCUCUUUUGUGUUCCAGGUUUGUUUUGUCGAUGCUAAUUGGGACUCACCAUCUGUAUGUAUCCAUUGUAUGAUUCUAUUAUUAUUAUUAUUAUUUUAUUUUUUUGCUGAAAAAAAGGUUUAUAAUAGAUAUCAUGUUCAAGAGAAGCAUUUUUGUUGACUUAUGAGUUUUGUAUUUCUCCAAAUUUUGGAAUAUUACCAUGAAGCUUUGGUGCCAAUCUUGAAAGGGUUAGCCCUUUUCUUUUUUUGUUUACCCAAUCUACACUUGCUAUCGGCGUUGAAAAGGAUCCAGAACAAAUUGCCAUUCAGUUAUGAAGUGGUUGGGAUAAAGCCAAGCUGUUAUUGCAGCAUGAAAUUGAAUGUAAUAUCAUAAUAUCUAGAUUCAAAUUCUCAGAAGAAAAAUGUUUCUGAUUCACUCCAUUUUUAUGGUGUUUUGAAGGAUUAAAUGGGGAACCUCACAAAUGAGCCUCACAAAAAUUUAAUAAUAAUAACCUAUAACUGCGGCUAACUCCAAAAGGCAACUAUAUGUCAUUUAGUGGGGUCAAAAACAAGAUGCAGCUAUAGGAACCAUUUGUUGACCUUUACUAUGGCUGCUACUAUUGCUCUGACUUUUGCUGCACUUUACAUGUGGUUGACCUAUAGUUGGGGCCAACUCUAAAAUGCAACUAUAUGCCAUUUAGUGGGGGUAAAAAACAAGAUGCACCUAUAAGAACCAUUUUCUGACCUUUACUAUGGCUGCUACUAUUGCUUUGACUUUUGUUGCACUGUACAUGUGGUUGACCUAUAGCUGGGGCCGACUCUAAAAUGCAACUAUAUGCCAUUUAGUGGGGCUAAAAAACAAGAUGCAGCUGUAGGAACCAUUUGCUACACUUUACUAUGGCUACUACUAUUGCUUUGACUUUUGUAGCACUUUACCUAUGGUUGACCUAUAGCUUGGGCCAACUCCAAAAUGCAACUAUGUGUCAUUUAGUGGGGGUAAAAAACAAGAUGCAGUUGUAGGAGAGUUUGCAGCCAAAGUAGUGUUUACUUAAAAAAAAAAAAAAAAAACCAAACUAAUACAUCUUUCAAACUAUUUGUCAAACUAGUCUUUUGAAUCCACAUCAACAAUCCACAUCAGCAGACUUUUACUCUAAAGACCCUUUUUUUCAUCUGAAAUCAUUCAACAAAGAAACCCUAACUAUUAUUUUCUCUUCUCUACGGCUCCCACCAACAGCUUUACUAGCAACGUCUUGUAGUGGCUAGGUAAGUUUUUGAAGCAUUUUAACAAAGUGGUUCAUGAGUUUUUUUUUCCCUCAUUUUCCUUAGCUUUCUUACUAACCAAACAGAGGAAAACAAAAAAUUAAAAACAACUUUUGAAAAUUUUAAGAAUCUCAAGUUGUUUUUUGUGGUUUCUACUUGUGAACGGAAGAAAAAAAAACACAAAAAAAUCAUGGAGAAGAAAAAAAGAAAGAUUAACAGAGAGAGAUAAGAGCACUAAAGGAAAUUGGUUUCUGCACUUUGGGGGUUUGGGUAGAUUUCGAAUUUGGGCGAUGGUGGGUUAGGGUUCAAAGUGGACUAAUCCAAUUGGAUGAUUUGAUGGAGUAGUUCGGGUUCAAAGUGGAUUGAUCCAAUUGGAUGAUUUGAUAGAGCAAUGAAAGAAGAAGAGAGGAGUGUGGAACGAGAGGGAGAGAUUGUGAGAAGAGAGACGAAUGAAAGAUUUGAAGAGGAAGAAGAAGUGCAGGUUAAUGUGCAAAAAUAAUAAAAAUUUUACCCAAAUGCAAAUUCUUUGAUUUUGCCUAGUUUUCUUAGCAACCAAACGCAGGGUCUCAAGAAAAUUAUGAGUUCUGAUGAUAGAGAGAGGACAAGAAGGGGGGUAGAUACCGAAGGGCUGCCGAAAAGGAUGGUCGUAUGUGGAGAGCGCAAAAACCCUACCUGUGUUUAGCUCCUAAUAGAGUAGAUGCCUUUCUCAAGCAAAAACUCUAUUUGGGAAUUGAGAAUCCCAAAGAAGGACAAUUUUAGAAUUUCACAAGUCGGGCUUCAGCUUCAACUUUGAGGGAUAUUUGAUAAUCAUUUUUCAAUUAAUCUUUAUAAUUUUAAAAUUUUGAAAAUUGUAUGCAUUUUUUAAUAUAAAAAUUAUUUGUUUAAUCAUUUUUUAUUUUCCUUUUUUAAUAAAAAAUUAAAAAUUAAUCAUAAUCCACUUAUUUAAAAAUUAUCGUUAAUCCUUAUUUAGUAUGAUAUUUACUUGUUUAUUAUUUAAAUAUUUUGUCUUCUUAGUUAUUAUAAUUAAUAUAUAUAUAUAUAUGACCAAAAUUUAAAAUAAAAUAAAAACUAAAAAAUAUAAUUUUAUUUCCCAUUCAAAUCCAUCACCCUUUAUUAUUAUAUUUUGUUGAAUUUUUUUUAUUUAUAUCUUUUUUCUAUAAAGAGAGUAGAGUUAUGAAGAAAACAUUUAAUUUAAUUUCUUUUUUUAUAAAAAAAAAACCAACUUCUAAACAUGUUUUUUUUUUGUUUUAAUCAUUAUAAAAAAAACAUUUUUUAUUAACUCAACAAAACAUGUUUUAAAAAUGACCUUAUUGGGUAUAUUUUAAUUUAUUUUUUCAAGUAUUUUAAAUUUAUUAAAUUGGUAAUAAGUCUUAAAAAUGGACUUUGGAAUUAAAUUGUAUGAAAAUGUUAAAUAUUUGCAAAAAAAAAAUCUAAAAAACCACUUAGUCCUCCCUUUUAAGCAAAUCAAAAUUAUAUUUUAAAAAUGUUAUUAUUAAUAUUACAUUUUAUAAAACUUUCAUUAAUGACAUGUAAAACCAUUACCAAAAUGUUAAGAACUUUAUAAAAUUGGACCAAAUAAUCUUCCAAAUAUAACCAAAUUACUUCUCAAAUCCAACAAAAUCAUUCCAAAUAUGACAAUGUUAACCAUAAUACCUCCCAAUUCUUACCUCUCAAUAGUAAUAGCACAGUUGCAUUGAAAAUCAAAUUCUUCAAUGCUUGCUCUAUCAUCAUAUGAUUUGUUUUGAAGCUUUUAAUAAUGAACCGUGAACCCAUUGGAUUGUACUAGAGAGGACCCGCAUGAUAAAGGUUUAAAUUUGGGCAACACCCUUAUAACAUUAUUAUUAAUAAGUUGUGAGCCAUAAUGGGGCCAAGUCAUUACUCUUUGUUGGGAAAAUCUUCCAAAGGCAGGCUUAGGCUUUUUGUGGUUCUUGCACAAAAAGCCUUCCUUGGAUUUUGAGCAUUGUUUCUUGUACCAAAAGUCAACUAGAUUUACCGAGAAACCAUCAUUACAAAUGCUUAAGUUUUUCAAAUUAUUUUUAAACUUGUUUUCAUAAUUUAUUAACUUUAUAAAAUUGGAAGUGAUUAUUAAAUUUAUUUUUCUUUCUUUUUCUCCUCUAAAAAAAUAUAUACUUUUUAUUAUAUAUAUUAAAAAAAUUUAUUAGGAUCAAGGAGAUCUGAGUGUGUCAUUUUUCAAUCAUCAUUUUUCUAAAGCUAAUAUUAUUGCACAUAUAACAAUCCCUUCCCCAAUACAGGGCUCCUAGAACUCGAAUCAUGACCAAACUCUAGGGCUCCUAGAACUUAAAUCAUUUAAUGGCAUGUGGAACAUUUAAUAGCACCUCUAGAAAUGCUAAGAACUUUAUAAAAUUGUAAAAAGACAUGUAGAACCUAGGCUGGAUCUCCAAACCAUGAAAAUUGCUUGUAAUUAUUGGUUAGCUUGUGGAAUAAAAAAUCUAUAAGAUGGAGAUAGACUCCUAAAGAUUAUAAGAUAUUUUAAGAACUCAAUAGUUAUAAAAAAGAAAAAAGAAAUAACACUAAAAACAAAUUUAAUAUAUAGAAAAUAUUAGUUUUUACUUAAAAUUUAACUUAUUAAAUUAUAAAUUGUAAAAAUUUAAUUAAAUUAAAAAAAUUAAAUUUAACCAGAUAUAAGCAAAAGUGCAUUAAUAUGUCUAUUCCGCUUUCUCUUUUUUAAUUAUUUUAAUGGAAAAUAUUAAAAUAUUUAUAGUCGUAACUAUUAAAUAUGUUGAAUAUGUACACAUUACAUCCAUUUUUGAAACUUAUAUAAAAUCAAAUUUUGAACAAAUUUAAAAUUUUUUUUCACUUAAUUUGGGUAGAUUAAACAACGACAUUUUAAUUGUUAAUGGAAAAAUAACAACCUUUUAUUCAAUUUUAACGGUAAUAAAUAAUAAGAAAAUAUUAUUAAUAAAAAACAUUGAAUUAUUUGGAUAUUGAGGUGUUAUUUGUUAUUUGAUUAUUGUUAAUAACAUACCCUAUUAUUGUUAUUUGUUAUUUCAUUACAAAUUGAUGUUAUUACUAAUGUUUUCUAUUGUGUAAUUUUGUGGUUAAAAAUGAGAUUGAUUUGAUUUUUUUGGCUUCUUCUAUAGGUAAACUAUGUCUAAUUUAUCGGUGGCAAUAGUUUGUUUUUGUAAUGGGAAAAUGGUGAGAACACAAACCGAUGUUGAUUAUGUUGGAGAUAGAGUUGUGGUUGAACCUAUUGAUGUGCCUCUUGGGACAACAUAUGAACAACUGUUGGAAAUGAUAUACUCGGUCACUGACAUCAAUAAAGAACAUUUUUGAUUAAUUCUUAGUUGUAAGUAUCCUAUGAAAAAAGGGAAUAAAUUCCAACCUUGCCUUGUAAAGAAUGAUAGUGGUGUAGCUCGAAUGUUAGAAAUGCAUAACAGAUUUGGGAUGGAUGAAGUUGAAUUAUUUGUUGAACAAGUACCUAUUGACUUACAAAUGAAUUCACCAAUUGGUAAUUGCAUACCUUUGUUACUUGGUGAAAAUGAUGGUACUAGUAAUGUUCAAAAUCUAUUUACUUUUGAGCAUAGAUUAGAAGAGGAUGAGGAAGACGAAGAAGGAAGACGAAGAAGGAAGAUAAUGUGAUGAUGACAAUGUAGGAGCCGAGGAUGUUCAUAAUGAUGAUAAUCAAGAUAGGGAAGGUAGCUCGCCUUUUUUAGCUGUUUGUGAGGCAAUUGAAAGAGAACAAAUGAGAUAUGUGGCUGUGGAUGGGGAAUGAUGUAACUUGUCAAAUAAUCCAGAUACAGAGGAUUUAGAUGAACCAAUUGAAUUAUCUUCAAUGCAAUAUCAUUUGGCACCAUCACCAUAGUUUGAAAAUGUUGAAAACAUUGGUCAUGUUGUGUCAAGUGAAUGGACCCCAUGGGGAAACACUCUUAUGGGACAUCCAAUUGGAGAGUUCAUACUUUAUAAAUAAUAAUGAUAUUGUUAAAAUGAAUACAACUUUGAAAAUCGUAGUAAUUACCUUCUUAUUGUGCACCAAGAAUCAUGUUCUUGAAGUGGUGAGAGUCUGCUUUAUUGGGUGCAACACUCUCAUAUAUGAACAACUUACUGAUCAAACAUCCCAUGGUUUCCUUGAUGGGACCACAUUUGAAAAGAUGUUUCACAUAUUUUUGUCUUGCUGCUGAAGAUUUGUGAAAUGAGGAUGCAUUAGGCGGUGAUGGAUUCAAAUAUUGAACACUUUGCAAUCUUUGCAUAUGCCUUGUUAGAUUAGUUGGAUGUGAAAACUUACCUAUUAUAAUUAUUAAAAUUAAAAAUAUAUGUUAAUUUAAUAUUAUUGAUAAAGUUGAUAAGAAACAGUAAUAAUUCAAAUUGAUAAGUCAGUCUUCCAUUUUGCAUAUACCUGUUUUUCUUUUAUCUUUUACAAAAUGUUCUUCUUGUUGUCGAUUUCAUUCAAUAGCUUUUGAUGCUUGAACUACCGCUUUAUAAGCAUGUUGCUCAUCAAGGUGCAUGUCAGCCAUACAUAUACACAUCAUCAUCAUCAUCAUCAUCAUCAUCAUCAAGGUUUUUGUAGACCCCCAUAUGGGGCUCAUUUUUUUCUCCCACAUUUCUACAGGUUACAUUCUUUUUCUUACCAGGUGUUACUACCCCAGCGAGGCACGUGUCGCUUCCUUGGUGGCCAUAGGGGAAUCAACCUUGCUUUUUGAAGCUGCAGUGGGAAUAUGACACGUAGGGGGAAUAUUCUAGAGGGUCUGUAGGCCGUUAUGGAGGAGCGGAUGAGAGAGAGGAUAUCCUGCAGAGGGUGGUGUGGCUUUUGGUGGUUUUCUGGAGAUAUAAGAGGGGCAAAUCAGGUAGAGCAAAAGGCAAGGAGGAGGAUUCGGUAGGGGGGGGGGUUGCUUUUUGGGGAGGUUGGCCGUGAUAUUUUCAGCAAGAGUUUUCUUUAUUGAGAGAGAGGGGAGGGGGAAGUUUGAGCAACUGAAAAAAAAAAACAGAGGAGGAGGAGGAAGCUGCCGAGGAGGGUGACUUGGAGACUGGAGAGUGAGAUUUCUUUUUGGAGGGUAUUCUGGCUUGAGGAGCAAGUGAGAGAGGAUAUUCAUUCUGGAGAUCGACAGAGAAGGGAGAAAAGGGAGAAACAGAGGAAAAGAGCGUCUGUAGGUGAGUUUGAGGUGAGUUUCUCGCUUACUUUGAUUCAAAUAUUUUCUCAUCUCUUUCCCAUUUUGGUUUGCUCUUCAUUGCUCAUCAAUUUGGGGUUGAACAAUAUGGAUUAUGUGCCGAAUCUUGUUGAUUACUGAAUCAUUUUUAUACUCUGUUGCUGUUGAUUUUACCGUUGUUCUUGUGAUUUGGUUUGGAGCUAGUGGAACUUUGUUUCUCAUAUAUUGUGUAAACCUGGCUCAAGGUUCUCCCUCAUCCCUCCUGUUUUGAGCCCAUGAUCAUCACUUGAUAUGGGAUCAUGUACAUUCAUGAACUGCAUGCUCACCUGUUUGUUCUACCCUUAGUUUUCACUCUAGUUCAUGCCUUAGUGUUUAUUCCUCUGAUUUUGCCGGGGUUGGGGUGUUAAAUAUCUCGUCUGGGACUGGCUAUCGUGAUUGGGGAUGUUUUUGAGACCUGAAAAGCUAUGUGGACCUCACUGAGACGUCCGGAGAAAAGAACUUGAGCUAAAUCAUCGUGAGAAUGUGGGUACUGUGAACGUUUUGGUUGAUGUCUCUACCUUGCUCACAAACGCACCCUAUCUGCUGAAUCUGGAACGUACUCACCAUACCCAUGACAGCAAGGCCCUUGAAGAUAUCGUGUUACACAAUGGACUAGACAAGGAUAGAUAGCCCUCGCUGCAUGGUUCAAAAGGUUCAAACCAAAAUUGCAUGCGGAAAAACCUGUUCCUCAUGCCGACAUCUGUUCUGAGUGUGGCUCACCAUUAUUUCAUGGCUCAUGGAGUGGGCUCCUUCUACUGGGCCUAUGGACUCAAAUAUACCAAGCUUGUAACCUGGUUGCAAUGGAGGUUUAUUGGUGUUAGUUUGAAAAAGAAGCUUCUUAGGGACUUGCCCUCAUUGCUCCCUUGUGUGAAAAUCUAUUUGUUACUAUGUCUGGGCGCUUGCGAUGAAUCCAAAGGUAGAUAAUGCCCGACAAUAUUUGAGGAUUUCUCUUAGCUGUGCGUCCUGGAAUGACAUGAUGGAGGCUUGUGAUGCUCGGGAUCUUGAUAUUCUGCAAAAAGAGUUCCCUAUUUUAAACAAUUAUAUUCAUUUUGGAGAUGCAGAGAUGGCGCAGAAAUUGUAUCGUAUUAUCCGAGCUUGCAUGGGUGGCUAGAGGCAACUAAGCAAUGCUGCGGCGACUGUUCUGUAUAAUCACUCUGGCGGCGAGACUCUGCACAAUGCAAGUCCUGCGAGCGACGCUGGGGAUGCAGUCAUGGCGUGAUGGCUCCAGUCCGCCGGAUUGCAGCAUCUGACCUUUCCAUUGGCUUCCACCAGAGUUGAUCAUCACCUCCUCCCCGAUCUUCUAAUGCAGGGUUAUGGAGCGCAAUCUGCUGUGGGAAGGCUUUACCUGGAGGUCCAAGGGCUUGGGCAGACAUUCUUUUCAUAACUUACUAGGUUACUUUUCUCAUUGCUGAGAUAUGCCUGUUAGCGGGUUCAGUGAGGAAUGCCUACCCUAUCAAGUACGAGACAAUUUUCAGUGAGGAUCCCCCGUCAUGUGAGACCUUGAGAAAGGGUGUGUUUGGCACUAGGGCCGCUUUCCCAUUCUUCACUGCCAUACCCUCUGAACCUUACUAUGUUUGCUAUUCGUAAGUUAGAGGAAGUUCUCUAGCUUAUGGUGAUUGAAAAACUGGUUUUUGAGAUGGGAACCUACAGCUGGGCUUAGUUAAGAUGAUCAUAAUUGUUUUAAUUCUGAGAAGCAACCUCUACAUACCCAUCAAGCCACCCCACUAAACCCUUUCCCUCUCUCUAAGCCUAUUCAUACCCAUUUCUUACUCCCUAUAGUUUGCCACCCUCACUUUUCCACCUUGUACAUCAUGAAGCUCAUUCAUCAAGCCUACCUAUUUAACCCCCCCUCUUGAUACCUAUUCCAGCACAUGCAUGGCUGUCCCAAAGCUCCUUCCAAAACCCUUGUUAAUAUCCUAGAUUUAUCCACCCACGUGCAUGGGAACCAUGCUAACCUGGUUAUUCUUCAUAUGCCCAUUUCUCAUUUUCCAUACAUGCCACUUUCACCUUCCAUGCUCAUACCCAUCAUCUAUCAUCCAUUCCUUACCCCUACACUCAGAAAUUAUGCAUCCAUAAUCAUCUUCAUACCCACCAUGCUCAUUCAUACCCAUCUUUCUCUCUCUACCUCUUCAUACCUCCGCAUGCCUAUCUCUUCGCAUCAUGCACACCAAACCCAUACCUGUGGCCAUCUUUCUAUGUUCAUUAACCCCAUAUUACAAGUGUUCUUGUUAUUGAUGACAAUCCGAUGUGGGCAAUUACUGGUAAAGCCUGAAGAAGAACAUGAUGGUCCAGUAAAUGAAGAGAAGGCCCAAAUUGGUUAAGACACCUAUAUUAAGUGAAUGAAGAACUGGGGCAACUUAGAUCCAAACGUCCUCAUUAUACCUUUUCUGAGGAUGAGAGUGGCGGAGAGUUCAGUAUGACACGCCUUCACCAGAAUCUGAGUCCGGGCCUUCAUAUUCCUGCAGAGAAGGUUUUUGACUUGUUAUCAUCUCGGCCGCGACCAAGAUGUCACCAUACUCCAUCACCAGAAUUAGGAAAUAAACUAUCAGUUUCCGGUGACCUUGAUCCUUACUUUUCCUUCUCGUUGGCCUCGUCAGCAGACGUCAGCAAAUGUUAGAAAUGAGGAGCCCUGAUGAAGAAAAUGGCCACAGCCGCAGCCCUAGUCCCAUUCCUAGGAACGAUGCAAGUCUUGCUGAUGAGUAUGGUAUCAAGUUCUUUGAAACUAGUGCAAAAACACUAUAUUGAAGACAAUAGGAAUGCCAAAUGGUGUCCCGCUCCAGGCUGUGAUUAUGCAGUUGAUUUUUUAUUGUUAAUAGUGGAAGUUGUGACGUUUCCUGCCAGUGCUCAUAUAACUUUUAAUGGAAUUGUACAGAGGGAGCUCACCUUCCUGUUGAUUGCAGCACUGUGGCCAAUUGGAUUCUGAAAGAAUAGUGCAAGUGAGUGUGAAAAGCCCUCUCUGUCUUAGUCAUCAAGUAAGCCUUCAAUCUGGCAGAAAGUGAAGAGGUGACUCCCAUUUCCUAGGAUCCCACUACAUGAUUUGCCAGAAAGUCUAACAGAUAGAUUUCAGCAGUGCCCAGGCCAGCAGCUUUCCUUGUCGAGCAGCCAGAGUGGUGAACUCAUUAGCAGCCGCAUCAAGGCCGCAUGGUAUUGGCGAUUCAUACGUGGCCUCCCUGUAAGGCAUGAAAGCGUUUGGUGCACUCUUUGGAUCGAUGCUUCUUAGAGAUUCUGUAGCUAUGCAAUCAUGCCAGGGUGAAAACUACAUGUUGUUUCCCCUAGUACCAGUGAGAUUGAUGCAAACAAGCAUGAUGGUGAUAUGGAAAGAUAAAAUAAUCUAGGAUAAUUCUCCUGAAGUUGGUGAGAAUUCUGCAGAGAGUUGUGAAAUCUCUGGACCUGAUUCUGAAGUUGUGGUGGAUAAAGAAACAGAACUGGUAACCAAGGCUCAAAAUCAGAGGUCAAAGUUCCAAGUGGCAAUAGAUGACAAGUAUUGGAAUGACAGCCUCAGCGCGGUCCAUUCUGAUGAGAGGAAUCUAAAACAGACACUGAAUGGUCAGAUGUUAAUGGCUCAGCCAGAGACGAUGCAUCCUGGAUCUCAUGGUUUUACCAUAUGUGGGGAUAUUAUUCCUUCUGUGAAUUUGACGAUGAUUGCAUGCAAGAUGAUUUUGAUGACCUCUAUGGUUUGAGCAAUCAAGUCGCCCAUUAUGAUCAUGCGUUUGACUUGAUUUUGGAUGUUGAAUUCUCGCAUGGUGAUUCUCCCACAGAGAAGCAAAACGAGAUAGUGGAAUCUGUAGCAAAGGCUUUAUGGUCUGUUUCAUUUCUGUUACUUAUUGACUUAGCAAAGACUGACUGCCAUGCUAAGCGAGCACGUAGACUCUGACUUUGGUCGAUAUCCAAGAAUUUGUUGCUGCGGACAAACCUGCUUUCUAGUGACUUUGAUGGGGCCUGUAAUGCCUAUCUAGAAGGGUGAUAAGUGCCUAGCCUUGAGGUGCUUAAACUGACAAAGGAGUGUCUCAUGGAGAAGCUUGCUGCUGGUGUCCCCCAAUUUGUCCCGUCUUUCAUUGGUCAUCUCAUACCCAACUUUGGUGGUUGUACUCCGGGCCCUCAUGCACAAUCCUAAAAAUUGUAUGGCCAUCCUCUUGUGCCUUUUUUUCAAAAUCCAUGUUUCUUCAUUCAUUUUCAUGUCUGUCUUUAAAGAAAUAGGUUUUCAAUUAACUUCAAACUCUUCCAUAUUUCAUCCUUAGAGUUUUUAGGUUUCACAAGUCCUAUUUUCAAUAAAAUUGGUUGCCAUUUUCUCUUCGGCAAGCCAUCUUCCCAUCUUCCAUGUUUUUUUUAAAAUGUUUUAAAAUAAGUGUGAAUUUAUUUUCGUAAUUCCAAGUGAUGGAAUUUACAAAAUUGAUUCACUCACAAAUAAAUCGGGCUUUGGUGGGGGCCCAACAUUAUUGGAUGUUUCCUUUGAAAAUCCAUUUGAUUGAAUUGUGACAUGUGAUGAUUUAUUGCUCGGUUUAGCGACAUGGGUGCCACAUUUUAUGCUCAUCAAUUGUGCAUUAACCCCAUUUUGUGAUAGCGCGUUGCUGUUUAUGGAUCAAGUACGCAUCUUUUCUCACUCUGGCUAUCAUCCAUAUAUGUUUUGGCUUUCAGUAUGUGAUCAUGACGGUAUUCAUUGAUUUCCUUAUCGAUUGCUACAUUAGCUUCAUUUUAUUAGUAGAGACCUGACUUUAAGGACUUAAAGGGGUGCUACGGUCUUUACCGUACCUUCUUGAUAAGUAAACUGACCCCUGAGCCCGAUCCAGUUCUUCACAAACCACCUUUUCCAAAUAAAGAGUCACACUUAGAGUUUUCUUUCUUAUUUUGUUUACCCUUUAAAAAUAAAACAAAAAUAAGUGGCAACUCCAAGUCAUUUUCUAAUAAAUAAAAUAAAAUAAAAUCAUUUUUUUGAAAUAAAGAAUCGAGCACCCCAUCGAGUGGAAGCGCAUUGAGCCGAAAUGCGGGGUCCACAGUUUUCCUCAUCCUCCUCAUCAAUUACAUGUCUAUGUCUUCCUCCCAUUGUGUCUUGCAAUUCAGCUCGAAUCUCUUCUAUAUUUGUGGCUUUCUUCACUUUUGCCUUAUUUUUUUUCCUUUAGAAGUCGACUUAUUUCUUGUUUCACUUCUGGAGGCACAUUAGGACACUUUUUUGUAUUUGAAUGAGGGUUUGUAUGCGACAGGUGAAAUUUAAAAUGAGUAAUCUUACCACUCUUUAUUUUCAACCUAUAGUAAUUGCAUAUUGUUCCAUUUUUGUUCCCUUCCAUAAGUGUACAAUAUUUCCAACUAGGAUCUCAACCCAUGAUACCGCUUCCACUUCCACUAACCAUUUUCUAAACAUGUAUUUUAAAUUCUCAUACGAAACUAAUAUAUGUGAUGUGAUAUCAAAAGGAUUUGCAUUAUAAUUAAAUUUCUAUAUGAGUUAAGUACUAAGUUAUUAAAGAUAAAUAUCUAAGUUAAUUUAAUAUUAAUAUUAUUAAUGAAAUUAAUAAGAAUCAUUACUAAUAAAAUUGAAAUUAAAAUUGAAUUAUGCAUAUAUAUUAUGUGAUAUGAAAUAGAUAAAUAUUACAAUUAAAUUUCCAUAUGAAUUAAAUUUAAAUUUAAAUUUAUUAAAAAAUAAAACCAAAUAUGCAUAUAUGUCAAAUCAAUUUCCAUAUGAAAUUUAAUGUUAAUGGGACAAAUUUUAAAAUUAGAUAAUAUCAAUUAAACUAUAUAUAACAAAUAAAAUUGAAUUAUGCAUAAUAAAAAUAAAUUUUAUGAAAGGUAAAACAUACCUUAAUUAGCCUUGACUUUGAGUUGAUCCCCUUCACCACCAAAUUUUCAAGAUUUAAUUUUAUUUAUAGAAAUAAAAAAAAAUAAAAAUUUGGAGCAAUAGAACAAGAUCAAAAAUUUAUGUAUGAAAUGGAAUGAAUUGUGGGUAUUUAUAGGAUUUUUUUUGGCCAAACUAGCCAUUGGAUGGUCAAAUAGCAGUUAUAAAUUAAUUUUAACCAUUGGAUCAAAAUUUGGCCAUUAGAUCUUCAUAUAACCGUUGGAAACAUUUCUUAGCCAUUGGAUCAAGUCAUGAUUGAUUUUCCACUAUUGGAUCACAAAUAUGAUUGUUGGAUGCCUUUAUAAAAAACACGGGUGAAAUCUAGGCCAUCGGAUUGUCAAAAAUUCAAAUAUGACUGUUGGAUGCAGUAGGAGGAAAUUUCAAAAAAUUGCCCAAAAAAUCGUUGAUUUAUCGUCGAUAUUUUGAAAAAAAUUGGUGAUUUUUUUACAGUCUUCCUCCAUUGCUCCGUGCAUCUCUCCAUGGUUGAUUUUUUCAUUUCCAAACCGACAUAUUGCUAAUAUUCGACGAUAUUACCAAAAUUUUGCCAAAAUUCCCACCAAUCAAUAAUCGGUACCCAAUAUCGUGUCGGGAACCACCAAUAUUUGAUAUAUUGACAUAUUUCAUCGAAAAAACCAAAAAUCCUUAAUAGAAAAUAAUGCCUUAUUAACACACUUUUAUUCAAAGUGUUUGUCCUUAUUCUCGACAAAGAAAGCAUUUUAUUCAAAGUAGAACACUCCUAAAACUAUGACAUCAAUACAUAUUAUCCCCUUUCCAUUUCUGACAAUAUGGAAGAAGCUGGCAUUAGCUUUCAUUUGUUCAUACUGGCAUAGGGUCAAUGAGCAAGGAUGCAAUAUUAUCUUUCAUCACUUUCCCAACAUGAGUGUAUUCAUUGUUUUCCUUAUAAAUGAUGUCUACCACUCGUGUAAGAUUGAGAACUUUGAUAAGGAUUGGGAUCGACAUGGAAGUAGGUAUGAGGAAAACUUGGUUAAUUUCCUUCCAUGCAUUCACAAUUUGCUUGUUAAACUCGUCAUAAGCCUGUUGCUUAAGACACUAUAUUGCUUGAUAUAGCAUUCAAUGGCUAAGGCAACAUGCCCUCUCUCUUGUUCAAACUGCACACAUAUAUAUAGUAAUGCAAAAGAUGAGGAAAAACCUACCAUAAAAUCAUCACGAAUGAACUUAUAUGCAAUAUAUUCUACACAUAUUCCUUAUGUGUCAUCAUAUCGUUCAUGGGCCUGGCAAUUAAACAUGAAGCUAUUGUAAAAGGGUCAUUGUAAACCCAAUCAAAGGCCUCUUUUGUUAUCAUUUAUCCUAUUCCAAUGAAAGAGAGGGUUGUGGCUAAGGGAAGAGCUGAGCCUACUCGUGCAACUUGCAUGUAUUCCUCUAUGGAACCAUUGUACUUUGUCAAAGAGCCAACCUGAAUUUUCAACCAACAAACAUUUGUCAAUGUUACAUACUUGUACAUAUGCUUUAAUUUUUAAUUUGAUAUGAUUCGCCUAUUUAACUCGAGCCCAACACAUUUUGUCAAAAUAAUCUUAAAAUAAUCUCUCUCUCUCCUUCUCUGUGAUUGUUAAAUUUAAUGAAUAAGUAUAUUAUUCUAUCAUAUUGGUAUAUGUACAAAAUUAGCUCUCUCUGUCUCUCCCUCCUCUCUCAUUGUUAAAUUUAAUGAAUAAGUAUAUUAUUCUGUCAUAUUGGUAAUAAACAUUACCACCGUAUAUGUACAAAAUUAGCUAAGCUAAAUAAGAUAAAAUAGCAAGACUAAGUAAGAUAAAUUGUAAUUACAAGGAGAGAUUGACAUUCUACCGGAGGUAAUCUUGGUUGACACCUAAGAUUACCUUUAAUACUGAUCACCAAUUGCCAUGAAUUCAUGCACCUGACUAUGUACAAUGUAUUCACUUGGGCUGUCUCCUAUCAUCCCAGAUCAAGUAUAGGAUACUGAACAAACAUUUAAAUACAUGAAACGAUGUUCACAACAUCAAUGGAAUUAAUGUUUUUUGCAGAAAAAUGUGUGGAUGCAUGCAUGUAUACAAGAAUACUUAGAAUUUGGCUGUGCUGUUUGUUGUCACCUCGCGUAUCCGGUGGUCCACGUUCCUGCUAGAUGGAUGGACACGCGAUUCUCAACACACAAAGGGUUCUUGAUUCAGCGGUCGUACCUGCAAAAGGCAUCCGGACAGGGUGUCUGGACGCACCCUCCGAUGGUUUUGUUAGCCAUGGUAAGAGAGGAAGAUAUAUGAGGCAGUUGGCUUUUUACUAGGUAUCAGGAGGUUACCCAGAGAGAGAGCCCCAAUUCUUCUUCGCGUGAAGACUUAUAUAUAUAGCUUUAAGGGUACUGUUCCUCUCAUUAAUGGUGAGGAGAUGUUUUAUGUUGUCAUGAUGACAUUAAGUAGCAGUAGAGACAUCAUCACCCUACGAGCGGCUGUCAAGAACCAUGGUAGGUGACGCGAUUGUCAGAGAUCGUGAUAGGUGAUCAUGUAGAAUGAUCGUGGGAAGUGACUUGCUAUCACUUCAUCUUGUCUUCUCACUCUGCAGGUGACAAGAUGUGGGCCAUGGCUGCUUGUUGUGAUUGCGUGUAAGACUCGCUUUACUUUAAUUGACCAUCCAGACGAUUUAUAUCCGGAUGGCUCAUGCUGAUUAUCCGGAUGUGUUGUGGAGACUAUCCGGAUGUCUACGCUCUGCCAGCGUCGUUUGCUCUUCCUUGGAUAGGAGAAGCUGAAACGUCGUUUGCCUUUCCUUGAGGCGGUCUGGAUAGGAUAACUGCACCAUGCAUAUCCUUAGGAGAAUCCGGAUGAUGAUGGUCCGGCUAAUAACACGUGCCACGCGUCAUCAUGAGCUGCGUGCCACGUGUUUCCCAAUGGGAGGGGUCCCUACAUUGCCCCCCUUUUUAACUUGCCUAUUUUGCCCAAAAAAUGGGCGGGUUAAAAAUAACUGGCUUUUGAAAAUUGAAGAGGUCCCUUCGUCUGACUGGGCCACGUGGCGAGUGGGGGUGCGGAAGCUAAAAAAGGCAUUUAUGACGAGCCACCGACCCUGUGUAUCCCUAGGCAAUAUGUCGUUUCAAUGAUAACAUGGUUGUCCUGCUAUAAAUAGGGCACUGUACCUCUUUUUGCAUUUUUUCCUACUGCAUUCUCUUGAGAGCCUUUCUUCUUCUUGCUUUUUUCUACGCCCUUUGCUUCUCUGAGAAAAAACUUCGAAAGCUCUUUUGUACCAGUGUUUUUGUAUUGCGACUUCGUUUGUUUGCUGCUGGUGAUUUUGUACCGAGUCAGUAACCGUUCUUCUUCUUCAGAGCUUUAUUUGGUACGUACCUCUUUGCUACUGUCAUUCCUUUGGUUGCGUUUGCUGGUUCUUUAAACUUGGUUUCUGGCUUGCUUGGGCAUUGUUUUGGACAAGUCGCUUGCAAUUGUUGUUGAAUGUUGGUACUUUGUUGGUGUUGGGGGGGUGUUUUUUAGGGGUUUUUCUGACUGCUUUGGGUUAGGGUUUGUGUAUUUUCUGACUGCUUGGUUUGAACCGUUGUAUUGCUUUUGUAUGUAGAUUUUGGUUUGGCUUUGUGGUAAGAAAUGGCUCCAAAAAAGACUGUUUCAUCUGCCCGGGUUAGCGAGGCUGGCGAAAAGGCGAUAGACAAAUUAGAUGUGAAGGAAUUCCGGGAGCGGUUCUGCAUCCCAAAUGGCGUAUCUAUAGACUUGGUGAACGAGGAGGCAGCUAUGCCUACUGAGAAAGGUGAAGAAAACGUUAUCCUCUUCACAAAGGAACAAUUCAACGCGGGGCUCCGGUUCCCUCUGCCGGCGUUGUUCAAGGAAUUCCUCCACUUCUCUCAGAUUCCAUCCAUCUUCAUUCAUCCCAACCUUGUCCGGGUGUUGAUGGGAUGCAGCAUCAUCAACAUGCUGUACAACCUCGACCUUACGCUACUGGAAGUGCUCUUUUUCUAUUCCCUGAAGAAGGCAAAAAAUGAUAUCUUCAGUGUGUCCACGCACCUGCCCUCCCUUCAAAUGGUGACAGAGAUGCCAGAUUCGAUAAAGGGAGGGGCGAAGGGGCUGGUGGCGGUCCGGGGUGGAUGGGCGGGGCUAUCGGAGCAUGCGUCGAGGCCCUUUUCUCCAAAUUAUACCUUAAAAAUUUCGGGUAUUCUUGUUUUGCGAUUCUUUGUCCGGAUUUUACUUUGCUGAUUUUUUGCUGAUUUUUCCGGACGGAAUUCUCACCUUUUGUUGCUGUUAAUGCAGGUCUGGAAUUGAGGGGCCACCUUGUGGAUUGGGUGGAAAAGGCGUCCUUCGCCUGUGUCUGCAAAUUAUUUGAGAUAAAUCCCAAGAAGAGGGCCUGCAAGACAUUGCUUUCCGCGCGGAAUUUGAUGGCGGUCGUCCGGGAGUCCCAGGAAUAUGUUAUCAAUAUUCUCCCCAGGAAACUGCCAAAGGAUGAGGUAGUGCCUGGGGAGCAUUAUACUGUGAAGGAGCUCCCCCUCUAUCAGGAAGCUAAAGAGGCUGAUGCUGAAAGACGGCGAAAGCUCCUGGAGGAUCGAGAUCAGAGAAAAAAUGAAGGCACUAUCCGGAAGGCUCCCGGACAGAAGCGGGGUCCGGACUCUCCUCCAAAGAAAACUCCAGCAAAAAGGAGGAAGCUGGUGAAGAAGAAUGGGAAGGAUGUGAAGGAACCCACUCCUCCCAAGGAGUUUCCUCCUCCGCAAAUUACCUAUGAGGGGGAAGUAAUGAUAGAGGAGCCAGUAAACGCUGCUCCGCACUCUAUCUCAAGCAGCCCCGGACGCAUCUCGGGGUUGAACCAUUCUGGCACUUCCUUAGCCGCGGUUGCGCGUCUGGCUAACGUGGCUGAGGAAGCUGCAUCUAUCAACCGUCCGGGCAACCUUAAUCCGGAUGCUGAUGCAGCUGAAACGACCCCGUUGGAGGAAGCGGUGGUAGAAAGCCAAAGUUAGCCUUCCGACGACCCGGAUCGCUUGGCCAUAAUCCCGGUGAAAGGGCCUCCUUCAAAGAAGCCGCGUUCGACGCGCAAUCUAUGGUCCGGACUCCUUGGGCGGCUUCAAGAGCGGCAGCAAGAGAUUGAAGUUAGCUGCGCUUCUGCCCAUGACGCUCAUCCGGAUGGAGGCGAGGUGGAGAUGGCAACUGAGACUUCAGCCGCCCCGGCAAUAAUUCCGGCUGAAGAUGCAUCCGGACAGAUGCGUCCGGACGAAGAUGUGGGGGUCCCGAAUCCGGGACAAGAGUCACCUUCUGUUUCCUCAUCUGAGGAGGAACCUGCUGACGAUGCAGCUCCUGCUAGCCUUUUCAGCUACGCGGAGUUGGAAGCUAAGCUAAAACAGGUUACACCCGGCUGGACUGCCAUCAAGCCCUCUACUAAGAUGUUUGAUAUGAUAGAAACGGUAUACCGUUGUCUUGUGCUUUUGCUUUUUGAUUCUUUGUUGCGCUGAUGUGUUUGUUGUAGUAUGAUUUAUGUCUUUGCUUUUCUUGUUUGCGUGUCAGCUGGUGAGGAGCCUCCGCGACAUGGCUCAACAACACGAUCUUUUUACUCACCUGCUGCAGACUGCAGACUAUAUGAAGACCUUCUCCUCUCGACGCCGAGAGAUUGAAAAUCAGCUGCGUCUGAGAAUGGAGGAGGCUGAGGCUAGUCUAUCCACCAUGCGAGAGGAAAAUGAAGCCCUCCGAGUGGAGUUGGCUGAGGCGAAGAGUCGAGAAGAAUCGACUGUGGGCCGCCUACAUGAGGCGGAAGGUGAGGCAGCCCGGCUGAGGGAUGAAGUGAGUCAACUCCGGACAGAAGUUUCGAAUGAAAAGAAACAAAAGGAAGACUUGCAGCUGCGCCUGGAUGUGCAAAAAGAAGACCUUGAACAGGAGUUUGCUGUGGAAAGAGAGGAACUUGCAGCGGAUUACCAGCAACAAGUGGAUGAUAUGUUUAUCUUUGGGUAUCGCUGCUGCAUGAAGAAGAACGACAUCAAGCGAGAUACCCCUUCAAUUCCUCCGGGUGAAGAAAAGAAGCUCCAUGAGAAGCCCGCUCCCUGAUAGUUUAUCUUUUUUUGCAAUUUUUCUGCUGUAAUUUUUCCUUCUGUAUUUUUGUGGUCCGGAGAUCUCUUUGUAAUUACACUUAUUCAUAUCAAUAAAAACAUACUUCUUUCUCAUUUGCACUUGUGUAUACUUUUUAUUGAUAGUACUGCUUUAAAUUGGACACAUUCCAUGGUCUGAGUAACGGACUGCCAUCUAGCUUUUGUAAAUGAUAGGCUCCAUUUUCGUUUGCCUUAGACACUAUGUAGGGUCCUUCCCAAUUGGCUUGGAACUUUCCUGCGCCUACUUCAGCAGUAUUUUCAAAAACUUUUCUAAGUACUAGCGUACCAUUUUUGAAGUUUCUGGGCCUGACUUUUCGAUUGUAAUGCGCUGAUGCCAUUUGUUGAUAAUCUGCCAUCCGGAUGGCCGCGCUUUCUCUGACUUCGUCUGCCCAGUCUAAAUUUCUUCCUAGUUCCGUGUUGGCAUCUUCUUGUUUUGUUGCAUCGGUCCGGAUAGUAGGAAGACCUAUUUCAAUGGGAAUGACUGCAUCCAUUCCAUAUGUGAGGGCGAAAGGAGUGUUUCCUGUUGGUCGUCCGGGUGUGGUUCGAUAGGCCCACAGGACGCCGGGUAGCUCCUCCACCCACUUCCCUUUGGCUUGCUCAAGCCUUUUCUUUAAGGCAUUGAUUAGAGUUUUGUUUGUGGCUUCCGCUUGCCCAUUGCUUUGAGGAUAACGCGGCGUGGAGUAUGAAUUCCGGAUAUUCAGUUCCGAACAGAAAUUCCUGAAUGCAAUGCUGUCAAAUUGUGGACCAUUGUCAGCUAUGAUGAUUUGGGGAAUUCCAAAGCGGCAAACAAUGUUCUUCCAUACGAAUUUGGUGACAUCUUUAUCUUUGAUGCUUGCAUAUGCUUCAGCUUCUACCCAUUUACUGAAGUAAUCAGUGGCGACAAGGAGGAAUUUCUUCUGGGCAGGUGCUGCUGGGAGGGGUCCCACUAUGUCCAUGCCCCACUGCGCGAAAGGCCAUGGGCCUGAGACCGAUUUCAAUGUUGCCGAUGGCAUAUGUGGAAUGGGAGCGUAUCUUUGACAUUUAUCACAUUUUUGGACAUAUGCUACCGCGUCUUUCUUCAUUGUGAGCCAAUAGUAUCCUUGUGAAUGAGCUGUAUGUGCCAGGGAUCGUCCUCCCGUAUGAUUUCCGCAUAUUCCUUCAUGUAAUUCAGCUAGCACAUAUUGGGCCUCUGAAUGCCCAAGACAGCGAAGAUAAGGCCCUGUGAAGGAUCGCUUGUACAGGUGCCCCCCAAUCAGGGUGAAACGGGCAGCUUGCACCCGGAUUUUGUGCGCUUGUUUAGGAUCUUCGGGUAAAGUGCCUGUCCGGAGAUAUUCUGCAAUAUCAUGCGUCCAUUCUUGAUCAUCCGCUUGGUUUGCCUCAAUGGUGUUGCAAGUGGAACUUUCUGCGACAGAGGGAUUGACUUGUACAUGGAUAGGCAAUAGAAUGGCUUCUCUGAUGGGGAGGGAAGCAGCUAUACCGGCCAAGGCGUCAGCGUGCCCGUUGUCAACUCGCUUAAUUUUUUCGAUUGUCCACUCGGUGAAUUGCUGUAAGGUGCUUCUUACAUUGGCCAAGUAUCGCGCCAUGCAUGCAUCCUUAGCCUCAUAUUCUUUCUGGACAUGCCUUACCACUAGUUGCGAGUCGUUGUAGAUCCGGAGUUUGGAGACGGAUAGAGCAAGGGCGAGGUCCAAUCCGGACAGGAUGGCCUCGUAUUCUGCUUCAUUGUUAGACGCGGAGAAUCCCAGCCAGAUGGCUUGCUCCAGAUGUUCCCCAGUUGGGGACUGUAGUAAGAGCCCAACUCCAGAGCCUGAUGAGCGUGAGGCUCCGUCAACUCGUAGAGUCCACCACUCCUGUUCACUUGAUUCGUGGUGCUGGUUGGGUCUUCGUGAAUAUUUGAGCACAAAGUCGGCCAUUACUUGGCCUUUUUUGGAUAAUCUGGGUUGGAAUUCGAUUCCAAAUUCGCUCAAUUCGAUGGCCCAUUGUAGCAUUCGCCCAGUUAAUUCUGGUUUGUGCAGAAUGCUACGAAGGGGUUGGUCGGUCAGUACAAUCACUGGGUGGGCUUGAAAAUAGGGGCGGAGCUUUUGAGCAGCACUUCGAAGAGCUAAGGCUGUUAGCUCCAUUUUUGAAUACCUGGUUUCUACAUCUGCCAAUGCCCUGCUGACAUAGUAGACAAGUUUCUGCUCCUUUGGUGAAGGACAGCGGAAUAGAACGGCGCUGAUUGCCCAUUCUGAGACAGCCAGAUACAUGUAUAACUUCUCCUUUGGGAUGGGGCUGCUUAGGAUGGGUGGCUGCAUAAGACAAUGCUUAAUUUUUUCGAAAGCACUUUGACAACUGUCUGUCCAUCCUUGUGCUCCAGCUUCUCGUAUUGCCAAGAAGAAGGGUCGCAAUUCUUCAGUGAAGCGGGCUAUAAAGCGCCCUAAUGCGACGAGCUUGCCUGUGAGUCAUUGUAGCUCCUUCUUGUUCCUGGGAGGGGGUGUUUCCAUGACUGCCUUGACUUGAUCCGGACUGACUUCUAUGCCUCUCUGGCUGACCAUAAAUCCUAGGAACUUGCCAGCACUUACUCCAAAGGCGCAUUUAGAAGGGUUUAGCUUCAUGUCAUACCUUUGCAAGAGGUGAAAAACUUCUUGUAAGUGAAGAUCAUGCUGCUCUCGGGUUUUGCUUUUAACCACAAUGUCAUCAAUAUACACUUCUACCGUGUGGCCUAUUAGAGGUUUGAAGAUUUUAGUCAUUAAUCUCUGAUAAGUGGCGCCAGCAUUUUUGAGUCCGAAUGGCAUGACUUUAUAGCAGUAGAGGCCAUGUGGUGUUAUGAAUGCUGUCUUUUCUUCGUCAUCUGGAGACAUGGGAACCUGGUGAUAUCCGAAGAAGGCAUCCAAGAAAAAGAGCAUCCCUUGCCCGGAAGUGGAAUCUACAAUUUGACCUAUUCGUGGUAAGGGAAAACUGUCUUUUGGACAUGCGUUAUUGAGAUUGGUGUAAUCAACACAGACUCACCAUUUGCCCUCUUUCUUUGGUACCACCACUACAUUUGCCAACCAAUCCGGAUAAGAUACUUCUCUGAUGAAUCCGGCUUCCAGCAAUUUGUCAAUUUCAUUUCGGAUAACUUUUUGUCUAUCCGGAUGAAAGCGUCUAAUCUUCUGUCGAACGGGUCUGGCUGCUGGAAAGACGUUAAGCUUGUGAGAGGCAAUAGAGGGAUGAACUCCCUUCAUAUCCGAAUGUGUCCAUGCGAAGAUGUCAUGGUUGCUUCGAAGGAUAUUUUGUAUGCUCUGAGUUUCUUCUUGUGUCAUGAGGGAACUGAUGUUCAUGAGGUGAUCAUUCUCUUCUGAGAUUUGGAUUGUUUGUAAGGGAUCUGCUGCCAGGGGAUCCUUGUCCGCCGGACCCAAUAAUUGCUAUUGGUCAUGCGUAUGGCUGGGUUCAGGGGGAGAUGCAUCCUCCUGGCUAGUUCCCGCUUCUCGUGCUAUUUGAUAGCACUGUCGAGCGGCCAACUGGCUGCCAUACAAGUCAGUUUGCCCUUCGUUGGUGAGGAAACUCACCAUUUGAUGAUAUGUGGAAGGGAUGGCUUUCAUGUAGUGAAGCCAUGUGCAUCCCAAGAUGACAUUGAAGGGUGAUAACUCUUGUACCACCGAGAAUUGCACGUUGAGAGUGACUGGGCCAGCUUGGACCGGCAGUAUAAUGUCUCCUAAGGAUGUGGUUGAUGACCCGUUGAAUCCGGAUAAGAUUCGUCCGGGGUUUUCGAGACCCGCGAGACUAUGUCCCAUAUGGCCAACGACUGAUGUUUGCACUAGAUCGGCUGAACUGCCUGGGUCGACCAAGAUACGUCUUACAUCGAAAUCUCCUAUUUCUAGGGAGAGGAUGAGGGCGUCGCGAUGUGGCUGUAGCGUCCGGGUGGGAUCUACUGGAGGGAAAAUGAUUGUCCCAUCUAUGGGGCGAGGGCCCUCUCCAGUGAGACCCGACCGGAUGGAAUUAAUGUGUUCGCGUAUUGACGCGGCUCGCAGCAAUUUCUGCCUUUUCCGCCUGGAAUCGUAUUCCUCGUCAGAUGGGCCCCCGUUGAUAUAGUUUAUGACAGCCUUGGGGGCGACUGGGGCCCUCGGGGCCCCAGAGUUAUGAUGUUGAGAUGCGUCCCUUCCUCUAAUAUCUGAGCGGAGGUACUGUUUUAAAUGUCCUGCUUUGAUGAGCCUUUCAACUAGAUACUGGAGGGACCGACAUGUCUCUGUUGUAUGACCAUGGUCUUUGUGGAAGGCGCAUUUCUUGUUGCGGUCUCUCAUGGAUGGGUUCGUUUCGAGGGGUCUAGGCCACCUGAAGUCGGACAACCCUUGGAUCAUUGGGAGAAGUUUUUCGUAUGACACGGAUAGGGGUGUGAUGGGCGGCCUAUCCAGACGACUCGGCCCGUCCUGCCUCCGGUCAACUGGUUUUGGCCGGUUCGGAGGUUUGGCAUGUCUGUCCGCGUCAUCUCUAGAAGUUUGUCCGGCAACCAAAACUUGCUGAGUGGCUGCACGUACGUCAUCUUCGAGCAUUGAAUAUUUGUUAGCACGUCUGAACAAAUCGUCCAUCGUUGUAGGAGGCUUUUUGGCCAGCGAUUCGAAAAAUGGAGUGCCUGGACAGAUGCUUCUCUUGAAGAUCUGUAGGACAGCAUCCAUGCUGCAAGCCUCUAUUUGAAGUACGGCUUGGCCAAAUCGUUUCACAAAUUCCCUCAAGGAUUCGUUGUCUCUCAUUUUUAUGUUCUGGAGGGUGCUGAUAUUCUGCUUGUGUCGAGCAGAGCACAAGUACUGUCCCACGAAAGCUUCAGAGAGGUCCCUGAAAUUGUCAACAGAGUUAGGAGGUAGGCGAUGAAACCAUGAGAGGGCCUGCCCUUGAAGGCUGGCGGGGAAUACUUUGCAUAGCAAUGCAUCGUUGCCAAUAUCGAGCGUCAUAAGCUGUCGAUAGUGCAUGAUGUGAUCGAAGGGAUCGUUGGUCCCAUCGUAUGUGGAAAACUUUGGUACGAAGAAUCCCCUUGGGGGCUCGUAAUAGGUGAUAUGAGAGCAAAAGGGCGUGGAGAGCAUGUCAUCCAGCCUUUUACUGAUGGAGCCAAUGGGUGGCUCGUUUGGGAGGUUUCUCCCAUCUGGUCGUUCCGCUAGGUGUGAGUGAACGUUCCGCAUCGCUGGGGUGACCAUGGGGUCACGAUGCGGAGGUACGUUCUGCACCAUGGGAGCGAUCAUAGGAUCGGGGCGUGGUGCCCGGGUUGUGGCUACUGGUGGCCUUGAUCUCCCAGGCUCUUGUGGGCCUAGUCUUGCGCUCAUAGAACUUGACAACUGUGAUUUUCUAUCACGUUGUCUUUUUACUGAAAAAUGAGUGGAAUCUGAGCUUUCCUCACGGGGAGCUCGAGGCAUAGGUGUACGUGGCUCAUGGGGCCUUGCGUUGUAUGCUCCUGGGACAGCUCCUGUUGACCCAGGAUAUAUUGAUUCUGGCUCUGGCCUUAAGUUUGCCACCUGGCCUCUUGAACGCUGACGACGACGAGGACCUGACGUUGAGGCUUGAAUGCGUAACACAUCGUUUUCUUCCCUUAACCUCUCCGUCUCCUAGAGGAGAGCUCUUAGUUGUUUUUCGCUCGCCAACUGUCUUUUUUCGAUGGCCUGACGCCAUUCGAGAUUAUCUUCCUCCCCUCUACCAGAUGAUCGACUUUGGGAAGGUGUGGCCAUCUUUGCUAGUGACUGAAUCAAAAUAAAAAGUAAAGUUUCCCACAGACGGCGCCAAUGUUGUCACCUCGCGUAUCCGGUGGUCCACGUUGCUGCUAGAUGGAUGGACACGCGAUUCUCAACACACAAAGGGUUCUUGAUUCAGCGGUCGUACCUGCAAAAGGCAUCCGGACAGGGUGUCCGGACGCACCCUCCGAUGGUUUUGUUAGCCAUGGUAAGAGAGGAAGAUAUAUGAGGCAGUUGGCUUUUUACUAGGUAUCAGGAGGUUACCCAGAGAGAGAGCCCCAGUUCUUCUUCGCGUGAAGACUUAUAUAUAUAGCUUUAAGGGUACUGUUCCUCUCAUUAAUGGUGAGGAGAUGUUUUAUGUUGUCAUGAUGACAUUAAGUAGCAGCAGAGACAUCAUCACCCUACGAGCGGCUGUCAGGAACCAUGGUAGGUGACGCGACUGUCAGAGAUCGUGAUAGGUGAUCAUGUAGAAUGAUCGUGGGAAGUGACUUGCUAUCACUUCAUCUUGUCUUCUCACUCUGCAGGUGACAAGAUGUGGGCCAUGGCUGCUUGUUGUGAUUGCGUGUAAGACUCACUUUACUUUAAUUGACCAUCCAGACGAUUUAUAUCCGGAUGGCUCAUGCUGAUUAUCCGGAUGUGUUGUGGAGACUAUCCGGAUGUCUACGCUCUGCCAGCGUCAUUUGCUCUUCCUUGGAUAGGAGAAGCUGAAACGUCGUUUGCCUUUCCUUGAGGCUGUCCGGAUAGGAUAACUGCACCAUGCAUAUCCUUAGGGGAAUCCGGAUGAUGAUGGUCCGGCUGAUAACACGUGCCACGCGUCAUCAUGAGUUGCGUGCCACGUGUUUCCCAAGGGGAGGGGUCCCUACACAGUUGUGACUCAGCAACCACCGCUGAUAGUGACUAAACCUUGCAUGGACUCGAGCCCACGUAGCAUUUAGGCAUAAAACACAAUAACACGUCCCGAUCAUGCGCCGCAAGGCUUCGUUUACUAAAGAAAAAAGGAUACUUUUUCUCCAUAUAUUGCCUAAUUGGGAUGCAAUUUUAUAAUAAGAAUGGAGGAGAAAAAGAGAACAAGCCCCAGACAAGUGACCCAACAAUGACUUCCCACUUCGGAAACACUGUUCCAUUGCCCAUGUUUUUUACGACACCAGAGUGAAAUGGUGGUGAGAGGUCAUGAUCAGUAAGUAUAAUAUUAUUUAUAAGUUGUUUAACACAUAGAAUGUUUUGUUGUAUAGCUAGUCAAAAUCCGCCUAUAAAGUAGCACAAAGCUAAAGUGCAGAGCACACAAAUUUCUUCUUCGAUUGGCAACCUUUUGAAAUGCGAUGCCAGUACUGCUAAUUCAUGCGUACCAAACUGUAUAUAAUAAUAAACUCCAUACUGGGGAAAUCAUUAAUGGAACUUGGAAUAUUAUUCUGGCCCUUGGGCUGUCCACAAGAUUAAAGAUGUGAGACAAGACUCACUAAGUUCUAAGGUUGUGCAGUGUCUUCACACUUGGGGGCAUUCAACUCGAAUGGAAUGUCAAAACCCAGUUCUUGUUUGGUACUAGUUUCAGCACAUGGAGUAGUGCCACUUGUGAGAUGCCAGCAUUCAACCAUUUGACCAUUGGGCCAGACCACCGUCCACAUACAACUGAGUUCCAAAAUGCAAGAAACGUGGCCCCCGCAUAUCACGUGUCUACCCGCCCCAUUGUGAAAUAACUUCUACAAAAACGGCCGGCUAGUUCAUUUACGUUACGUGGGCACGUGAUCUUACAAAUAAACGCCCCUCAUGCACGUUCCAUUCACUAACACAUUUUGGGUUGGCUGUUUCGGGCCAAAUGCCAAGUAAUUUCAAUGCUUGAAGUUGUAGUUCAGUUUUUGGUUGACAGAUACGUGUACCUUACUAUUGUAUACCCUAAAAAAUCCAUGAACAUUUUGAAUAAUGUUGAACAUGUAGUAGGCACAAAAAUAGACACAUUUCAAUAGAUUUGGGUUAGACAUACUCAUGUUUGUGUUAUAAUCAUGUUAAGUUAUAUAUAUAACAUGUUUAAUAACUAGGUCAUAUUUAGUCUAUAUGACUUCUCGACCCAUUAAAGCUAUUUAAUUUGUUCACUUCAUGAAUUUUCCAUUGCACCCAGCUAAUUUCUACAUGAAUUUUUAAAAUAAUGUAGUUUAGGUGGUUGAAAGAAUUAGACUUUGGGAAGGUUAAUUCUGGAUGGUUGGGAUGCACUUCGAGUCUCAUACAUACAUGGAUAUAACUUGGAUGAAUGUUCUUCAGUUGUAUAAGUCAAGCUUACCUAUAAAUAUUAUGUAUAUUUUUUAUAAUGAAUUAGGACGAUAUUAAGUUGGUUUACUAAACAUCCAUAUAAUGUUAAAUAUAAAUAUUGAAGGAUAUGAAAUCCACAUAUCAAUAUAUCAAACUUUUACCAAACCCACCUCAUGACAACCUUCUUAUGGUUCUCACACGGAUUUCUAUUGUUAUCAAACAAAAAGUCUAUAAUAAAAUAUUUUUUAUUAUAAUUCAUAGAUACUCUGACAAUUAAAUAAAAGGAUAAACUUAUUUGUGGAAUAUAAUUAAAAAGAAAAAAGAAAAAAAGAGACGGGUUAGAGUUUUAAAUUAUUAUUAUUUUAUAUACUUUAAAUAAAAUAGUAAUAAUAUAAUUAAAAACAAUGUCCUCUUUCAACUUUCAUACCUUCAACCUAUACGAGCUGUGAUAUUUUCAAGUUGGUAUUCUUUAACACAAGUCCAUUCCUAACUUAUUCAACUUUUACGACUUCAACGUAAACCUCGUGAUGGUACAAAUUAGACUAUUCUGCCCUACCUAAGUUAAAGUCCUAAAAAUUUCAUAAGAAUUAUGGACUCACCUUAUUAUGAAUCUAGACAUUAUUUAUUCUGAUUUAUCUAUUCUUUAAUAUAUAUAUAUAUAUAUAUAUAUAUUGGUUUUAAUAGGCAGAAAUGUCCUUAAUGACCUUGUACAUAGAGUACAUAUAUGAGUGAUAAUAAUACGUGUUUAAGAAUAUGUUUGACAAUAAUUUAAAAAAAUAUUUUUAAUAUUUUUAACAUUUAAAUUAUACAAAUUUUAAAGUGUUAAAAAGUUUGAAAACACUUACUAAAAUCAUUGUCAAUUAAUAUUAUUAUAAGCUAAUUAUUAUUAUUAUUAUUAUUAUUAUUAUUAUUAUUAUAUCAAACAUGUUAAAAUUUUAUUAUAUACCUUAUAAAAAUAAAAGUUAUGCUCUUAUAUUAGGUUGCAAUUUGAAGUUCAAGUUCAUUAAACUAUGCAGAGUUAAGCUUUAUGUUAAAAAUAAUAAAUAAAAAAUUAUAGAGAAUCAAUUCAAUCAAUUCAUUAUUUUCCAAGCAAGGAUUAAGAUAUUGAAGUAUUGAUGGUUAUAUUUUACAAAACAUUGAAACAAAAUAAUAAUACAUUAAUAAUAUAUAUAAUGAUAAUAAUUCAUAAAUCUUGAAAAUAAAUUUAAUAUUAAAAUAUCAUUCCAAGUAAUUCUGAAGUAUUCAAAGAUGUAAAUUAAAGAAAUAAUAAUAUAGGUAUAAUUAUUUUUUAUUUAAAAGUAUUAAUAAUUUCAUUUACAACUUUAUGUUGUCAAAAAUAGACGUAUCAAAAGAAUUAUCAUAAGAAAGCUUUAUAUUUUUAAUAAUAAAUUAAAUUAAGGUGGUGUUUAUUUUUUUAUAUUUAAAUCUGAAUGAAAAUUAAUUUAACUUAAUAGAAUUAAAUAUUAAAUUAUUUGUUUCUUAUCAUUUUAUUUUUGUUAAGUAUUAAAUAUUAAUAGGGUGAAAGCCUUGUUGAGCUUGUGCAAAAAAAUUAUUUUUAAUAUUCAAUAAAAAGUUAAAUAUUUUGGUUUUUGCUAUUCAUAAAAAAUUCUUAAGAAUUAAUUUUUUAUUUUUAUUCAAAAUAGUCGUGUUUGGUCAAACACUUUAAAAUGCAUUAGCAUAUUUGUACUCAAACGUUUUUAUGAAAAUAAUUUUACACUAAAUCUCCUAUUUGUAAGCAUGAUUAAAAUUAUUUGAUCCAUGAAACUGUUUUAAUGAUCCUUAUUGGGCUUCGAGUUCAUGCCCAUUUGUUGAUAAUUUUUCAAGUAUUCUUAGUCCGAGCGAGGAGUGAUGGCUAGGCUAGGGAAUUUUUUCUUUGUUAGGAUUUUGAUUUAAACUUUAUUAUGGACAUUGUUUAGAAGUUAAAAUUUUAUUCAUGUUUGAAUUAUUUGAUUUUGGAGUUAUUUGGAUAAUAACACUUUGGUUGAUGUGUUAAUUUUUUUUAUUUUUUUUUAAGUUGAGAAUUGGGGAUUAUAAAAUUUAUUUAUUUUACUACUCUGAAUAUGAAUUUGGUAAUUGAUAAUUUCUAAUUACAAGAUAAAUGUUUGUAUUGUUUCCACUUUAAGCCUUCGGGCUUAAGGUGUGAAAUGAUCGUCAUGCCCAUGGAGUAGGUUUUGGGGCAUGACAUAAUUAGUACAUUUUCAUUAUAUAGUUAGUAUAACACCCUUGUACAAUGAUGCAAAUUUCAUCCACAUGCAUACAUUAUGUGUCCAUAUAGGAUGUGUGAAUCAUAUUUCCAAUGAUUUUGUUUAGAAAAUGGUGUAAGACAUAAAAACAAAUUUUUUUCCCCAAACAUCAUUAUUGGGAUAAGUAUUUGAAUUAUCAUAUGUAAGUUAAAUAAAGUGCAUGAAAUGAAGGAAUUUGAAAUAGAAGAGUGUGAAGUUAUUGGAUGAUAGGAAAAAAAAAAUAGUUGUUCAAAAUUGACUAAAAUCCUCCACAAAUGGCAACCUUGUAUAGUUAGUGUUUUUACCUUAUACAAUUAGUGUAACACUUUUUUAUAAUGGUAUAAAUUUCAUACAUAUGUAUAAAUUAUGUCCACGCGAGUGUAUAAACUAUGUUUCUAAUGGUUUAACAUUUAAAAUGACUAAAACAAAUAAAAUAUUAUUUUAUUUUAUUUUCAAUGGAAAAUGUUAUUAAAAAUAAGACAAAGAAAUGAUUUAAAAACUAUUAUUUAACUUAAAUUUAUUUAUUUAAUUCGUUCCCAUUCCUUAUUUUCAUAUGCCAAACAUGUUCUUAUUCCAAUCUCAUUACAAUGACAUUAAUACAUAUUAUUCCCUUUCUAUUGCAGACAAUAUGGAAGAAGUUGGAAUUAACUUUCAUUUAUUUACUUAUACCGGCACAGAGUCGAUGAAUACGGAUGCAAUAUUAUCCUUCAUCACUUUCCCAACACGAGUGUAUUCAUCCUUUUCCUUCUAAUUGAUGUCUACCACUUGUGUAAGAUUGAGAACUCCGGUAAGGAUUGGGACCGACAUGGAAGUAGGUAUAAGAAACCCUUGGUUAAUAUCCUUCCAUGGAUUCGCAAUUUGCUUGUUAAACUCAUCAUCAUAAGCCUGUUGUUCUAAGACACUAUAUUACUUCACAUAGCAUUCAAUGGAUGAGGCAACAUGCCCUCUCUCUUCUUUAGAAUUCCUAGCAUACCUUUCCUAUCUUCCCAAGGCCGCACAUAUUUUUUUUUCUCACUUAAAUUUGGAGCACCUUCCUUUCUUCUCACAUAAGCAGUGCACUUUAUUUUUUUUUUUCUUCAAUUGGUGCAUUUUUAUUUAAUUCUCAAGGUGGCCUAUCUUUCUUCACUUAAUGACGUACUUUCUAAAACUUCAUUGCUUCCUAUCUUCUUUUCUUCUUGUUAAAGUGGUGCACCUUUGUUACUUGACACAUCUUUUUACCUUAGGGACUUGGUGCACCCUUGGCUUGUGGGACCAUGAUUAAAUAAAGACUUUUAAUUUUUAUUUGGGAUUUUUUUUCUUCGAUUUGAGAAGUACACAAAAAUUAAAAAGGAAAUUUAGGAUUAGAAUUAGGGUGUAGAUUUUUUUUUCUCCUAUUUAAGGUUUGCAUGAUUUAGAAGGAGCAUAAAGAUUUAAAAUUAGAUUUUCUUUUUGUCCAUUUAAGGUUUCAUUUGGGCACUGCAUAAAGAUUUUGAAAGAAAUGUUAGUAUUUAGAAUUUUUUCCAUUUAGGAUUUGAUUUGGAAAUUUAGGUUUUAAUUUGGGAAAUAGAUUAAGAAGAUUAAAAAAAGAAGAAGAUGAUAUUUUAAUUUUUAUUUAAUAUCUUAAUUUUAAUUAUCUAAAAUUAUUUAAUUAUUCUAAUUAAUGAUAUUUUGAGGUUAAUUGCGAUUAGUAUAUUAAUUAAAAUUAAUUAUAUAUAAAAAUCUUAAAUUAGGAUCAAUGGUAUUUUAGAAAUUUUUAUUAAAUUUAGUUGGUAAUAAUUUGUAGAUUAUUUUGUAGAAAGCUUAAUUAGAAUUAAUUAAAUCUUUAUAUUAAAAAAAAAACUUAAGAAUAAUUAGAUAAUGAGAUAAUAUAUACUAAGAUAAAUAAAAGAUACUUUAGGCAUUUUCUUCGAUUCUUUAACAAUGAUAUCAUUAAUCAACUAACAAUCAAUCCUUAAGGAUAGUCAAUGCUUGAUUGAUGGUCAAGUUAUGUAAUGGUUGAUCAAGGGAGUGUUGGUAUAAUUUCAGAAUCCUGAAGAAUUAAAAUGUAGUUAUCAGAUACCCUUCUUUAAUUGAGAUAAGUUGCUUCAAUGAGUGAUUGUCGAUUGAAAUUUUACUCCUAAAAUAUGUUUGUGGCUUUAGCUUGUCAAAGAAUAUGCUGGGAAUCAGUUAUGCUUGGGUUACGAGUUCCAUAAGCUUACGGCAUUAGAUUUUCAAGAUUGUCUUUCUUUGGAUGAGACCGUUAUAGAGAAGAGGGCCUUGCCAAUCCACUUUCAUUCAAACUGUUUGUCCUUAUUCUCAAUGAAUGAAGCAUUUUAUUUAAAGCAGAACACUCUAAAACUGUGAGAAACUAGCCGCCAAAGCAUUUAUUCCAAUCUUAUUACAAUGCCAUCAAUGCAUAUUAUUCCCUUAAUUUCCAUUGCUGACAUAUGGAAGAAGCUGGAAUUAACUUUCAUUUGCUCAUACUGGCACAGGGUCAAUGAGCAAGGAUGCAAUAUUAUCUUUCAUCACUUUCCCAACAUGAGUGUAUUCAUCAUUUUCCUUGUAAAUGAUGUCUACCACUCGUGUAAGAUUGAGAACUCCGGUAAGGAUUGGGACUGGCAUGGAAGUAGGUCUGAGGAACCCUUGGUUAAUAUCCUUCCAUGCAUUUGCAAUUUGCUUGUUAAACUCGUCAUAAGCCUGUUGCUUUGAGACACUAUAUUGCUUCACGUAGCAUUCAAUUGCUGAGGCAACAUGCCCCCUCUCUUGUUCAAACUGCAUACACAUAUAGUAACGCAAAAGAUGAGGAAAAAAACUACCAUACAAAUUGUCACAAAUGAACUUAUAUGUAAUAUAUUCUACAUGCAUACCUUAUGUGAAGUCAUGUCAUUCAUGAGUCUAGCAAUUAAACAUGAAGCUAUUGUAAAAAGGGUCAUUGUAAACCCAUUCGAAGGCCUCUUUUGUUAUGAUCUCGUCCAUGCCAAUGAAAAAGAUGACUGUGGUCAGGGGGAACGAUGAGCUUACUCUUGCAACUUGCAUGUAUUUGUCUAUGGUAGGUACAUUUCCUUCAUGGAACCAUUGUGCUUCAUCAAAGUAAGCGACAAUCUGAAUUUUCAUCUGACAAAACAUUCCUCCAUAUUACAUACUUCUACUUAUACUUUAAUUUUUAGUAUAAACUUGUGGGAAGGUAAAACUUAAUAUGAUACCUAAACAGAAAUUGAACCCAACACAUUUAAUUUUCUUGGGUUUGGGUUGAGUACAAGCAAGUUUAGGUUAAGUUCAUAUCAAUCUAGCUAUAUAACCCAUUUAAUAAAUAAAUUAUUUUUUUAUCAAUUUGAAUGAUACUAAUCUGAUUUAAAUUGACCUAAUUUAAUAAUUCUAGCUUAUUUAAUCAAUAUUCGAUUCCUAUAAAGCUUGAUUUUGGAUAUACUUUAAUUAAAAUUCAGUCACAAGCCUGUUAGGUUGGGAGAUUAAUAAUAUAAACCAUAUAAAAUCUAAUUCAAUUUUAUUAUUAAAUAACACGUAAUUAUUAAAUAGGUUAUACGUUACAUGUUUAAUAAUUAGGUGAUAUUUUUGAGAAUAUUUUUAACUCAAUUGUUAUCAGUAUUAUAUUUGAGUUGACCUAUUUAUUCGAUCUAUGAUAUGACACAAAAAUUUCAUAUAAACUAAAAGCCCUACAGAAAUUUCAUGAUAAAUCAAAUGAGAGUGAAGAGAGGGUUGUGAAUUGCACUUGGGAUUUCUGCUGAUGAGAGGGAUUUGAUAGAAAAACAGAGCGAAUCGCACCUUGGUAUUGUGCUGGCAGACAGACUCGUUGUAAGCGUGUUGGAGGUUGAAGAUGUAUUGGAGGAAAAAUCACUGGGAAAACAUGGAGAGAUGUUUUUAUAUAUUUAUUUAUUUUUGUUCUCUGAAUAGUAGGAAAAACAAGGGAAACAACUUUUUAUUGUUAUCCGAAAAUGGAGAUUUGAAGGAACCAAGAGAACACCCACUUCCCAAAUGUGUUUUUUGUAUUUUUUUGUUCUCAAAAACAAAAAACAGUUAUCAGAAACACCAACCAAGUAGGCCUUUAUUUUAUUUUAUAUAUGUUUUGAAUAGAUUAACAUUGGUGAAUAAAAUCAAUUGAAAAUAAGAGAUAAGAAAAAAUAAUCUUUUACAUAUUAAAAUUAAUAUAGAAAUUAGGGUGUAAUUAAAAGAAGUUAAUUUGAGAUUAGGUUAUGAUUAUAAAAAGUAGGAAAAAACACUAUUAAACUAAGAUUUUAUUAAUCUCAAUUGUGAUGAUUAUAAAAUAGGGUUUGGAAUUAAUUGUUUUAUUUUAAGUACAAGAUUUUGAGAGGGAUAAUCAAGAAGAUAUAUCAAGGUUGUAAGGAAUCCUAGAUUUCUCUGUUCUUAAAUCCUAAAUCAUAUAGGUGCAUGAAGAUCUACCCUAAGCUUCUCUAAAAACUAUUCUAACGGAAACAACAAUAAUAAAAACCAUUUAGAAUAAUAAACUAAAGAAGAUAGUAGUCAUACUUGGAUCUGGAUGUUCGAAGAUCAGUUUUCUAUCAUGAAGGGGAAGCCUAAAGAGUCUGAAUGUCAUGUCCACCUAAGAUCUUCCGCUGGAUGACUCAAACCACAAUUUUAGCACUCAAAAGUGUGGGCUUUGGAAGGGUGACUACCUUGACUCUCUCUAUCUCUUUAGAAGUGGAAGAUGAUUAUCAAAAGUCUUGGAAAUCCUAACCUUUAAAGGGGUAUUUUUAAGAUUCUCCUAUUGGGUUUAAGUGACUUCAGCUCAUCAAGGCUUAGAUCACUUAGUCUAAUAUAAAUUGAGUUUUAAUUGAUUAAUUAACUACAAAAGGUAAUCUAAUUAAUCAAUUAGUCAAUUCUAAAAACCUUGUUCACUAUCCCUUUUGCAAUCUUGCGUGAUUACCAAGACGCAUUUAAGCACAAUAGUGAACUUAGAGUCAAUCCAAUUCUCAUAAAAUCAUGUUAUCAUGGAAUAUGAGUUUAAAGCAGGGACUACUUGAACCCGGAGGAUUAUUGGCUUCCUUAGAAUCUAAUUUUAAAAUUGAUUUAACACUACGUUAAAGAGAAUCAAUUGCACUCCAAUACCUUAUGUAAAUAACAAUGAGACGAAACUCAGGUUCAUGACCUACUAUCUAUUACAUGUAGACUUCCCAUGAAUUGUUGUCCAUAAUCUGACAAGAUACUACUACCUAUCAAGAUUACAUCUCCAAUCAUUGAGUUACAAAUCUUACUUAGUAUGUGAUCAAUUAACAUAUUCUAGCUCCAAGAAGCAGAUGUUAAAUUCUCACAAAAGGAAAUGCUAUGACCAUAGUUUUCUAGAUCACAUGUUCUUUGGAUCACCUAAGGGGACACACUAUCUCAAUUCUAUAAGAUAUCAAGUAUCUCUAUUGAGAAUCCCUAUUGUCACUAGCCUCCAUCAACAAUGACUUAAUCAAUAGGAAUAUAUGACCACCAUAGGAUCUCACCCAUAGGUCAAAGCCUGUUGUUGACUUUAAAACAAACUCAAUAUUAUUUCAAAGUUGAGAGUCCAUACAGUAUAGUAACUUGGUAAAUCAUGAUAAUUGAUAAACUUACAUCAUAAUUCACUAUAGGUCUUGUCUCGCGUACAUAACAUAUACUAGUGCACUCACCAACUUCCUCACAAUGCAGAGCUUGUGAGAGCUCGAAAAAACUGAGAGCUCAAGAAUUCAAGAGUGUUCCAAAAAAUCCUCUCUCCUACUUUUGUAAUUUUCUCUUUAAAAAAUGUAGUCCUUUGUAUUCAUCACUUUGAGUCAUCCCUCUGCUGUCAACAAGCUUGUAUCAACAACUCUCUGUAAUCAAGGUAUAUUUUCAAUAAAAAAUAUUUUUCAGAUUCAAAUAUCUGUGUUUUUAUGAUUAAAUUUCUACAAUAAAUUAGAAAGAAUUAGAAAGUAAUUAUUUCUGUUUUUAUGCUUGGAGUUCUUUAGAAAAAAUUAAUUAUUGCGUGUAUGAAAUUUCUAGCCCAUUUAUCUAACUUUUUUUAUUUUAAUAUUUUUUUAUUUAAGAUAAAACUAUUAAUUUUUACUUUUAAAUUUUAAUUUAUUUAAUACUAUUUUAAACACAACUUUCUUUCUUUCUUUUUCUUUAAACAGGACUGAACAUCAUACUAAUUUGGUCAAAGAAAUUAAAUAAAGAGUCAAACGUUUACCAUGCAUCAGUAUCCCUCAUCCAAAUGCAUUGCUCAUUGUAGAAUCAGAUGCAUCUAAUUUAGGUUAUGGAGGCAUAUUAAAACAAGAAUAUAACAAUCAAGUGCAUAUAGUUAGAUAUCAUUUAGGGAUCUGGUUGGAUGCUCAAAUAAAUUAUUCAAUUGUCAAAAAAGAAGUUUUAUCUAUAGUUUUGUGUAUUUCAAAAUUUCAAAGUGAUUUGAUAAAUAAAAAAUUUGUUUUGAAAAUUGAUUGUAAAGUUGCAAAAGAUAUUUUAGAAAAAGAUGUUAAAAAUUUAGUUUCAAAACAAAUUUUUGCAAGAUGACAAGCUUUACUUUCAAAUUUUGAUUUUGAAAUUGAAUUUAUCAAAGGAGAGUUGAAUUCCCUUCAUGACUUCCUUACUCGGGAGUUUUUGCAGGGUAAGGAUUCUCCUCCAUCCUAAUAGGUGCUCCCUUUAGGCCUCAACUUCCUUCAUCAUCCAAGAAAACCAAAGCUUCUUAUGCAAUGAUUUCAAAAUUUUCAUAUAUUCAUCCUACUUUUCCAUUACAAACAUCAAAUUCCUUUCAAGUUCUAGGUCCAGAUUUUCCUCAUCUUCAACCUUCAAAAAGUUGUAUUCAAGCUUCUAAAUCAACCCCUAAAAUUUUUUCUAUUUAGAGUCAAUCCAGCCCUAACACUAUUUCAUUAUUACCUUUUCCUUUAUUUUUAUUUUUUUCAUAUAGUCAAUAUGUCAAAAAGCCCAAAACCUUAGAAAUUGCUUUUAUUGAGCCAGAGUUCAAUUAUGAGAAGAUUCCUAAAAUUCUUCCUUAUAUAUUUCCUCAAUGAGUCACCUUGAAUUCCAAUGAUCCUUUGAAAACUAGGCAAUUUUAUGAGUUCAUCCUGGUGGACACGGAUUUAGUUGAAAUUACUCAUAACACUGAUAAAAAUAAUCCUCAGAGGAUUGCUUUUUCCAAAUGUCAAAUUUUCAGAGUCAUGACCAUUGCUAAUUGGAAUCAAAAGCCCUUCACUUGCAAGGCGUUUAGUCAACAUUUCCAUCCCAUGAGCGACAAUUACAUAAAUUAUAUGGAUGCUUGGUACAAUAUGUUUUAUUUGCAAAGCUACCAACAUUCCUGAUUCAUCAAAUUCUCAAGAAAUUGUAAUACCAAAUUUCUUACUUGGUUUCAAAAAUGGUGGACUUUCUUUGGUCUACUAGACUCCAUAUUUCCUUCUGAAAUUCAAGAAAAAUUCAACUUCUACAAGAGCAAGACUUCAUCUCUAUCUAUCACUCAACCAAGACUCUUGAUGUUCUGUUUGAGAUUAAGAAUUCCAUGGAUUCUCUCAUGGAAUAUUAUCAAGAAGCAAGAACAACCUCAUCCUUUUCCAUUAUCUCUCUCUAGAGAAUUCAACAUCAAAUGGUGGGAAAAAUUCAAUCAUGAUUUUGUAUGUCAAUAGAAGACUUUGCAAAUAAUUUUAACAAGGUCAGGAUCAUCAAAUUCAAAAUAUUCAAUAUUGAAGAAGGUAUCAUGAAUGUCGGGCCCCCACCAAAGCCCUAAUUAAUUUCUCAUGAGUUGAUUCCAUAAAUUCCAUGACUUGGAAUUAUGGAGUUUGUUCAUGCUUGAGAAAAUUGAGAAAAAUCAAGAAAAUCGAUUGAAAAUCAAAUAAAAUAGUGAAAAUGCAUGCCGGAAGGAAAAUGACAGCAAGAGUAUGUUAGAAUAUGGAUUUUAUACCUAGAAAGGAUCUAAGAUGAAUUUUUCAAAGCUAGGAAUGUUUAGUUGAACAAUGGUUCAAAAAUUCAAUUUAAAACAAUAAGUUCCCAAUCAAAGAAGCAAAUAGAGGAGAAGGUGUGUAUAGCAAGGUUGCCAUGAAGUGAAGCCGAGAAAUUCUGGAUAGAAGGGACCAAUUCACUGCAAGAGUGUUCAACUGUCAAAUGCUUCAACUUAAAAGACAUCUUGAUUCGUAAGCUCAAUUGGAUUCCCCUCAACAAAAAGUCAAAUACUGGAUUGAAGGUUCAGAAUUUCCAAUUUUCUGCAUUGUUGUAUUUCCUGCAUUUUGAGUUAUUUCCCACCACCGAGACUUGGUUCAGCAGUAUUGUCGGAGUUUGCUUUUUGAUUGUGGGUGGAAAUGGAUCUGGCGAAUCGUGAGUAUCUGACGAGCCAAGCUAUCCGGGUGGAGUGUGAAUCGUUGGCCACAGAUGCUAUCCGGAUAAGCGUUAUCGAAGGAUCCGGACAUGUCUGCCCGGGAAAGUUGAAUCGUCCUCCUCUCUCAUUUGGCGGCGGGCGCUGGGUGUGAAAUAUCCGGAGAAUGUGGAACGUCGGCCGGAUAGAAUUGUGGCUGUGAGAUAUCUGAAGAAAAGUGGCGUCAGCCGGACAGAAUUGCGGCUGUGAGACAUCCGGAGAAAGUGGGAUGUCGGCCGGAUAGAAUUGCUGCUGUGAGACAUCCGGAUAAGGUAAACGUUGGCCGGAUAGAAUUGCUACCCGGAUGGAAUUAGCGAUGAUCCCGUUCGGGUGGAAUGAGCGAUGAUUCCGUCCGGGUGGAAUGAGCUGUGAUUCCCAUCCGGGUGGAAUGAGGGUGGAAUGAGCUGGGAUUCCCGUUCGGGUGGAAUGAGCUGUGAUUCCCAUCCGGGUGGAAUGAGGGUGGAAUGAACUGUGAUUCCCGUUCGGGUGGAAUGAGGGUGGAAUGAGCUGUGAUUCCCAUCCGGGUGGAAUGAGCUAUGCCACACGUCGAAAGGGGGGCGGUCUGCGCGGCCAAGAGAGAGGGAGCCACGUGGCAAUUUUUGGGGAGGAUCCCACAUGUUUAACCCCAAGAAAACCCGUUUUACACAGCCUUAUCAGGUUCCCACCUUUCUCAGAAUGCUCAUGGUCUCCAUAUCUGAGAAUACCAAGGUAAAGAAAGGGAAGAAACGUAGAUACAGAAACACAUAAAAAGACCAAGAAAGAAAAGAAAAGAAAACAGGGGAAAAGAAGAUAGUCGGUGGGUAUUUUGAAGCCAGAUUGGGAUAUAAAUGGGGGCAAGACCCAUAACAUCAAAUUCAAAGGUAAACCUAUAUUCAGAUUGCUUUCACAUGGAACCAAAGACAUUAAAAGGAAUAUUAAAAUAGCAUAAACAUGCAAGCAAACCAGUCUCAACUAAUCAAAUUGUGGCCCUUGCAUCCACACCAAACGACAAGAAUGAAUCUUCAGAAAACUAAGAAGUCAAGAAAGAUUGAAACUAAAUGGUGAUAUAGCAAAAAUCUGGAAACAUACUUGCACGUUCUUCCCUCCAAUUGCUUGGUUCCAGGCUGCUGCACCUUUUCCCGACGGAGAAAUCUGCUCCCCAAUCCUUUUUCUGUCCACCAAUCUUCUCCCUCUCUAUACGUGUUCCAAGUCCCUAUUUUCUAUGCCUCUCUUCCAGACGAUCCUCUCAUGCGUGCUUUUUCUCAUUCUUUUUCUUUUCUCACAUAUAUAUAUAUAUAUAUAUUAGCCUCUCAAACUCAAUUUGAUCAAGAGAAACCACUUUCCUUUCUUCUAUUUCCCUUCCUUUUUUCAAAAAUCAGAAUGUUCCUCUCUUCUCAUGCAGGAUCUUCUCUUUCCAUAUGUAUGCAGCCACAUUAAUUCCUUUUUCCUCACAAAAUAUUUCUCUUACCUUUUUGAGUGCACAUACCUUAGUGAGAGUUGAAUAGCAGCCCCUAUUCUCUUAUCAAACAAUAAAAAAAAUGAAAAUAGAGAGAAUAAAAAAUAAAAAGAGUUAGCAAUCUUGCAACCUAUCAAAGAUUAAAAUAAAAUAAAAAUAAAUAAAGUAAAACAAAAUAAUUGAAUAAAAUAGUCAAUCCUAUGCGGGCCAUGCAAGUUGAUUACUACUCAAAAAGUGCUAUUUCAUAGCUUGUAAUUAACUCUUUUAAACACUUUUGAGUAGUAGUUAUUGCCUUUUAACCCAAUUAACAUGUUAAGGACCCUUGCAAUCAAUUCUAAUCAAAUUGUGUAAGUUUUGGUGUUUUUGUUAGUAAUUUGAUCACCAAAACAAUCCAAGAUUGAGGAGAGUUAUUUAGAAACCAUGGCAAAGCUAUGAAGAGCUCAAAUUCAUGAAGAACCAAGCUUUGGAGCUCCAUAGCCCUUUGCCAAAGUCGUUCAAAGUAUGCAAGGAAAGAGCACUGGAGAGAGGAAAAACAGAGUGAAGAAAACAGAGGAAAGCCAGCUGCAGUCUUAUUUUGCAAUUUUGGAGCACUUUCUGAAGUCCAUUUUCUACAUUCUAUAUACCAUUUCAAAGCUCAGGAAGUCAAGAAUCCAAUGCUUCAAACGGUGCGCGAUUCGGAGUUGAAACGAAGAAGUUACAGCCACUGCAAGUCAAUCACUCUAAAGUGUUGCGGAAUCAGCCUUUUGUUGCGAGAAUUUCGCAGCCUUUUUGUACAGUGUUGUGGAUUUCCUCCUGAAGUUGCCCGAUAUAUGCCGCAAGCUGGAAGCUGAGAACUUCAAGGUGGAAGCCAACUUCGCAGCCCUGUGAGAAUAGCUUUUUGUUGCGAAGUAAUUUGGCAGCCCUUCAUAAGUGUCUGCGAAAUCUCGCAGACACCAUUUUCUCCUGCGAAAUGGUCCUUAGUGCUUCCCGAUAUUUGCCACCGACUCUUUUGGAUAUUUUUCUUCAGAUAUUUUUGUCUAAAUUUCCAUUUUCUCCUUGUAUUCAGCCACUCAUGUAAUUCCUUAGCUAGGAAGUAUCCAAGGAAGGGUAAAUUACCUUCCUAUAUAAACUCUCUUGUAAACACUCUCAGGAGACGCUCGGGGAAGUAUGUAAAAUAUAGAUAUAUCAUAUAUAGAAUCAAGGAACAGAGCACUUGCUCUGUUUUUCAUAUAUAUUCUUGUCUUCUCUUUCAUUUUCAUUUUCUAGCCAACCAAUCUCUGAGGAUUUUUCCUUAGAAGAUGAGAGGCUAGGCUCUUUGUCUCUUGGAGUGAGGAAAGCCGGGUAAGUUUCCACAUGCAUAAAUUGGAAGUUUUGUUGUUUUAGUUUUUAAUGAAGAGAAAGUGUAACCCGUUAGUGAUUUCUAUGUUUUUAGUUAACUUAAAAUGCCUUUAAAUCACCUGGGCCAACACUUGGUAAGGCAAGUGAUCUCCGUCCAUGGAGAUGCACUAGUUUACCCCUUGCGAGCCUUUGGGAGGUGACUUGAAGGUAGGAUUUUCUAGAAUAGCCAACACUUGGUAAGCUUUUGGACUCCAAGGAGACAUCCAUUAGUUAUCUUUUGUGAGCUUUUGAUGGGUAAUCCAAGGUUAAAGAUCACCUUGAAUGGCAAGUGCUAGGUGAGAGGUAUGAGUCAUUGCAAGGUGCAUCAGUGAGAGGGAUUUAGUGUUUGAACCCAUUAAUGGGAAGCAUCUGUACAACACCGGUUGGAGAAGGAACUAUAUGUUAAUUCUCUAAUGCGAGGAAAAGAAACAAGUGACCGGAACUCCCAUUUUGUAUGAGGAACGAGCCUAGUGAUCUGAACUCCAAGAAACACUUUUCUUUGUAAGUAAAAUCAGUUACUAUUUUUGGUUAGUUUAAAUCUAAACCUUUUUCAUUCAAACAUCUUUAUGUUUUCUUUUAAAGCUAACCUUGAAAUGAAAAGACACCAAUUCAGCUUUGAAUUAAUAUCAUUUGCAAAGUGAAAACCCAUCCCAGUGAACGAUCCUAGAGCCACUAUGCUAUAGUAGCUUUGUCUUUGCUACCCUAGUAUAUGGUGUAAUAGGUUAUAAAUUUUGUUGAUUACUCCCUCAAUCAAAGAGCACCAGCUGGACACGAAUCAGCUCAGACACCAAUUGAGCACGAAUCAAAUGGCGCCGUUGCCGGGGAUCGAACCCCGAAUCAAAUGGUGUCAUUGCCACUGCCGCUGCUAGGGACGAAUCACAAGUCAUACAAAAAGUGAGUCUAAAAGUGCUUACUGGGCCAAGUGUGUCUAAAUGGGCCUAGAGCGGUGCCUAAUGGGCUAAGUGUACCUAAAAGCUAUCCUAAAAAUGAACGAAAAAGGCUAAGUAUAAAUUAGGGCUACCAAGAGUCACAAUAAGUGGUCAGAUAAUCCCUCAACCAAAAUCUCCGAGGUGUCUCAGAAAAAGGUAAGUUGUACGAGUAGUAAUAGGCCACCAAGGAACUACUGUGGAGCGCUGAAAAUGAACUUAAAGACAUGUGCUAAAGGGACAAAAUUGAGGGUCUACAUCGAUAUUUUGAAAGAAUUGGUGAUUUUUUUUUUACAAUCUUCCUCCAUUGCUUCGCGCAUCUCUCCACAACGAUAUAUGGAAGAAGUUGGAAUUAGCUUUCGUUUUCUCAUACAAGCACAAGGUCAAUGAGUAAGGAUGCAAUAUUAUCUUUCAUCACUUUCCCAACAUGAGUGUAUUCAUCAUUUUCCUUAUAAAUGAUGUCUACCACUCGUGUAAGAUUGAGAACUCUGAUAAGGAUCAGGAUCGGCAUGGAAGUAGGUACGAGGAACCCUUGGUUAAUUUCAUUCCAUGCAUUCACAAUUUGCUUGUUAAACUCAUCAUAAGCCUGUUGCUUUGAGACACUAUAUUGCUUGACAUAGCAUUCAAUGGUUGAGGCAACAUGCCCUCUCUCUUGUUCAAACUGCACACAUAUAUAUAGUAAUGCAAAAGAUGAAGAAAAAACUACCAUACGAAUUAUCACGAAUGAACUUAUAUGUAAUAUAUUCUACACAUAUACCUUAUGUGUAGUCAUAUCGUUCAUGAGCCUGGCAAUUAAACAUGAUGCUGCCGUAAAAGGGUCUUUGUAAACCCAAUCAAAGGCCUCUUUUGUUAUCAUUUCUCCUAUUUCAAUGAAAGAGAGGGUUGUGGCUAAGGGAAGAGCUGAGCUUACUCGUGCAACUUGUAUGUAAUUCCUCUAUGGAACCAUUGUACUUUGUCAAAGAGCCAACCUGAAUUUUCAACCGACAAACAUUUGUCAAUGUUACAUACUUGUAGAUAUGCUUUAAUUUUUAAUUUUAUGUGAUUCGCCUAUGUAACUCGAGCCCAACACAUUUUGUCAAGAGAUUGGGUUGAGUAUAAGCCUGUUUGAGUUAAAUUUGUAUUGACCAAUGUAAUAUAUUGAAUAAAUAUGUUGUUUUUUUUUAUCAAUUUGCAUGAAUUUGACCUUAAUUGAAGUUUUUAAUAAUUAUGUUGAUUUGUCUUAUUAUCACUUUAAUCUAUUUAACCUAUAUUUGACUUAUUUCAAUUUUGAUUUUGAUAAAUAAGUUAAAUUGAGUUAAGCAUAUUAGGUUGAGAGAUUAACACUUGAUUAUUAGAUGAGUUAAACAAGUCAUAUGAUGUAUUGCAUGUUUAAUACUUAGGUUAUGCUUGGGCUUAUGUUUGAGUUGACCUAUUUAGUCGAAUGUCUGACCCACUACAGAACACCAUCAAAUAAAAAAGGCUCUUACCACUUCUUUUACAUAGUAGAAGCAAUAUGUUUUUCCUUCUUUAUCCAUCUCUUCCCCAAUUUCUUUGUAGACAUCUGAGAGUGCCUGAUAGGUCACUUCCAUGUAUUCUGGCAGUUGAUUGAUGCUUUUGAUAUCCCACCUGAAAAUAAAAGAACAUCCACCUGAGAAUUUUGAUAUCUCCUCGUUCAUUCCUUCCAUGAGCUCUUUGACUAAGGAAGGCUUGAUUACGGUGUGGUUCAAUUUUCUCUUCUUCCUUUGCAGUAGCAAUCAUUUGUUCAUGGUUUUGUAAGGAUGAUAUAAAUUGGUUUAAAGUUGGGUAUGGAAGCUUGGAAAGCAUAGUAGUUUUUCAAAUUAUAAUAUCUAGGUGUAAGGGCUUUAGUUAGUUGGAAGAGUUUAUCAAUUUCAAGAACAAACUAAUUUAUAACAAAUGUUAUCACAAAUAAACUUGAACUUGUGAAUGUAUUCGUCAUGUUUUAACAACAAACCUUUUCUUAAUUGAUAGUGACUAUCCUUUAGAGAACCCCUUCUUUCUCUUUUGUUUCAGGCCGAAGCUGUUCUUCAACUGAGUGCCUGUCCCAUCGUGUAGUGUGUCCUUUGACUGUCAUGCCGAGUACCUCCUUAAUCAUCUUUUGUAUGAGCCAAGACAUCAACAAGCCAUCAUUUUUUAUCCAACUUGUAUAUUUGGGACUGAUAGUUUACCUACCAUCUUCUUCUUCGAUUUGUUGAUUUGGCUUCUCUGCAUCUCCUACGUGGUGUUCUAUACCUAGACUCGUUAUUAGAGAUAGAAUCUGUGAUUUCCAAAGGAUGUAAUUAAAGUUUGACACCUUGAUACAAACAAGGCUUGGAUAUUGAUGGAAAGCUUGGAUUGAUAUUUUUGGCUUCAUAUCUUUCUGCUUUGAUACCAUGAAAAAAUUUGUAGAAAAAUGUAAUUGAAGAAUGAUUCACGAAUAAUAGAAAAACUCGAAAGGAUUCCUUGGUUGAUUUAUUUCAGUUAUGGUAAUAUAUACAAGUAUAUCAAAUAGCCCUUGGAGUUGGUCAACAUCAAUUGGUUGUCUAAGGAAGGCUGCUUAAGAAGGAAUUCUACAUAUUACAUUGAUCGAACAACUAGGGAAGAUUGGUCAAUAAAAAAGAAAAGAAUUCUAGCAAUGCUGACAAUGAUCUUGCUGGCGGUGAUUAAAAGAAACGAAAUUCAAGCAAUUCAACAGUGGUUUUCCAUGAAGUAAUCAGAGGGAAUAAUUUUGGCUUGUUGAAAAUAAUCAACGGAAGCAAUUUUGUCAAUAAUUUUGGCAGUGAUGGCAAUAUUCAACUUUCUACUUGUCAUAAACUUUCAAUGCCACUACAAAACACCAUCAAUGCACUUGAGAAUAGAACACUGCAAAAGCCAAUACAAUCCUAAACUUGUUCAGCAUUAUUAAGGGGUGUUUUGUAUUAAUACAUCCCAUUUGUAAUUACCUUACAACAAACUAAAAAAUCUUACAAUUUUAGAAAUAAUAUUUGCAUCGAUCGGUACCACAAUCUGACCUCAACUUUAUUCCAUUGCACCCAACUAAUUUCUACAUGAAUUUGUUAUGACAAGUAUAUGAUUGAUAAGAAUAGGUGUUUAAGAGAAUGUUUGACAGUGAUUUUAGAAAACAUUUUUAACCUUUCUAACACUUAAACUAUACAAAUUUUAAAGUGUUAAAAAGUUUAAAAACACUUUUUAAAAUCAUUAUCAAACGGAUUUUAAUAUUAUUAUAAGCUAAUUAUUAUUAUUAUUAUUAUUAUUAUUAUUAUUAUUAUUAUUAUAUCAAACAUGUUAAAAUUUUAUUAUAUACCUUAUAAAAAUAAAAGUUAUGAUCUUAUAUAAGGUUGCAAUUUGAAGUUCAAGUUCAUUAUACUAUGCAGACUUAAGUUUUAAGUUAAAAAUAAAAAAUUGUAGAGAAUCAAUUCAAUCAAUUCAUUAUUUUCCAAGCAAGGAUUAAGAUAUUGAAGUAUUGAGAUGGUUAUAUUUUAGAAACAAAAUAAUAAUGCAUUAAUAAUAUAUAUCUAUAUAUAUAUAUAUAAUGAUAUUUGAUAAUAAUUCAUAAAUCUUGAAAGUACAUUUAAUAUUAAAAUAUCAUUCCAAGUAAUUCGGAAGUAUUCAAAGAUGUAAAUUAAAGAAAUAAUAAUAUAGGUAGAAUUAUUUUUUAUUUAAAAGUAUUAAUAAUUUCAUUUACAACUUUAUGUUGUCUAUCAAAAGAAUUAUAAUAAGAAAGCUUUAUAUUUUUAAUAAUAAAUUAAAUUAAGGUGGUGUUUAUUUUUUUAUUUAAAUCUAAAUGAAAAUUAAUUUAACUUAAUAGAAUUAAAUAUUAAAUUAUUUGUUUUUUGUCAUUUUAUUUUUGUUAAGUAUUAAAUAUUAAUAGGGUGAAAGCCUUGUUGAGGUUGUGCAAAAAAAUUAUUUUUAAUAUUAAAAAAAAGUUAAAUAUUUUGGUUUUUGCUAUUCAUAAAUAAUUUUUUAUUUGUAUUCAAAAUAGUUGAUGGAGUUUGAGUUGGAUUCUAAUGAUUACUUGAAAUAAUAAAAUUAAUUUUUAUUAAAAAAAAUAAGAUAUAUAGAUAAUUAUUUUAAUUUAAAUGAAAAAUAUUUUAAAAAAAAGGAAAACAAAAUAAGAAAAAAAGAAGAGAAAAACCUUAUAUAACUCCUUAUUUGAAAAAAAAAGAAGAAAAAAGACAAGUUCAUAAACCAAGAUUGAGUUAAAAGUCAAAUUACCUAUUGAGAAAAUACGGCGAUAAGUCAUACAAAACAACUUUCUAAGCUUAUGUACCUAUAGUCUUUACUAAGCAAAUGAAAUGAAUUAUGACGAUUAAAUAAUUGAUUAUGGAUACUCAAGAAAAGAAAAACACAAUUAUAAAACAAGUCAUGGUGUUUGUUAUGUUACAAAAAUGUAAAAAACAAAUGAUAAGAGAAUUUGCAUAAGUUGAUUUAUGAAACUAAUUAAAAACAUGGGUUUAAUUAUUUCUAAAUUCAAAGGAUUAAAAAAGUUAUUCCAAUUUGAUGAUUUCAAUCGAUUUUAAGUACAAAAGAAAGUUUUGAUUUCAUUUUUUUUUAAGAAAAAAAUGCUUCAAAUUAUUCUAUUUAUAAAGAAAUGGUUUUUAUUUACUUUUUCUUUAAAAAAAUAUAAUUUACACAAAUUCUAUUUACCUUAACAUUCCUUUUUUAUUUUUAUGCAGAAGAGAAUACUUUUAUAAUUUUUGCUACAACAUGAUUUUUAUAAUUUUAUUUUAAAAGAAAGUGUCCAAAUCUAAUCUUAUGUGCAAGAGAAUCUUUUUACAAAUUAUUUAAGAAAAGGAUUUUUAAAAAUUUAUUUACAAUUUUAUUUAAAAAAUAUUUACAAAUUACUUUAAAAAAGAUUUGUACAAAUUUAUUACAAAAAAGAAAUAUAUUCAGAUCCAAUUUUAUUUACAGAAAAAAAAUGAUUUUUUUUUUUUAGUUUUUAUUCAAAAUAAGACUUUUACAAUUUUAUUUAAUUAGUAUGAAAGUCCAAUGUCAUUUUAUUAAUACUAGAAAAAAUUUAUUAUUAUUUUUUAUUAAGACAUGAUUUUUAAAAUGUCAUUUAUAAAAUAAAAUAAAAAGUUUACAAUUUUAUUUACAGAAAAAAAGUUUACAAUUUUAUUUUAAAAAAUAUUUUGCAAUUUUUUUUUAUAAAAAUAAAAAAUGGUUUCAAUGUUUUAUUUAAAACAAAUUGCUUUUUAGAUUUUAUUUUAAAAAAUGCUUUUCACAAGUUAAAAAAAAUUAUAGUUUUAUUUUUUUACAAAAAAUAAUGAAUUUCCAAUUGUAUUUAAAAUUUAUUUAAAAAUGGAUUUUAUAGUUUUAUUUAGAAAAACACUUUAUAAAAAAAAAAGAAGUUCAAAUCUCUCUCUCUCUCUCUCUCUCUCUCUCUCUCUCUCUCUCUCUCUCUCUCUCUCUCCAUACGCUCAUUAAUUUUGAUGUUAAGGUAUCAGCCCAAUUGACAUGAUUUAUAUUGACCUAGUCUUUUGGUCUAAUAGGUAACUUGAUGUAAUAUAGGAGGUCAUGAAGGUGAACUGUGAACCUUACUGAUAUUACGCAAACCCUACCAUUUAUUUAUAAUAUUGUCGUCAUAAUAUUGAAAUAUGGGAAAUUUUAAUAGACCAGACAGACAUCAAUAGACCAAAGCCACCAAGCAGGAAUUGAAGAAACCAGAAAGCGUUUGUUCCAAACAUAGUAUACUGUAGAACAUGAAACAGAAGCUAGAGUAUACUAUCUUUAUUUGUGUCACAUAUAUCUCCACUCUCAUAUUGGCACAGGGUCUAUGAGCAGCAUUGAAAUAUUAUUUUUCGUCACUUCUCCAGGAUGUGUGAAUAUAUCUUUGUGGCUCUUGUACAUCACAUCUCCUGAUCGAGCAAAAUUGAGAAGACGACUAAGGAGAAGCAUUGGAACUGCAGUAGGUCUGAGGCACUCUUCAUUUAUAUCCUUCCAUGCAUUCUCGAUUUGCUUGUGAAACUCAUCAUAUGCUUGCUGCUCCGACACACCAUGUUGCUUCAUGUAAUAUUCGAUGUUUGAUGCAAUAUGCUCUCUCUCUUGCUCAAACUGCAGAAAUAGUAAUAUAAGGUGUUAAAAAGAAAUUGAUAUAUAAUAGAUUUUCUUUAUCUUUAUGGGAUUGAUAUCCAAGUAUCAGUAGGAAGUGUUGUUUCAUUGUACCUUGUGGGAAGCCAUGUCAUCCAUGAGCCUAAUGAUUAUGUAGGUAGCUCUAACAAUCUUAGGGUUUUGUAGCAGCCAAUCAAAGACUUCCUUGGUUGCAGUCUCUCUCAUGCCAAUAAAAGACAGGAUUGUUAACACGGGGCCAGCAAUAGUUACCAUUGCGAUACCAUUUGGCUUGGACCAAUUUAGCUUAGACCAAGCUUUUAAUUUAGGAUAAAAAUUCAGCCAAGUAAAUAUAUCAUGCAAGUGUUAUAUAUAGCAUUUUAUUUACAGUACAAUAUAGGAUAUCAUAAACACAAUAGAGUUCAGCGAAUCCUACUGCAUCUUUUGUAUGGUGGACACAGUAUGAUCUUUCUGUGUUUUCCAUCUCCUCAAUUUCUUUGUAGACAUCUAGGACUGCCUGAUAGCAUGGCUUCAUGUAUUCAGGAAGCUGAUGUAUGCUGUUAAUAUCCCACCUGAAAAUCAAGUACCAAGUUUCCUUUUAAAGUACAAAUAUGAAAUCAAUUCAUUGGUUGUGGGUAAUUUGAAUCUAGCAUAUAUCAAACCUCCCGAUUGCCUCUGUAAAGAGCUCCAGUUCUUCAAAUGUUCCAUAUGCAUCAAUUAUAUCACCCAUAGUUGUUACCAGAGCAACUACUUUGGUCUAUAUUCUUCUAGCAUAUGAAUUCUGGGGCUUAGAACAUGUUGAUGUCCAAAAGUAUGUUUCCACCACUCUUAUCUCUGGAAAAAGGUAGCUUUGAAGAGAAAUCUAGGUCUUUCCACCACCUGAGAAAAUACAUUAAUCCACAUAAAAGGCCUGGUAAACUGUUAAUUUAAAUUUAAGUGCAAGAAUGAUCUGAGAACUAACCUCGAGAUAUUGCUCAGCUCUCUCUUAUGCAGUGACUGCAGUAGGUUGAAGUGUAACUUUGCAAGCUUCAGUCAAGCUUUACUAUGUGAAGCUUCAUCCUGGUAGAUAGACAUGAAAGGCCUUGCCUCUAGUCUCUCCAAACCUUUCCUAAUGGGCCGGUAUAGGGCAUGAGUUACUUGUGCUGCAAGAGAGUAUUCUAAAUGUUCUACCAUAGACUUGAGGUAAGUGGUGGUGAAAGCAAGUGCUUCAUCUAGUAUAUCUUCUUCCCACACCCUGAGAUGUGCAGCUUCAUACAAGCCUAGUAGGCCAUAUGCAUCAUUGAUCAAAGACUCCUUGAACCUUCCCUUUUCAUCUGUGUACCUGUUGAAUAUAUCUGUAAUCAUCACCAAAACAUAGAAUUUUAUAUGUGAGCUUUGCUAGAUGAUAUUCAAGCACCUUAUAAUACAUGAUAUUCAUGAGGCUUACCACAUGAAACAUUGAAGCCUUGUUGUCUUAGUAGUCGAAAUCGAAGUGCAACAUCAUAGAGAUCAUCAUUUAUGUCAUCAAUGCAAUGAUAGUUAUCAUAGGUAUUUUGUAAUGCUUCUUCUAUCUCCUUUUCAAAGUGGUAUGCCACCCCAAGCCGUUGAACUGCAUCAUAGAGAUCAUCAUUUAUGUCAGCUGUUUUGAAGGGUUACUAGCUGCAGCCAUCAGCUCUCUUCUAACUUCCCCUUUUAGAUCUUCCAACUGCUGCUCUUUAUGGGCCAGAGUUAUCUGUAUCAAUAAAUUGCAAGAACAAAAAGUGAGAAAAUCUUUAGGUCUUGUUAUGCAAACUACAUACAUGAUCAGAAAAUCACCUCAUCCUCAGGAGUGUGGCUCACGAUGAAGGUAUUGCCCCAAAUGCUAGGCUGAUAAUUUGCAGUUCGGCGAUUAGUCUCUGGAUUAGCAACUGGGGCUGGAGAAGACCCGUUGCUGGUAGCGAGAAUUAAGGCCAUGUGUAACUCACUCGAGCACUCAAUAUAUGAAUCAGAUGGCUUGCAAUCUUCGGUAUUUAUAGGACGGGAAAUGGUUCAUUACAAUUAUUGAAUAUCAAUCCCAGAUUCCCAGAAGCAUGGAUACUAUUAAUUCAAGGUCACCUAUCAUAUUUAAACCAAGAUUCUUAAAAAUUAAAUAUUUAAAAUAUGGUUUUUGUUCUCUUAGAAAUACGAAGUGUAUCUUAUUCCCUUAAUAAUUCUCAAUAUUCAACCAGCCGCCAAACAGUGAUUAAGACUUUCUCACGCGAAGAUCAAACUUAUGAUUGAUCUUUUAUUGUCCAAUAAUAUCCUAAUAAUAAAAUAAUUUUGAUAUGACUAGGAAACUAAGUUCUUUUAUAUAAAAACCAAAAAUUAUUUUGGUACGAAGCCAUGAGAAACUAGCAGCCAAAUUAAAGCAAUUAGGCCAUGUUUGGUAUGAAGCCAAAGCAAUUAGGCCAUGUUUGGCACGAAGCCAAAACAUGACUAUAUUUGGUACGCAAAAAUGAAGAGUGAGAAUAGAUAUUUUAUCCAUUUUCUUAUUCAUUUUCAUAUUUGAAUGAUUUAAGUGUAGUAAGAAUAAAAUCAAGAAUAAUUUCAUAAAAAAUAAAAUCCCAAUUAUAAGUGGGAUUAUGAUUUAAAAGUUAAAAAUCAAAAACUUAUUUUGGAUAAGUUGUUUUAAAAAUAAUUUUUUAUUUUGAUUUUGUAAAAAAGAAAUUAUAAAUUCAAUUUAUAUAAUAUAAAAUAAAUUUAAUUCAAGUCUUAUAAAAAAAUAAAAAUAAUUUUGUUAAUUAUAAAUAAAUUUUAAAAAUAAAUAAUUUUUAAUAAAACAUGAAUAGGAUUUUAGGGAAAAAAAAAGUUAUCAAUUUCACUUUCAUAUUCAUGCAAUUCCAAAGUUUCGACAUUGAACUAGAAAUUUCUCUAUUCUUACAUGUAAAAAGGCAAAAAAGAAAAACCCUUAAUUAGUAAAAUGAUAAGUUAGUUGAAUUAUUUAAUUAUCCUAUAAAUGCAUCUAAUUUUUUACACAAUUAGUGGACCUAAGUAAAUUGUGUCAUACUUAAACGAACUUGAACUUCCAAUUUCAACCUAAUAAAAGAUCAUAACUUAUAAUUUUAUGAAGUAUAUAAUAAACAAGAAAGAAAAGAUGAAAAGGAAAAAACUAAAAUUAAUAGCUAAUAAUAAUAAUUAAAUAGUAAUAAUAAUAAUAAUUUUCAUAAUAAUGAAUUAAAUAAUAAUAACGCUAGCAACAACAAUAACAUUAAUAAUUCUCUAUAGAGUUAAAUAUUUAAUUAACUUUAAACACACUAGUUAGUGUCCAUUAUAAAGUGAAAAGAAAAUAUUUGGUGAGUAUUGUAGUACUCCAAAACACCAUUACACAUUAACAAGGAGAUCCAGAUUUGUUGUAGGCAUAUAUUCUACAUAUGUAUUUUAAGACUCAGUAUCAAUACUCCUCAUAUUGAAUGACAAUAAUAAAUAUGUAUUAAAGAAUAUAAUAUAAUAAAGUUUAUUAUAUAUAUAUAUAUAUAUAGAUAUAUAUUAGGUGAUUUAAGUAAUACAUAUUCUUAUUUAAAUAUUCAGGUAAUAUUCCAAAGUAAAACACUAUGAACCCAGAGAAACUAGGUGCUUCAUAUAAUGUGUCCCCUUGCCGUAUUACAAUGAUUUAUUUCAUAUUUCUACUCCUUCACCUUAUUAUAGUGAUUUAUUAGAUAUUACUGCUUCCACAAGGCAAUACACGGGAUGGUAAUCAACUACUACAUUUGGUUAUAUUACAGCGUUGAUGAAGACAGACGCAAUGUUAUCCCUCAUCACUUUCCCAACAUGUGUGUACGAAUCUUGCUCUUUGUAAAUGACAUCCAUGGUUCGUGUAAGAUUGAGAAGACGAGCAAGGAGAGGCAUUGAAACAGCAGUAGGUUUGAGGCAUUCCUGGUUAAUAUCCAGCCAUGCAUUCUCAAUUUGCUUUCGAAAUUCACUGUAUACUUGUUCCUCAGAGACACCAUAUUGCUUCAUGUAACAUUCAACAGCUGAGGCCACAUGCCCUCUCUUUUGCUCAAACUGCAUGUAUAAUACAAAAGUUGAGAAAAAACCAGUGUGUUAUAUUCUCCCCAUUUGAAUCAUAUAUUCUUCAUACCUUAUGUGAUUUGAUGUCAUCCAUGAGCCUCGUAAUGAAAUUUGAAGAUGACAUAAUCUUAGGAUCGCUGGUCACCCAAUCAAAGGCCUCCUUUGUUGCUAUUUCUCCCAUUCCCACAAAGGACGUGGUUGCAAGCAGGCAGUAUCCAGAGCUUGCUAGUGCAACACGCAUGUACUCUUCAAAUGCUGGUACGUGUUCUUCAUGUAACCAUUUGGCCUCGGCAAAGUAAGCUCGAACUUGAUUCUUCAUCUAAAGAACAUUCAUCCAAGUUAUAUCUAUGUAUAUAUGAGACCAUAUAAAAUAUCAUCAAUGAAAAAGGUGGGGAUCCAGAGUAAAAGAUGUCCUACUACUUCUUUGGCAUAGUGAACCCGAUAUUGGUUUCCUUCUUUCUCCAUCUCUUCCUCGAUUUCUUUGUACACAUCUAAGAGUGCCACAUAGCAGAGUUUCAUGUAUUCUGGAAGCUGAUUUAUGCUGUUAAUAUCCCAUCUGAAAAUAAAAUAAUGACCCUUGAUUUACGUAUAUAUAAAUACAUCUAUUAUACACAAUCAAGGUUGGUAAUGUGCAAGGAGCAAACCUCUCAAUGGCUUCUAUGAAGAGCUUGAGUUCUUCAGGUGUGCCAUAUGCAUCAUGGAUAUCAUCUAGAAUGGAUGUCAUGGCAAUUACUUUGGUUAGAAUUCGUCUACCCCGUAAGUAUUGGGGCUCAAAAUACACCCCAUGCAUCCAAAAGUAGCCUUCAACCAAUCUGUCUCGUGCAAAAGGUAACUUUGUAGCAAAGUCUAAUUCUUUCCACCACCUAAAAGACAUUAAUAUGAUCAGCAUACAGGAAAGUGAUAAGAAUGGCCAAGUACAUGUGGGGUGAUCUAAACACCAACCUUGCAAGAUUGCUUAGCUCUUCCUUGUGCAGUGACUGCACUAGAUUGAAAUCUAAUUUUCCUAGCUCUAGUAAAGUUUUAUCAUGGAAAGCUUCAUCUUGGUAGACAGAUAUAUACCAUCUUGCCUCUAGCCUCUCCAAACCUUUUCUAAUGGGCCGGUUCAGGGCAUGAGCAACUUGUUCUGCAAGAUGAUAUCCUAAACUUUCUACCAUGGCCUUGAGAUGAGUGGUGGUGAAAGCAAGUGCUUUUGCAAGUAUGUCCUCUCCAUGAACCCUCAGAUGUGCAGCUUCAUACAAGCCUAGCAUGCCUCUUACAUCGCUGAUCAAAGCUUCCUUGAAUCUACCUCGUUCAUCCGUAAACUUGUUGAAUAUAUCUACACAAACAUCACCACUUGAAAAUAAGACUUAAAUGAUAAGCGAUGAACCUGUGUACCUGUGGAAUAUAUCUGUAAUCAUCACCAAAACAAUGUUAUAUGUGAGCUUUGCUAGAUGAUAUUCAAGCACCUUAUAAUUCAUGAGGCUUACCACAUGAAAUAUUGAAGCCUUGUUGUCUUAGUCGAAAUCGAAGUGCAACAUCAUAGAGAUCAUCAUUUAUGUCAUCAAUGCAAUGAUAGUUAUCAUAGGUAUUUUGUAAUGCUUCUUCUAUCUCCUUUUCAAAGUGGUAUGCCACCCCAAGCCGUUGAACUGCAUCGAUAAACUUCAGCUGUUCUAAAGGGUGACUAGCUGCAGCUAUCAGCUCUCUUAUAACUACCUCCUUUAGAUCUUCCAACUGCUGCUCUUUAUGGGCCAGAGUUAUCUGUAUCAAUAAAUUGCAAGAACAAAAAGUGAGAAAAUCUUUAGGUCUUGUUAUGCAAACUACAUACAUGAUCAGAAAAUUACCUCAUCCUCAGGUGUGUUGCUCACGAUGAAGCUAUUGCCCCAAAUGCUAGGCUGAUAAUUUGCAGUUCGGCGAUUAGUCCCUGGAUUAGCAACUGGGGCUGAAGAAGACCCAUUGCUGGUAGCGAGAAUUAAGACCAUGUGUAACUCACUCGAGCACUCAAUAUAUGAAUCAGAUAGCUUGCAAUGUUCGGUAUUUAUAGGAUGGGAAAUGGUUCAUUACAAUUAUUGAAUAUCAAUCCCAGAUUCCCAGUAGCAUGGAUACAAUUAAUUCAAGAUCACCUAUCAUAUUUAAACCACGUUUAUUAAAAAUUAAAUAUUUAAAAUAUGUUUUUUGUUCUCUUAGAAAUACGAAAAGUGUAUCUUAUUCCCUCAAUAAUUCUCAAUAUUCAACCAGCCACCAAACAGUGAUUAAGACUUUUUCACGUGAAGAUAAAACUUAUGAUUGAUAUUAUUUUUAUAAAAACACUAAAAAACUAUUUUUUGCUUUUUAACUUUUUGGCAAAUAAAUGAAGAAGAAUACAAAAAAAAAUUGAAAAAAAAGUAAAUAAAUAAAGAAGAUGAUAUUUUAAUUUUUAUUUAAUAUCUUAAUUUUUAUUAUCUAAAAUUAUUUAAUUAUUAUAAUUAAUGAUAUUUUGAGUUUAAUUAUGAUUAAAUAUAUAAUUAAAUUAACUAUAUAUAAAAGUCUUAAAUUGAGAUAAGUUGAUAAAUGAUUGAUUGUGGAUUGAAAUUUUACUCCUAAAAUAUGCAUGUGGCUUUCGGUUGUCAAGGCAUAUGUUGGGAAGCAGUUAUGCUUGGUUACGAGUUAUAUAAGCUUACGGCUUUAGAUUUGCAUGAUUAUCUUUCUUUGAAUGAGACAGUUACGAAGAAGGGGGCUUGCCAUUCCACUUUUAUUCAAACUGUUUGUCCUUAUUCUCAACAAAGGAAGCAUUUUAUUCAAAACAGAACACUCUAAAAGUUUGAAAAUCUAGCAGCCAAAUUAAAGCAAUUAGGCCAUGUUUGGUACGAAGCCAAAGUAAUUAGGCCAUGUUUGGCAUGAAGCCAAAUCACGACCAUGUUUGGUACAUAGAAAUGAAGAGUGGAAAUAGAUAUUUUAUUCAUUUUCUCAUUCAUUUUUAUAUUUGGAUGAUUUAAGUAUGAUAAGAAUAAAAUCAAAAAUAAUUUCAAAAGAAAUGAAAUCCUACUUAUAAGUGGGAUUAUAAUUCAUCUCUAGAAGGAGUUAUUUUACUUCAUUAUUACAAGUUAAAAUUAUAAAUAAAUUAUAAAAAUAAAUAUUUUUUAAUAAAAUAUGAAUAGGAAUAUCAUAAUAUAAUCAUAAAUUUUAUUUUUAAUAAAUAUUAUAAAAAUAUGGAUAUUAACAUCUUAUAAAAGCAUAAUUGAUUUAUUUUGUUAAAAAUAAAUAAUAAUAAUUUAAAAUUUAUAAUUACUUAUACUAUUUUUUUAAAUUAUUAUACUUACUACUUUGUUUUAAAAAAUUAUUUCGAGAACAAUAACUGGCAGUGGUAUUAAUUUUUAAAAACAAUUUUAUUUUUAAAAGAAAAGCCUAAAUAGGUUUUUAUUAUUUAGCAAAAAAAAAAAACCUCUCAAAUAUUUUCUUUUUUAAAUGAAAAUAAAAAAAUUAAUUUAAAUGAUGUAUUCUGUAAGAGUUUUUUUUUUUUUUUUUUGAAAUAAAAAUAAAAGAUUAAAGACACUAUAAAUUAUGAUUAAAAUAAUGAAAAUUAAUAAAAAGAUAUUGGCUUUUUUCUUAAAUACGAAAUAUUAAAAAAAAAAAGAUAAAUAAAUAAUAUAACUAUGUAUUUUUUUUUUUCUUACAAGAAUUUUCAUAGCUUUAAAAAUAGUAACCUUUUAAUUUUUUUGCUCUUAUUUAUUAUUAACCGAGUUGUAUAAAUUGCAUUAUAAUAGUUUCCUUUAAAACCAAAAUAAAAAUCAAAACAUGUGCUUCAUGACACUAUUGGAUGAAAAAGAAUCACUUAAUUUUCAUCUACUAGAUCCCAGCUGCCACCUAAUAUUAAUGACUUGUUUGGAUAUGUUGAGUUAAUUUAACCAAAGAGACUCUAGAAGGCUAAUAUUUUUCUUGCCAUCAGUCUCUUCCGUGCACAACCCUUUCAAAUCAUGGGCCCCAAAACUAAACCAAAUUCCACAUACUUUUCAACUAAAUACAACCAAUGAAUGCCAGUGCUGCCCUAUAAAUAAUAUGGAGCUUGCCAAGCUAUUUCUCUCAUACUUACCAAUUCAUCAUUCAAGGUAUAAUACUGUUCUAUCAUUGUUCCAAGGAAUUAACAUGUCUACUCAAGUCUCAGCAUCUUCUCUAAAAACAAAUGUUGUGUGCUACAUUUCUACACUGACUUUUAUGUUUUAUGAUAGCGCUUGAAGAGCAGUUCAGGUACGCACCCUAACUCUCCUUUAUUGCAAUUUGAUCGUGUUUGGCAUGCCACUUUUUAAAAUCAUCUAGCCUAUUUAGGUAUCUAUAAUUAGCUGAUUAAUUGCCACACUUCCCUUAACUUUGUCAGUAGAGACCUUUAUAGGGCUUAGAGGGGUGCUACCUUUUAAAGGUACCUUCCCAAUAGGUAACCUGAUCCUCGGAUUUAGACUCGGGUUUUUCAAAGAUACGCUUUUCUAAAAUUUAUGGAGUCAUUUCUUAGGGUUUUAUUUCUUGUUUUAUUUUCCCUUUAAAAUAAAAAUAAAAUAAGUGGUGACUCCAACUUUUUUUCCAAAAAUCAAUUUUUCACCAAUAAAAAGCAAGUCUCACCGAUCGAGUGGGGGCGCACAUGAAAAAUGCGGGUCCACAAUCGACAAUAAAUCGACGAUUUUUUGGGCAAUUUUUUGAAAUUUCUUCCUACUGCAUCCAACGGUCAGAUUUGAAUUUUUGACGAUUCGAUGGCCCAGAUUUCACCUGUGUUUUUUAUAAAGGCAUCCAAUAGUCAGAAAUUGGUUUUCAACAAGAGUUUUAAAUUGGAAAAAAGUGGAGUAAACCUGAUCCUUAGUGAGGAGCAAAUAGAACCAUACAAACCUAGAGUAAUCAUCCAUGAGCAACAGAAAAUACCGGGCACCUGUGGAAGAAGGAACAGGUGCUGGUCCCCACAAGUCUGCAUGGAUGAGUUCAAGAGGAGAGGAGGCCCGGGAAAUGGACAAAGAAAAAGGAACUUUGUGACUUUUGGCACAACAACAAGCAUUGUAAACAUCAACUGUUUUAUUUGAGUUAUGUGAAAUAUUACAUGUAUGAAAAAUUUUCUGAAGAAUUACAGCAGAAGGGUGGCCAAAUUGUUGAUGCCACAGCAUAGUAGUGGGUUGAGUUUUUGUGAGAAAUACUUGAUGUUUAAGACUGGCAGUAGGUGAACUGAUAGAUGAGGUAGGAAACUUGUAGAGUCCACGUUCAAGUUGGCCUUGGAGGAGAGUCACUUUGGUGUCCUUAUCCUUGACAAAAAAUGAAGAAGGAUGAAAUUCCAUAAUGGUAUUAUUGUCAGUACAAAAUUUUGACACACUGAUGAGAUUUGAAGUGAGUUGUGGAACAUAGAGCACAUUGUGUAAGACAAAGGGUUUGGCAGAAGUGUGGAGAAAGGAAUGACCAACUUGGGUUAUGGGUAGAGACUUACCAUUGUCAACCAUCACAGAGUCAGUACCAUUGUAGGGAGUACCAUUGUGGAUAUUAGCAGCCGUGUGGGAGAGAUGGUGGGUGGCGCUUGAAUCCAAAAACCAAGAGUCCAUUAAUGUUGGGGAAGGUGCUGCCAUCAUAGCUUGAGCAAGAGGAAUGGGACCAAUUUGAGAGGUUGAUGAGGCUGGUGCACGUGGCCCUUGAUAAUUCACAUCAAAUCUGUGAUAACAAGAGAGGACCAUGUGCCCAAACUUGCCACAUAACUGACACUGCGGUCGGUUAUUUGUCCGGGAUCGAUUAUUGUUGAAUCGGUUAGGGCGAUAUCCUUGAGGAUAUUGCUGCCGUGAAUCCAGAAGAGUGUCAGGUCGUAUGGUUGGCAUGAACGACUGAGGUGGUUUCCCUUGAGAGGGUUUUUUGGACUGUGACCUUCGUGGUCUAUUAUGAGUUGCAAAGUUGGCAAUGAGGAGGUCUUCUUCAGUAGGCGUGGUUUGAAGAGGCAGCCUCUGUUCAUGAGUCAAAAGGAUGCUAUGUACUGCAUGAAGCUGAAUGUCAUCAUCUCUAGUAGUGAGAGAAGCUAUGAUGGGGUUGUAUUCAGCCCCUAAUCCACUCAGUAAUUGAAGGAUUUGAUCCUUUUCUGGCACUGGUUCUCCAAUAGCUGCCAGACUAUCAGAGAUGUGUUUGAGUUUUUGGAUGUAUUCCAUCAUGGUGAGAGAGCCUUUUUUGUUUGUUUGAAAAGCAAGUCUCAACUGCAUUGUUCUUGCUUUGGUGGAAGCAGAAAAGCUUCGUUGGAGGGCUGUCCAUGCUUCAUGGGAUGUUUGUAGCCCAACAAUUUGACCCAUAACAUCUGGGGUGAGAGAGGAGUAGAUCCAACUCAGGAUCAUACGGUCAUAUCUCCUCCAAACCAGAAAAUCUGGGUUCACUUCACCGGUGGAUAUUGUUUUUGGAGGACAUGGUCUCAGACCUUCAAUAUGGUCCUCAAAUCCAUUGGCAUAUAUCACAUUUUCCAUUUGUGUAUGCCAAAGGAUAUGAUUAUCUCUAUCUAGUUUGAUAGGAAGAGGAUGAUUCAGCAUGCUCAUGUUCAGGGUAGGGAUUACCUGAGAAGAGACAAUCUCCAGCGUGGUCUGUGUUGAUGAAGCCAUCGGAGUAGGUACAGUAUGUUCUUGAAGUGAGUAAGCAAAGAUCAAAAGAAAGUUGCAGCAGAAAAUGUUGCUGGAGAUUUCUUAAUUGUCUUGCUGGGAGAGAAAUCAGAAAAAAAAAUUCAGGAGCCUAUGGCUCUGAUACCAUGAAAGUGCUCAGGCACGGAUUUAGCAAGAAUAAGGAGUUUAUUCUAUUCACAACAUGAUUGUACAGUAUAUCAAUAGCUAUAUAUAUAUAUAUAUAUUACAGCAUCUAACUAAUCUAACCAUCUAACUAAUCUAACCACUUUCUAACUCGGCAUAACAGCAUCUGUUAGAGAAGACUCAGCAUAACAGCAUCUGUUAGGGAGGAGAAGAAUUAGCUACUAACAUGGGUGUUUGUCUAUCAAUACUUGAAAAAGCACUUGCUUUCACCACCACUCAUCUCGAGGCCAUGGUAGAAAGUUUAGGAUAUCAUCUUGCAGAACAAGUUGCUCAUGCCCUGAACCAACCCAUUAGAAAAGGUUUGGAGAGGCUAGAGGCAAGAUGGUAUAUAUCUGUCUACCAAGAUGAAGCUUUCCAUGAUAAAACUUUACUGGAGCUAGCAAAAUUAGAUUUCAAUCUAGUGCAGCCACUGCACAAGGAAGAGCUAAGCAAUCUUGCAAGGUUGGUUUUUAGAUCAUAUUAAUGUCUUUUAGGUGGUGGAAAGAAUUAGACUUUGCUACAAAGUUACCUUUUGCAUGAGACAGAUUGGUUGAAUGCUACUUUUGGAUACUUGGGGUGUAUUGUGAGCCUCAAUACUUACGGGGUAGAUGAAUUCUAACCAAAGUAAUUGCCAUGACAUCCAUUCUAGAUGAUAUCCAUGAUGCAUAUGGAACACCUGAAGAACUCAAGCUCUUCAUAGAAGCCAUUGAGAGGUUUGCUCCUUGCACAUUACCAACCUUGAUUGUGUAUAAUAGAUGUAUUUAUAUAUACGUAAAUCAAGGGUCAUUAUUUUAUUUUCAAGUGGGAUAUUAACAACAUAGAUCAGCUUCCAGAAUACAUGAAACUCUGCUAUGCGGCACUCUUAGAUGUGUACAAAGAAAUCGAGGAAGAGAUGGAGAAAGAAGGAAACCAAUA